ACAAGUAUAAGUCACCACCACCUCCUUCCCCAAUUUACAAGUCACCAUCACCACCUUCUCCAGUAUACAAAUUACCUCCACCACCUCCUCCAGUUUACAAAUCUCCACCACCAUCAAUUUAUAAAUACAAGUCUCCUCCACUACCUCCUCCAGUGUACAAGUCAUCACCACCACCUGCUUACAAGUCUCCACCUCUUCCAGUUUACAGUUCCCCACCACCACCAAUCUACAAGUCUCCACCUCCACCCUACCAUUACUACUACAAUUCUCCUCCUCCUCCUCCUCGUCACUACUAAGCAAUUGUAUGCAAGUUUUUGAGGUAAUAACGCUUAACCAAUAAACUAACUUUCGCAUGAUAAAACUUAUCUCUAUCAAGACAAACUGCCAUGUGUAUCAUGCCAAAUACGUACACCUAGAUCCAUGAAAAUGAAUGGUAGAAAAUUUUCUUAAGAACUAAGGAACAGCAUUAGUAUUCCCUCUGCUUCCAAAAACUUGUGUAUUAAAUAGAUUAAUGAAUUGUUUAACAUGCUCAUUUACUUGAAAAUACACAAUACCCAUAACCUACUGAAUUUUUUGCAGGAAAAGGGAAAGACAAUCUGUGUUUGAGAGCUUCAUGAAGAUGUUGAAGAAUAAGAAUAAAAGCCCAAUGCGAGGAUGUUUCAAGUUUUUCUAUGUUUCCACUUUAAUUUGUAAAUUGAAUUUUGUGACUCAAUUAAUUCCCUGUUUGUGGGGUACGUGUUGUUUUACGUACCAUGCCGUACAGGUUUGUAAGGAUUUCUAUCCUAUUGGCAAAAGUCGGUUCCAUACAAUUAAUCAAUUCAUUUCACUUCUAUUGGCUCUACUAUUUAUGCAUGUUACGACAUUUUUUCUCUCUUUCCCUUAUAUUUUGCCUUUAAUAUUAUUGAAUCAAUAUUAAUAAUGGGCCUUUUUCUUAAAAUUAUACUAUUAUACAUAGGUUGUUUGGUCUAACGCUAAAUUCAUGUUUGUCUUUCUUUUAUUCCCUUUACAUCUCAAAGUAUACUAUAGUUUGUAAUCAUUGUGGUGAUGAUAUUGCCAGCUGGUACUUAUAGUUUAAGGCAGAGACAUGAUAUUAACAACUAUCUCAUUGAAACAUAAAGAAAAAUCAUGACAAGUGUGAGUCUUGGUUAAUGCACAAUUUGUUAGUGGAAUUUAUAUUUAUAAAACUCAAAAAAAAAUUUUGACAAUGCUAUUACUAAUUAAUUAAGGACUUUAUUGCUAUAAUUUAUCGCUUACUAGUUUAAACUAUAAAUGAUCUCAAUACUUUUCUCCAUGAUGUCGAUUUCUUUAGAUUACGAAAGGGAAAAAUUAGUGACAUAUCCCUUACUGAUUACAACAUCAGCAAAAAUUAGUUAUAAAUUUUUCCGGUGGUUUUAAAUCCCUCGGGCACUAAGAUUUUUUGCACAUCGAGUGAAUUGAGGAACAUAGGCAAUUCGUUCUGCAUACCAAGUCCUUGUUUAAGAUGCAAGUACUAAAAUGCAUCCACUUCAUUAAUUUGGGAAAUUGCCAUAGUUUUUUUUAAGCAUUUUGAUUUUUUACAUGAUUCAAAAUUUUCUUAUUGGAUACAAUCACUUUGUAUCAAGAACAUUUUCAAUCAUCCUUUUUAUCUUCUCAAUAAGAAAAUAAAAAUUUAUUCAUGCUUUUCUAACAUAUCCAAUCAUUGAUCUGAAAAAUAAAGAAUUUAAAAAAAAAGACAUUUUCAAUCAUUGCUUACAGGGCAACUUCCCCAUGUGAACCUCUUCAAACAAAGCCAAUAAUAUGAAGGAACAUCUAAAUACACUUUUGCCCUAAAGGCUGGUUGCCUUGGGGUCAAAAUUUAACCUUCGGGAGUAUAAUUACCCUGCCAAAUUUAUUAUUUUUUAUGGGUAUAUAGUUCCAAUUUUUCCUCCUGUUAAGCUUAUAAAUAUAUUAUCACCCAGAAAAUAAAGGAAUCUUGAAUACUAACAUGUCCAUUUACUUGAGUUGUCAUCAAUUUGGCUACUUCGAUUCCAUGAGGGCAAUCCAAUUCACACUUGCUAGAGAAAAUGGUGAUAAAGGCACAAAGAAAAUUAUAUGUAAUAUUGAUUGGUAGUAACCACCUUGUAUUGAUCCCACUAUUGUGGAUACUCGUGCUCUUAUGAAAAAAAAUUAUAAAAAAUUAGCAAAAUUUAAAAGAACAAAGUAAAUUUAUUCGUACAAAUCAGUCAAAGAAGUAGCAUUUUAAAGACCAUGAUGAAAUUAAUACUUUCAAGGUCUCUAUUAGGAAGACUUCCUUUGUUGGUGAAACUACACUAGGUACGGUUACAUGCAGAUGUUUACUGUUUUGGUACCUAAUUUCCUUGCCUUGAGUUGGGUGCAGAUGUUUAUAUUACAAAUAGAUGGUAUCAUAAAUUUGUUGUAUUAACGUCUGUUCUUUUUUUUCUUCCUUAAGUUUUUUUCUUUAUUCUCGUGACUUCAAAAAUACGAACUCAAGAAAUUAACUGCUUCGACAUUAAGGUAUAACUUCACAACUAGAGCCAAUAGAAAUCGUCAAAUGAUUUUUUGACAUCCAAAUUAAGCAAUAAAUUUUGUUUUCAUUUCACGGGAGAUUUUAUAGUUUCUUUUGGGUAUCAUACCUACAAGUGAUAAUUGUCAUUGGAUAGUGAAAGAAGUGUUAAUGAUUGUAAGAUUAAAUAUUGAAAAUUUAAACUAUUUAUCUUUAUUGAGAGAUACAACUUAAAGAAUCGUAUCCAAAAGAGACUAUAGAAUUUUCUCUGUUUUUCAUCAUCUGUAGACAUAAACUUUCUACGGUUGAUGUACUAUAAGGAAAUUUUGCCUAUACAAUGUGAUACCAUUUUUUCAAAAAGACAAGAUGGCAAAUUGCCCCCUUGAACGGAAAAAAUCAUGAUCUUUCCUCAAACUAGUCUACUUGUCAAUUCUUUGAAAAAGAAUACACUGCCCCGCAGAAUUCUAGAAAGUUAGGCAAAACUAGACAAGUUGACAGCUAUAAUCAUACCCAAGAUCAGGAACAAGCAGUUACACAUUUCAAAAUUCGCUGCUGCAACAACUAAUUUGAUGACUUACAACACUAAAUGGUCAAACUUUGAAUGGCAAUGAAUCUUUUGUUGUACAUCAUGAUGUAAUUUUCAUGUUACAUAAUAGAUUGAUAUCUAUGUUCUUUAAAUUAUCAUAAUAAUUAAAUUUAACUGAUAAAAAGAACACAUAUCAAUACACAAAAGUGUGUAACGUGAAUGUUAUAUUAGUGUAUUGCAGAAGACCUAUAGUCUCUUCACAUCUCUUCCUGCAUCUUUUAUGUUUUAUUACCUCCAAAAGCCUUUACAGGGUCUUUACCCUAAAAAUCAAUUCACCGACUCGCAUUUGAUGUCAGAAAUUCUUAAGACGAAUUCUACUUUACUCAAAGAUUGACUGUUAAUAAUGAGACAACGACCAUUUUGUAUUAUUACACCGUCCUUCUUGAUAGGCAAAAGAAAUAGAGAGGAAAGCGGGUCCGUAUAUGGUCUUUUAUUCAUAGAUAAUACAACAUUACGCCAUCGAGCAUUCACACAAUAUUUCAAAGUCAUUGCAUGCCUAAAGCCCCGCUUGAUAAUCCAAUUUCAUACUUAAAUUUAAUGGAUUCAAAUUUUAACACAUUCAAAUUGUUUGAUAACAAAAAAUUGAACGUCUAAAUUAAUUAAGUAACACUAAAUUUUUUAGACAAAACUUGCUCCCAAAAUUAAGUGAUAAGCUAUAUCACUUAUCACUGAAUGUGAUAUGCAUUCAAAUGUAUUAUAUUUAAUACUUAAUAAUUUAAUAAUUUAAUGGAUUCAAAAUUCAGAUUUUAGAUUUCAGUUUUAUCAAACAUACCCUAAGUUGCAAAAUAAUACCAAAACUUGUUAUUAUAUAGCUUGAGAUUCAAAAAUUUAGAGCAUAAUUCUCAACCUAACACAAUUGAAUAAUGAAUAUUCACGAUUGUCAAAUCUAUCAAAGUACAAUUUGAGGACAACCCAUUCCAACGCGUACACAAUUUCUCACUUUUCUAAAGUUGUUGAGAGCUGUUAAAAGAGAUUUACCAUGUUUACAUCUUCCAAGUCUUGGGAGUAAAAAAUGAAGCCACCGAGUGCUAUAAAAAGGGGGCUAGAGGCUGCCUAGAAGCAUAUCAGCCUAAAACAAGAAUUUGUAGUAACAAUGGGGAGCAAAGCAAAAGCAACGGGGUCUAGGCUGACUCCUCUUCUUACCACUGUUUUAGUGGUAUUUGUCGCCCUUGGCUUGCCCUUGGAAACUGCAGCUGAUUAUUACAAGUAUUCAUCUCCUCCUCCUCCUCCUUACCACUAUUCUUCACCACCACCUCCAGUGUAUUCACCUCCACCAACCCCUGCUUAUAAGUUACCCCCACCAUCUCCUCCAGUUUACAAGUCCUCACCACCACCUUACCACUACUCACCACCUCCGGUGUAUUUACCUCCACCAUCUCCAGUUUACAAGUCACCACCACUACCCCCUCCGGUAUACAACUCCCCGCCUCCACCAGUGUACAAAUACAAGUCCCCACCACCACCUCCUCCAGUUUACAAAUCUCCACCGCCACCAGUUUACAAAUACAAGUCACUCCCACCACCUCCUCCGGUAUACAAGUCUCCUCCGCCACCUGUUUACGAGUACAAGUCUCCUCCACCACCUCCUCCAGUGUACAAGUCCCCACCACCUCCAGUUUACAAGUACAACUCACCUCCACCUCCUCCCCCAGUUUACCUGUCUCCACCUCCACCCUAUCAUCACUACUACGGUUCUCCUUCUCCUCACCACUACUAAGCAAGUGCAUAAGUUUUGAGGUAAUAAUACCUAUCCAAAACUUUAUCAACACAAACUGCCAUGUAUAUCAUGCUAAGGACGUACACUUGAUCCAUGAAAAUGACUAGUAGAAGAUUUUUUUUAAGAACCAAAGAAAUACAUUAUUUUUUCGGUCUGUUUUCAAGAAUUUGAGCAGUAUACAGAUUAAAGAGUGUUUUUUUUUUUGUAAACUUGCUUGUCAACUUAAAAAUGCACAUAGCUGAAAGCCAACUGAAUAUUUGCAGGCAAAGGAGAAGGCAAUCGGUGUUUGAGACCUUCAAGAAGAUGUAGAAGAAUAAGAAUAAAAGCCCAAUGCGAGGAUGAUUCCAAGUUUCUACGUUACCAUUUCUACAUCUAAAUUGACUUUAGCUCCUGAGUUCCAUGUUUAUGGGGUUUGUACCGUUUUACGUACCAUGCAGUACAUGCUUGCAAGGUUUUCUGUCCUGUUGGCAAACUGCAGGUCCAUAUAAUAAAUGAAUACUAUUUACAUUACGACACUUUUCUCUUUUUCUCUUAUAUUUUGUCUUUAAUAUUGUUGAUCAUUUUUUUUUUAUCAAAAGCAUCAAAUGCUUAGGUAAUUUGGUCUAAUGCUAAUUGUUUUACUUUUAUUUUUCACCUACACCCCUUUUCAACUCAAAGGAUGCUAUAGUUUGUGAUAAUUGUUUAAGACCGAAGCAUGAUACUAAUAAAUAUCUCAUUGAAAGUCAAGGAAACUAACAUUAGGAAAAGUUUAAAUCUUGAUUUGAUGAAACUAUUUAUUCGUGGAAUUUAGAGAUACAAAACUCAAAUUGUGACGGUGUUGUUGCUAAAUUAUUAAGGACAUUAUCACCAUUAUUUUUCCCUGAUCACUAGUUUCAACUGCAAUGAUCUCAAUCUUUUUGUGACUAAUUCUUUCCUUAAUAAUUUAUAAAGACAAAACUCACAAAGAAUAUGUGACUAAUUCUUUCCUUUCGUCUUCUAAAGAAAAUGCCAACUGUUAGUUUAUCAAGGGGAAAAAGGAUCGACAUCAGUUAUUAUUGAAACUAGUAAGGAAUAAAUAAUGGUGAUAAUGUCCUUAAUAAUUUAACAACAGCACCAUCAGAAUUUGACUUUGAGCUUCGGUCUUAAACAAUGAUCACAAACUACAGCAUCCUUUGAGUUGAAAAAGGAAGUAGGUGAAAAGAAAAGUAAAAAAUACAAUUAGCAUUCCCUCAAAUUGUAGAAAGUUAGGUAGCAUUAUAGACAAGUUGAUAGCGGCAAUUUUACAUUUCAAACUUCACCUAUUCAAUAACUAAUUCGAUGGCUUGCUACAUGGUCAAUCUUUGGACCCCUUCCUGCCUCCAGAUAUCCCUUUCCUCAAUCAGGGGCUUCUACAAUUACCAGUUUCAAUUGUAUGGUAUAGUGUAAAUAUCAACAAAUUAGAUGUAGAUGCUAACAUAAUAAAUGUGAAUGCUAAGACAGCAACAUACAAUCGAACCUGCAAUUGUAUGAACCCCAAUCUCGCUUCCUAGUCCACCAUCUUUCUCUAGGUAAUAAUCUCCCUUCUAAUUUAUUCACAAAAUGCACCUUUCAUCACCUCCAAUAGCGUCGACAUGAUCUUUACCCUAGAAGACUAUUCACCGACUCUCAAUUGACGUCAGAAAAUCUAAGAGUAAUUCUACUUUACCCUAAGAUUGAUAUCAACAAGACAAGGACAAUUUAGAAUUAUUACACGCCUCUUCUUAAUAGGAAAAAGAAAUAGAGAAGAAAGUCAGGCCAGGUCUAAUUUCUUUUCAAAGGCAAUACAACAUUACGAAAUCAAGCAUUCAUUCAUACAAAUAUUUCAUAGUCACCGGUUUGCUGAGUAGAAAAAUUUAGACAAAAACUUAAUAUUAUAUUGUUUAAGAGUUAACAAUUUAGAGCUUAAUCUCCUUGUACUUUGGAGUUAACAAUUUAGAGCUUAAUCUCCUUGUACUUUGGACUAAACUUGAACGUGAAAGGAAAUCCCAAAACCAUAUUGGGCAUGAAUUCACACUUAAUAUACCCAAUAAAAGAUGGCGACUGGUGAAAGGCAGUGGAGACUGGUGGAGAGAUUUGAGGAAUAGAAGCAGACGGAAAAGCAACAAAUUUUUGCCGAAAAACGGUCACUUUCAUGGUUAAUUUUGCUACUCUCCAAUUGUACUUGACCAAUUACAACAAUUUCAUGGAGUUUGAUACGUGAAAAGAAUUUUUUAUAAAUUUUAUUUUGAUCCAUAAUGUUAUCUUUACAUAUAUAAAACAUUUUACAAUUUUGAUUUUGGCGCAGCUAACUUUUGGUUAACAAAAAUGCUCAUGUUUAAAAAACCAGAAAUAAAACAAAACAAGAAACAAAAGAAAUAAGAGGGUAGCAUAGACAUUUUGGAUUUUUCCGUUAAUUUGGAUGAUUUCCACCCACGUUCUAAUUUAAUCCAAAACACAAAGGAAUUACGUAGAGGUUUUAAAUAAUCAGGGAGCUUCAUGAUCGAACCCCAAACCACGUGAUAGCAUACAAGAGUUCUAUUUCACUAUCGGUAGACAAAGACUUUCUAUGGUUGAUGUACCGUAGGAAAAAAUCUGCCUAUACAACGUGAUAGCAUUUUUUCAAAAACACAAGAUGGAAAAUUGCCCCCUUAAACGUGGAAAUUCAUGAUCUUUCCUCGAACAAAGAAUACUCACGCCUAUUCAAGAUGGAAAAUUGCCCCCUUAAACGUCUAUUUGUCAAUUCUUGAAAAAAGAAUACUCACGCCUAAAACACGGCCUCUUCAUCUGCAGAAUUCUAAAAAGUUACGUAAACUCUAUAAACAAGUUGAUAGGUACAAUCGUACCCAAGAUCAAGUACAGAUAGUUGUACAUUCACUGCUGCAAUAACUAAUCUGAUGACUUACAAACAUAUCAUGGUCAAUCGUUGAAUGGUAAUGAGUCUUUUGUUAUGCAUUAGUAUUAGUGUGUACACUCUAAUAGAUUGAUACUUAUACUCUUUAAAUUAUCAUAAUAAUACCCUUAAUUAACUUUAACUCUUAAAAAGAAUACGUGUUAAUACACGAGAGUGUGUAACCUGAAUUGUUACUUAUACAUUAGUGUGUAAUAGAUAGGGAUGGCAGUGAGGGCGAGUGCCCGCGGGGGGCUCUCGGGGCGGGGGCGGGGGAGAAUUUUUUCCCCCCGUUUAGAAACGGGGCAGGGGACGGGGGAGUAUACCCCCGCCCCAUCCCCCGCCCCGCCACCCGCAAAAAAAAUUAUAUAUAUAUAAUUAUAUAUAAUAUGUAAUUUAAUUAGUUAUAAACUUAUGAUAAUGAUAUUAUUAGUUAGAUGUAUUAUAUAAUGUAUAUUAGUGUAUGUAAUAUAAUUAAUAUUAUCAAUUAUACGAAUAAUUAGACAUGUCCACUAAUAGAGUUUAUUAAUUAGUUAUACUAAAUUUACUAAUACAUUUGUACUAAAUUUCUAAUUACACUUAAUAGAAUAACACUUUUUUCUAAAAAAAAAAGCACAAACACAAUAAUGAAUUAGUGAUUGUAUUUGUACCAAAAGUGAAAACUUAACUAUUUUAGUUGUAUUUAUUUCAUCAUGUUGGAUUGUAUUCAAAUAAUUUUUGUUUGAUUGUUUUUAUGAGUUUCAAUUGUAAAAUUAAAAUGAAUAAUAACUUGAUGAUGUGUUGAUAUUUUAGUACUUGAUUAUUUAUUGAUUUAACUAUAAUAAAAUUUUAUUUUAUUAAAAUUUAACUAUAAUAAAAUUUUAUUAACCAAACGAGUUAUUAAUCCCGCGGGGGCACCCACGGGGGAAGCGGGGCGGGGCGGGGGAGUGGGAGGCGGGGGACGGGGCGGGGGUGGGGGGAGUUGUAGGUAGCGGGGCGGGGGAUGGGGGAGGGGUCCCCCGCCCCAACCCCGCCAUCCCCCGCCCCGUUGCCAUCCCUAGUAAUAGACUGGCAAGCAUUGUGGUGGUCAUUGAGAACUUACUGGAGAAAUAGUCCUAUAAGCUGUUCAAUGAGCAAUCACAACUUGCUAAUUGGAUGACUAAUAUAGCUCUAGCUGUAAUGUUUUAAUUAAAUUACAUCACUAACGUUGGGAUGACUUUUUAACCAAAAAAAAAUGCCUUAGUUCAAGCUUUUCCCUUUAUUGUGCAUUUUUUAAAGCAUUUGAUAGGCACUGCAAAUCUGUCAUUUUGGACAUUUUAUUAUUGACUAACAAUGAAAGCCGUGACGUCUACCCAUAACCAACACAAGAUUAAAUUAAUAUUAGAAAAAAUAAUUGAGUAAUUGGAAAAAAAAAAAGAGACUCAUUUUCAUUGAAACCCACCGACAAACUAAACGUGUCCAUGGCUUUUGAAUAGUGCAUUCAACGUUUAAUUGUAUAGUCCAGUUCAUUGCAGAUUACAUGGAGUAAAGAUUGUGCUCUUUCCUUUUUCACCCCUUUUGGAAUCGAUACUGUGGAGAAUUGGGUUUUUCCCUUCUUUUUUUCUUUUCUUUCCUUCUGUGCUUUGCAAAACAUAGGUAAAAAUAUGAAAUCCGAAGCAUUCUUUAAUUGGGAUUAAGUAUUGUUGUUGAAAUUAAAAAGAAAAAAGAAAGAACAACAAAAUUCCCAAUCUGGGUUGAUUGUUGAGCUCUAGAUUGGUUGCAUCGUGCUUCCAUAGAAGCUCUCUUAGUGUGAUACACUGCUUUCAAUCAGUUUAACACGGGAAAAAAAAAAAAAGAGAUGAAAAGCAAAUUUGGUGGGGAUAAUUUCAGAAACCUCCCCUGAAGAUUUUGACUAUUCUACUGGUCUCCCUUCAGAUUUUAAAAAUUACACUAAUCUUCCUUGAAGUUAAUUAUCUUGUAACAUUUAAAUUCAAUCAAUAAUUUAAAAAAUGAUAUUAUGAGAGAGAAAAUAAUGAUUUUAUCAUUGCCCCCCAUCUUACUACAUUAUUUAAUUAAUUUAAUAGCAACCCACACAUUAAAGAAAAAUAUUAAAAUUUGUUGUUUAUCAUUAAAGAUCAAAUCGCUUAUAACAUCAAAUAAUAGUAUAUUAUUUAUAUUUUUCACUCAAUAUAAUAUCCAAAUUACUCUUUUCAAUUACAUACCCAUUGUUAGACAAUCAACAACAAAUAACCAAAAAAUUUGCAACCAAAAUAUUACAAAAAAAUAAACUUUAACAUAUAAAUAUUCUUAUCAACAUAUUAAAGUUAGUUACUGAAAUUUUUAUGCUGUUAAACUUCACUCUUUUUGGUUACAGAUUUUUUUGAUUAUUUGUUAUUAAUUAUGUUUGAUGAUGGAUUUAUAAUUGAAAAGAACAAUUUGAAACUUACAUUAAGUAAAAUAUAUAGAGUGAUAUACUAUUUUUUAUAACAUAUGUGAUUCAAUCCUUCUUGAUAGGAUUGGUAAUAGAGGUAGAGGGGGGAGCCGGCUGCAUCCGGUCUACUUUUCAUAGAUAGUACAAUAUUGCGAAAUCGAUCGCAUUCACGCAAUAUUAUUUCCAAGUCAUUGCAUGGCUAAGCUGCAAAAAAAGUACGAACACAUGUUAUUAUAUAGCUUACGAUUCAAAACUUUAGAGCAUAACCCUCCACCUAACACAAUUGAAUAAUGAACAUUCACGUUUGUCAAAUCUGUCAAAGCACAGUUUGAGGACAACCCAUUCCAACCUGCAAAAGAUUUUUUACUUUUCUAAAGUUGUUGAGAGCUGUAAAAAGACUUACCAUGCUUGCAUCCUCCGAGCCUUGGGAGUUAAAAAUGAAGGCACUGAGUGCUAUAAAAAGGGGAAUAGAGGCUGCCUAGAAGCAUAUCAGCCUAAAACAAGAAUUUGUAGUUAAGAUGGGAAGCAAAGCAAAAGCAAUGGGGUCUGGGCUGACUCCUCUUCUUGCCACUGUUUUAGUGGUGUUUGUUGCUCUUGGCUUGCCCUCACAAACUGCAGCUGAUGAUCACUACAAGUAUUCAUCUCCUCCUCCUCCUUACCACUAUCCCUCACCACCACCACCAGUGCAUAUACCUCCACCUCAUCCUGUUUACAAGUACAAAUCUCCACCACACCCCCAGUACAAGUAUAAGUCACCACCACCACCUCCUCAUCCGGUAUACAGUCUCCUCCGCCACCACACACCCAGUUUACAAGUACAAGUCACCACCACCACCUCCUCAUCCGGUACCACACCCAGUUUACAAGUAUAAGUCUCCUCCGCCACCAGUUUACAAAUACAAGUCUCCUCCACCACCACCUCCAGUGUACAAAUACAAGUCUCCACCACCACCAGUUUACCACUACAAGUCUCCACCACAGUUUACAAAUACAAGUCUCCACCACCACCCCCAGUUUACAAAUACAAGUCUCCACCACCACCAGUUUACCACUACAAGUCACCACCACCUCCUCCCCCAGUUUACAAAUACAAGUCUCCACCACCUCCUCACCACUACUAAGCAAUUGCUUCUGAGGUAAUAACACUUGUUCAAUAUACCCACUUCUGCAUGAUAAAGCAUAUCUCUAUCAACACAAACUGUCAUGUCUAUCAUGCUAAGUGCCUUCACUUCAUCCACCAAAAUGACUGCUAGAAAAUUUUUUUUAUGUUACCAAAGAAAGGCAUCAUUUUUUCCCUCUGUUAUCAAGAACUUGUACAGUAUAUAGAUUAAAGAGUAUUUUUUUAACUAGCUUAUCAACUGAGAAAUGCAUAUAGCUGAUAGCCAGCUGAAUAUUUGCAGGCAAAGGAGAAGGAAACCAGUGUUUGAGACCUUCUUGAAGAUGUAGAAGCAUAAGAAUUAAAGCCCAAUGUGAAGAUGAUGAUUUCAAGUUUUUCUACGUUACCAUUUCUUUAUCUAAAUUGGUUGUAGCGCCUUAGUUCCUUUGUUUAUGGGAUUUGUAUCGUUUUACGUACCAUGCAGUACAUGUCAUGUUUGUAAGGUUUUCUAUCCUGCCGGCAAACCGCAGGUUCCAUGUAAUAAAUCAAUACUAUUUAUAUUACGACACUUUUCUCUGUUUCUCUUAUAUUUUGUCGUCUUUAAUAUUCUUAAUCAUAUUUUUAACAAAAAUAUUCAAACACUUAGGCAAUCUGGUCUAAUGCUAAUUGUAUGUUUUACUUUUCUUUUUCACCUGCUCCCCUUUUCAACUCAAAAGGAUGCAAUAGUUUGUGAUCACUGUUUAAGACGGAAGCAUGAUACUAAUGAAUAUCUCAUUGAAACUCAAGGAAACUAACAUUGCGAAAAGUGUAAAUCUUGAUUUGAUGCAACUAUUUAUUCGUGGAAUCUAUAGUUACAAAACUCAAAUUCUGACUGCGCCAUUGAUAAAUUAUUAAUGACGCUAUCAUCAUUAUUUAUCCCUAACUAGUUUCGACUACAACUGAACCCAAUAUUUUCCCCAUGAUAAAAGUUUUUGACUAUUUUACUGGCCUCUCUUCAAAUUUUAAAAAUUACACUAAUCUUCAUUGAGAUUAAUUAUCUUGUAACAUUUAAGUCCAAUUAAUAAUUAAAAAAUGAUAUUAUGAGAGAGAAAAUAAUAUAAUUUUAUCAUUGCCCCCCAUCUUGCUAUAUUAUUUAAUUAAUUUAAUAGCAACCCACACAUUAAAGAAAAAUACUAAAAUUUGCUGCUUUUCAUUAAAGAUCAAAUUGCAUAUGCCAUAAAACAUAGUAUAUCAUUCUAUAUGUUUCACUUAAUGUAAGAUCCCAAUUGUUCUUUUCAAUUACAAACCCAUUGUCAAUAACAAAUAACCAAAAAAUUUGCAACCAAAAUAUUACAAAAAAAAACUUCAACAUCAUAAAUAUUCUUACCACCUCUAGUGCAUUCACCCUCAUAAAAUAAUUCAAGACCCUACUGUCAUAAAAUGACUGAUCAACUCCCGUAAACCUAAUUUGACAACAUUUAAAUGGAGAACUUUAGCUAAAAGAAUUAUGGUCAAGCUAAAGAAAAAACCAGUUAUUUUCCAACAUAUGCAAUCAUUGAUCAGGGAAAAAAAAAAGAGCAAAAAGACAUCUUCAAUCAUUUAAUAGCUUACAGGGCAAAUUAACCCCUAAGCGAAAACUGGUUGCUCUAGAAUCAAAAUUUUACUUUAGUUACCCAGGCAACUUUUUUGUUGCUUUUUUUUUUUUUUUCCUUUAGUUUUGCCCCCUCUGUCAAGCUUAUAAAAUUAUUAAGAUAAUAAAAGUGCCUUGAAUAGUAUUAAUAUAUCCAUUGACUUGAGCUGUCGUCAGUUUGCGAUUCCAUGAGGCCUUUUCAAAGUACUCAGAAAAUGGGGAGUCAUGAAAUCCAUUUGUUCUAUUCAUUGCUAAGAUGCUUUUCUCUAUAAAGAGACUUCCUAACGAAAAUACUUUGUAGAUUUCUUUACUCCAAGUGGUGCAUGGAAAAUUAAUAUUUUCAAUUAUCAAAUAAAAUUCCCUUUUUUCGGCGUAGAUUUCAUCCAUCCAGCUGUUAACACAUUCUAUAAAUCCGAAUUGACUAAUCUUUUCGUUUCCAUUUUCCAACUUGCGAAUACGGCAUAUAGUGUCUGCUAAACACUAUAUAUUCUCUGCCAAAUAUGAAUACAUAUCACUUUUCUGAGCAAGUGCAGAGUCAUUAUCAUUUUUAUUCCCACCUAACAAAUUAGGGAUAAAAAAGUUAAUAAUCUUUACAUGCUAUCAGGUCACAAGUUAAUAAUCUUUUAAAGAACAUGUUAAAUUAAUUUAUUGGUAUGAAUAGUAGUCAAAGAAGUAUGUUAAAGUUAGUAAUCUUUAAAAUAAUAUGUUAAAAUCAUUCGUACAAAUUAGUCAGAGAAGUAGCAUAAACACCGCGAUGCAAUUAAUACUUUCAAUCUCAAGGUCUCUAUUAUGGAAAUUUGCAUCGGUCAAUAUACACUUGGCAUAAUAUAAUCUCCCAACUCAUUUCUUUACAAAUGCACCUUUAAUCACCACCAAAAGGUGUGGACAUGAUCUUUACCCUAGAAAACUAUUCACCGACAGGCAAAUUGACGUCAGAAAUACUGAGGAAUUCUAGUUUCCUUCGGGUUCAUGCCAUGUUGUAUCCUUCAACUGUAACUCGAUUUCUAAGCUGUAAUUUGUGACAUAAUAGUCCUUAAACUAUGAAACCCUUCUUACUUAAUUACAAUGGUUAAUACAAUGCCCGUGACUAGACAAGUAUGAAGCAACCAUAACAGAAAAAAAAUCCAAAAUUAGAGAAAAGAAAGAAGUUUCGCGACCACCACCAGUUUACAAGUCACCUCCACCACCUCCUCCAGUUUACAAGUCACCUCCACCACCUUACCAUUAUUCCUCACCACCACCUCCAGUGCAUUCACCCCCACCACCACCAGUUUACAAGUCUCCGCCACCACCUUACCAUUAUUCCUCACCACCACCUCCUGUGCAUGCACCUCCACCACCAAUUUACAAGUCACCUCCUCCAGUUUACAAGUCUCCACCACCACCUUACGAUUAUUCCUCACCACCACCUCCAGUGCAUUCACCCCCACCACCACCAAUUUAUAAGUCUCCCCCACCGCCUCCCCCAGUAUAUAAGUCACCACCACCACCUCCUCCAGUAUACAAAUCACCUCCACCACCUCCUCCAGUUGACAAAUCUCCACCACCACCAAUUUAUAAAUACAAGUCUCCUCCACUACCUCCUCCAGUGUACAAGUCAUCACCACCACCUGCUUACAAGUCUCCACCUCCUCCAGUUUACAGUUCCCCACCACCACCAAUCUACAAGUCUCCACCUCCACCCUACCAUUACUACUACAAUUCUCCUCCUCCUCCUCGUCACUACUAAGCAAUUGUAUCCAAGUUUUUGAGGUAAUAACGCUUAACCAAUAAAUUAACUUUCGCAUGAUAAACCUUAUCUCUAUCAAGACAAACUGCCAUGUGUAUCAUGCCAAAUACGUACACCUAGAUCCAUGAAAAUGAAUGGUGAGGAGGGCCAUUUAGGCUCGGAGCGCCCUAGGCCUAGUUCCCCACCAUUUCCUGAAGUGCCGCCUCGGGUAUUAUCCUGGAAGGCGAUCGCGGCCCAUUUACCACCUCGGCUACAAUGUCAGGUCGUAACACCGAGGUGGACAUUGAAUGACAACUACGAAAAGGGGAGAUGUGAUCUCUGACACCUGAGCAAAGGCUGCUCUGACCCGCCGCCUGAAUCUGACAGAAUGUCCCAUCACGUCUCUUCAUGGAGACCGGUCAAGUCCACCUGAUCCACUGACUAUCUCAGAUCUUUUGGGACCCGUGCAAACAUCUCCUCUCUCCUAUCAGUCCCCUAUAAAUACACGAUACUUCUACUGAAAAAGGAGAUGACCAAUUUCUGGUAAAACACACUCCACUCAUUAUUUACUUCUCUAUAUCCGAACUGACUUAAGCUUCGGAGUUAUACCGGGGGAUCCAGCCCCUUUCUUAUCCAAGCAGGUGACUUCGUCCAAGAGAGUUGCCCAAGGUAAAGAUAUUCUUCCAAUUGAGGUGACUCACUCCUGCGGGUCGAAAAUCACCUCUUCAAUUGGCGCCGUCUGUGGGAACCGCAAAGAUAUUAGAAGAUGAAGCCUGCGCGUUCUAGAAGCAGAAAAGCUCUCACUAUCGAGGCUGGGCAAAGCAAUGCAGCUCAACAAGAAAAUAUUUCUGAAGGGCAGGAGUCCCCAAGGACUCAGCCCGCAAACGAAAAAGCCAUAACCCGUAUGGCCGAGUUUGUGACCGAGAACCCCAACAUCUUUGAAGAGUUGGGAAGAUACCUGAAGAGGCAAGGCAAACAAAAGGCCGAGUCCUCUAAAAGGAUGUCAGAUGGGUCUCUUGAGGACUCAUCUGAGGAGGAGUCGGAUGGAAGGCACUUAAGCCGAAGUGCCUCAAAGCGAGCAUUUUCUAAGGCCACUUCUAAGGUAGCCUCCCUGACCAAGGCGUUUUCCCGAGGGCUCUUGGGCCGACGACCCGAGGAAGAACCUCGGCCCUUGGGAAUACCCGGGGUGGACUGCAUGAGGGCUCCACCGUUCACGGAUGAUAUAAACGAGGAAAGGCUUCCUCCCAAUUUUAAGCUCCCCGCAGUACAAUCUUACGAUGGCCGAGGUGAUCCCGAGAAUCACAUCCAUACCUUCAUCUCGGCCUUCCAAAUAUACUGCAUCCCAGACCCUGUCAUAUGUCGGGCCUUUCCAGUAUUCCUCAGAGGAACUGCUCGAAAAUGGUUCUGAGCUCUAGAACCUAGGAGCAUUUCGACCCUGGGUGAAUUAGUGGAGAAGUUUCUCCACCGAUUUGUCUCCUCCCGACCUACGACUAGGACCUCGGCUUACCUGCUCACCGUGCAGCAGAACCCGGGAGAGUCACUCCGGUCGUACGUCCGGAGGUUCCAUGAGGAAAGCGUUCAGAUACCUGACCCCAAUGAGCAGGUAACCCUCGCUGCCUUUACCCAUGGACUCGUUGCCGGGGAGUUCAAUACGGGGAUCCAUAAAAAAUACCCCCGCACACUGCAUGAAUUGUGGUUGAAGGUUGAAAAGGGCAUACAGGCCGAAGACCUCCAUCGCAUGAAGAAAGAGGUCCAAGCCACCCGUCCAAGGGCUGAGCCCAGAAAGGGAAAAGACGCUGGCCGAACUGAAGUAGGGUCGGGAAGUGGCUUCCGAAGUCCUGGCCGAGACCGCCGCAGCGUGUUCGACAGGAUAUCCAAGGGGAAGUCACCUAUUCCCGAGUCCGAGUUGACUCCUUUAAAUACUACCCGAUCUCACGUGUUGUCCGUGAUGGAACAAAACAACCUCGGCAAGGGCCCGCCGAGGAUGUUUGGAAGCAGAGACAAGAGGAACUCGAACCUCUACUGCUUGUAUCAUCGUGACAUUGGUCACGAAACUGAGGAUUGCAACGAUCUCAAGAAGGAGAUCGAGAACCUCAUUAGACGGGGACACUUGAAACAGUUCAUCCGCAGAGGUGGAGGUCACCAACGUGACGAAAACCGGCAUGACAAAUGAGGUGACCAACGCCGAGAUGAGCGGCGGAGCUCCAGAAGCAGUUGCCGACCUCCUGAGGAUCCCAGGGAGACGAAAAGGCCUCCCCCAGACGGAUCUUCGGGACAUGGGCCAACCAUUGCCCGGGUCAUUAACACCAUUGCCGGAGGUCCGACGGGAGGGGACAGUCAGAACUCCCGGAAGAGAACCUAUAAGCAGGCUAACCCGGAUCAGGCCGAGUCGAGUUCUCGCCUGUCCGAGGUGAUCACCUACGGGCUCAGUGAUCCCAUCCCAGCUGCAUCCAGCAGUCAUGAAACCUUGGUGAUUGAAGUCCUCACCAAUAACUACAUUGUGAAAAGGUCUACAUAGACCCGGGAAGUUCAGUUGACGUCAUGUACCUCCGUACCUUUGAGAGCCUUAAAAUGGCUAAGGGGUGCAUGACCCCGCUGAGAACCCCUCUUGUAGGGUUCGGGGGACACGUGGUGCACCCCGAAGGGAUGGUGACUCUGACAGUGACCAUAGGGCAUCACUCUCGCUGUAGAACCGUCCCUGUCAAUUUUGUGGUGGUUAAGGCUGACUCCCCAUACAACCUACUUUUAGGUCGGCCUACGCUCAAUGCCUUGCGGGCGGUCUACUCCACCUACCACCUGAGCUUCAAGUUUCCUACCCCAGCAGGGGUGGCCGAGGUCAGCAGCGACGUCUGUGCUGUCCGGGAGUGCUACCUCGCCACCCUACAAGCAGCCUCCCCGUCUACCUCCGGUGCGAGGUCCGAGAAGAGGUCAAAUAUCCUCUCAAUAGAUAGCAUCGAUCCUCAGUGAGCUGAGAAGGUCCCGAGGCUGGAGACUGGGGAUGAGGUGGAAGAGAUUCCCCUGGACCCCACGAAACCUGAUCAGACAGUUCGCGUUGGUACCCGAUUGCCCGGUCCUAUCCGAAGAGGUAUGAUGGACCUCCUCAGGGAAUACCGGGACGUCUUUGCUUGGGCCGCCGAAGAGGUCCAAGGAGUCCCGCACCAUCUCAUGAUGCAUGACUGAACGUCGACCCCCAAGUCCGUCCGGUCAAACAGAAGAGAAGGCACAUCGGCCCUGAGCGCAGCCAAGCUGUUGGUGAGGAAGUGGACAAGCUUUUACCCGCUAAAAUAAUCCGAAAAGUCCAAUACCCGAUCUGGUUGUCUAACUCGGUCAUGGUCAAGAAGGAUACGGGGGCUUGGAGAAUGUGCGUCGAUUUUACCGACCUCAACAAAGCCUGCUCCAAGGAUUGCUACCCCUUGCCCAAAGUCGAUACUUUGGUAGACUCAGCAAUGGGCUACGAGAUCCUCUGUUUCUGGGAUGCAUUCAAAGGCUAUCACCAAAUUGGGAUGAGUCAAGAAAACCAGGAGAAAACGGCCUUCUACACCGACCGCGGCACGUACUGUUAUACUACCAUGCCAUUCGGGUUGAAGAAUGCCGGAGCCACUUAUCAACGCUUGGUCAACCAAGCAUUCAAGUCUCAAAUCGGCCGGAAUGUUGAGGCCUAUGUAGAUGACAUCCUCCUCAAAAGCCAGACGAACUCCACCUUCCUGGCCGACUUGAAGGAGGUCCUUGACAUCCUGCGGAAGGUGAAAAUGAUGCUGAACCCCAAGAAAUGUGUUUUUGGGGUCACCUCGGGGAAAUUUCUAGGUUACCUCGUCUCAAGGCGAGGUAUCGAAGCAAAUCCGGAUAAGGUGCGAGCCAUCCAGGAGAUGUCUCCACCCCGGUGCGUCCGCGAUGUCCAAAGGCUGACAGGGCGAUUAGCCGCCCUGAAUCGGUUCUUAUCGCAGUCGGCAGCUAAAGCACUGCCCUUUUUCAAAGUGUUGAAGAAAGCUGACCAUUUCUCCUGGACGGAAGAGUGUCAACAGGCGUUUGAGCAGUUGAAGGAUUACCUUCACUACCUUCCAACGCUCACCUCACCUCGUCCGGGGGACAAAUUAAUCUUAUACCUUUCUGCUGCGGCCGAAGCGGUGAGUGCCGUGCUGAUAAGGAAGGAAGGGGUCCAAAUGCCCGUCUACUACGUUAGCCGAGUCCUCCGAGGUCCAGAGACCAGGUACACACAAGCAGAGAAACUUGUGCUAGCCCUGAUCCACGCCGCCCGCAGACUCAAGCCCUACUUCCUAGCUCACCACGUCUGCUUGAGGACUGAUCAACCACUUCGGCAGAUUUUGACACGACCAGAGGUUUCGGGACGUCUUACCAAAUGGGCCAUUGAGCUGGGGGAGUACGACCUAACUUAUGAGCCUCGCACAGCGAUCAAGGCCCAGGCUCUCGCAGACUUCGUAGCCGAGCUCACCUUUGACGAGGUGCAAGGAUCCGUCCCGGCUGCCACAUCGGCCACAGUUGAUGUGGCCACCACUGGGCUCCAGCGGUGGAUCCUACACGUGGACGGUUCGUCAACAGUGAGGGUAGUGGAGCAGGCUUGCUCCUCGAAGACCCCCAAGGAGAAAUAUGCUAAUAUGCCUUAAGAUUUGACUUCGCUGCUUCAAACAAUGAAGCUGAAUACGAAGCCGUCAUUGCUGGACUGCAGCUAGCUCGCAAGCUCGGGGCCGCACACAUCUUGGUUUAUAGUGAUUCCCAACUCGUCGUGUGCCAGAUAUUAGGUGAGUACGAAGCCAGGGACGAGGUGAUGCAUCGUUACCUCUCCAAGGUCCUCCAGUUGGCGACUCACUUCGAGUCUUUUGAAAUUCAAAGAAUACCGCUAUCGAAAAACAGAAGGGCUGACGCCCUCUCCCGGCUUGCCUCAACCUCUUUCUCUGACCUGAACAAGACGGUUCUCGUUGAAGUUCUAGCCGAACCAGGAUAUGUAGCCGAGGUAGUAUACCCCGUCUACCCUGGGGACACCUGGAUGGGUCCCCUGACUCGAUUUUUCAGCCAGGGUGAGCUCCCCGAAGACCGAGCUGAGUCACGGAAGCUCCAACGAAAAGCAGCACGGUACAUUCUCCGACAAGGCCUUUUAUACAAAAGGUCUUACCUCGGCCCUUAGUUGCGAUGUAUCACGCCCGAGGAAGGCCAGAGAAUCCUCCAAGACAUACAUGAGGGGCUCUGUGGUGCUCACGUCGGCUACAGAAUGCUGGUAAAAAAGGCUUUGUUACUUGGGUAUUUUUGGCCCACUAUGAGGAUAGAUGCCCAGGUCAUGGUCCUUUGCUGCCCCUCCUGCCAGCAUCACGCUCCUGAGCACCACCAGCCGACCAAUUUAAUGAUCCCUAUCACCUCGUCAUGGCCAUUUGAGCAAUGGGGAACGGACAUAAUUGGCCCCUUUCCCAGAGCUCCAGGCAAUUAUACCUACGUGGUGGUAGCAGUGGACUACUUCACCAAAUGGGUCGAAGCUGAACCCCUAAAAAAUAUCACUGGUGCGGCAGUCCAGAAAUUCUUCUGGAAGAAUGUGGUUUGCCGCUUCGGCCUACCCCGGGUGAUCAUCUCGGAUAAUGGCCGACAGUUCGCCGAUAAUCCUUUCAAGGCCUGGUGUGAGAACCUCGGGGUCAAACAGCAUUUCACUUCGGUGGGACACCCCCAAGCCAACGGACAAGCCGAAAACUUCAAUCGCACGCUCCUCCAUGGCCUCAAGACCAGGCUCCACCAGGCUGGAUCGUUUUGGAUGGAAGAGCUCCCCAGUGUGCUGUGGUCCUACCGAACUACGCCGAGAUCAGCAACCCAGGAAACCCCGUUUUCCUUAACCUACGGGUCAGAAGCUGUUGUUCCAGCCGAAUUCAUCACCCCGAGUCCACGAAUGGCCGCAUAUGCUGCCGAAGUCAAUGAAGAAGAACGGCGAGUUGACCUCGACCUCGUCGAAGAGAAGCGUGAUAUGGCCGCGGCCAAAGUUGCUGUUUACAAAAAUAUCGUAGCUGGCUACUACAACGCUCGGGUUAAACAUUUGCGGUUCAGUCCGGGAGACCUGGUGCUCAGGAAGAACUCAGUCAGCCGGGCUGAACCUCAGGGUAAACUAACCCCCAAGUGGGAGGGACCAUACCGUGUUGUUGAGUCCAGCCAAAAUGGAUAUUGUAAAUUGGCAUACCGAGAUGGGUCUCUGAGUGCCCCGAACUUGGCAUGCUGAAAAUCUUAAGUUGUACUACCCUUGAGGGUAUGUGCUUUUAAUCUUGAGUUAUUUCACACUUAUUUUCAUUUCAUUAUAAGUGAAAAAUAAGGGGACAAAGUAGCAGUAAAGAGGAAAACCGAAUUUAAUUAAAAAGAAAGCAAGAAUAUGAACUCAAUUCCAUUGAAUUACAUAAAAGUAGAAAGCCGAGGUCACCUUUAAUUAGGAAGAAAGCAAGAAUAUAAACUCAAUUCCAUUGAAUUACAUAAAAGUAGAAAGCCGAGGUCACCUUUGACCUCGGCCUACAAUGACAAAAAAAAAAACAAGUGCCUCUAGGCACUCCCUACCCUGACAUCCUGGCCCCCCGUGGUCGCGCCACCCGUUUCGGCACCCUGUCCACCCUCAGCUCCUCCACCGGCCUGGUCGUCUUCAGUACCAUCUAGUUCAAACUCCUGGAGCCAUUUGUUGAAUUCGGCUCGGACUUCGGUUAGGUCUUUCUCAGUCCGGAUGCCCUCAGCCAUGCUGUCGCAUAGCUCCUUGGCAUCCUCGUUAUAGUGCGAAGUGCUCUGAAGGGACUCCAGUUGUUCAGAGGGAAGAAAGGAUGCCGCGUCAUUAAUAGCCGACGUGUACCCGAACAUGAAGCUUGGCCGGGUGAGCUCGCCGAGGUCACGGAUGAAGGACUCUGACGUCCGGAAGGCUUCCACAGCAGUGACCCCGGCCUUGUCCAUGGCCUCCCUGUUUGACUGUUCUUCUUGGGCCCUCCUUUUUUUCUCCUCAUCAAGAGCAGUCACCAGGGAAUUGUUCGCGACCUCGGCCCUUUUGUUAGCCGCCUUGGCCUUGUCACGCUCCAACUCGGUUGCCUUCAGUUUUUCUUCCAACUCGGCAAUUCUCUUCUGGAGCUCGGCAGGAGGCUCAUAGUUUUCCAUGAACUUUCCAUACCGUUGAAUCAUCUCGACAAAAAAAGCCGUGGUAGAGGCCCAUGACACCGAGGCGCUCUGCAUCAACUCCCCUGCGGAGAGCUUCCUAGCAUAAGUGCUAUCUCGUGGCAGCACUGAAUGCACCAAGAGCUCCUGAGCGACCAAAGGGUUCUUGCAGCGAUCGUUGAAAUUAAUCUCCCACUCUGGACACCAGUGUGAUCCGGGGUGUCUCUUGUCCUCCUCAGCUGCCUUGAAAGGCACAUGAUGGAGUUUGAACAAAGAUGACCCCGUGACGGGGUUCUCCGGAAAUAUGGUCACACCCUGACCCCGGGGGGGAGUGGCAAUCGUGACCCAGCGAGAAGGGAUUCCCACCGGAAUUGCCGAGGCUCGGGAACCUCCCGGAGUGGCCGAGGUGUGCGAGCCCUCGCCCACGAUCACCACGGCAGGCUCGCGGUCGCCCGACGCCGCGGUGGUUUUCUUAGCCGGCCUGGAAGAGGACCCUGCAGUGUCCUUGCGCUUUUUGGGAGCUCUUUUGACCACCUCGACAUCUCCCGAGGUUAUCAGGUCGAAAAUCUUCGUCACUGCAAAGUAGGAGACGAAGUCAGUUAGAAUUCAAGAGGGAUAAACUAAAAGGGAAGAAAUGGAAAAAUACAAAGUCUGUGAAGCCUAGUCGAGAGUAAGACAGGCUGGUCAGAGCUCGUCAAGGCUCAACUGAUCCCGCCUUCCACGAGCACCACUUCGGGAAAAUCCCAGCAGUUUAUCCUGAGGCCCGACCCCGUUAACUUCUGGAAGUUACGCUCUUCUAACUUCCCUGGAGAUAUCUCCUUGAUCGAGGUGGGAGGCCUCCACCAGAAUCCGCGAGGGAAGUCAUCGGCCGAGACGAAGAAGAAGUUUUGCUUCCACUCCUUUAUUGAGUUCGGAGCAUCAACCACCAACUUCGGAACUUUGUUUCCGAAGUAGAACCAUCCUUUUUCACUUCUGCUGUUCUUGAGUGAGUAACAGCGGCGAAAGAGGUUGACCUAAGGUUGUAUCUCCUGAUGUCGGCAAAGUAGCUGGAAGCCAACGAGAAUGCGAAUAGCGUUAGGGGUGAGUUGAGUGAUUCUCACCCCCCAGUACCUCAGGCAGUCCCGAAGAAACCUCGUCGUGGGCACUCUGAGUCCGGCCUCCAGCUGUUCCUGAUAGAUAGUCACCUUGCCCUUUGGUGGCAGUGCGGCUGACUGAUGCGGUUGGGGUAUGUAAAUACUAUAAUCCCUUCUCCAGGGAUACCUGCGGACCACCUCGGCUAUUGAGGCUUGUCCCAUACCACUACUGAAGAACGGCAUCUGGCCGUAGUCGAGAGUUGCCACGUUUGGAGGAGUGGAAGGUUCUUGUACUCCCUCGUCUCUAGGGAUCUCAAUCCCGAGGUCAUCGUUGUAUAGGACCUCGGGCUGGACCUCGAUCUCCUCGGGCUGCACCUCAACCGCCUCAGCUCGGCGUGAUGCCUCGGCACCUCCACCCUCAGCUUGGUGAGAUGCCUCAGCACCUCCGCCCUCGGACGCGGUCCUUUCCUGGGAGGGGUCAGGCCUCUCUGCCUCAGUGAGGUCAGGUCUCACUGUCUCUUUGUGCGUACGAGCUGUUCUAGCCAUUGUAUCAGAAGGGGAAGAAGUGAACUUACUUAGAAUCUGCGACUGGAAGAAGAUGCCGAAGUAGACGUGGUUUAGAAAGGUUGCCGAAGUGAAAAGAGAAAGAAACAGAGUUCUGGGGUGAUUCUUGAUUUUUGGUGAAGAGUAAAACGGUGAAAAAAGACCACUAUUUAUAGGCCACCAGGGUGAAACCCAAGAGACGGCACCCUCUCUCUUCAUUAAUGGGAGGACUGUUCGUCUGCCAACACAGCUGACAGCCGUCCCUUCAGUUAUCACUCAGUCCCAUCUAUGCGGUCAUGACGUGUCCGUGUUCCGUGUUUUAUACGCUUCUCAGCUUCGGGAAGUAACGACCACGGCGGAUGCCCAUCUCGCCCUUCUCAAAGCUUGGGGGGCUUAGUGAGGAGGGCCAUUUAGGCUCGGAGCGCCCGAGGCCUAGUUCCCCAUCAUUUCCUGAAGUGCCGCCUCGGGUAUUAUCCUGGAAGGCGAUCGCGGCCCAUUUACCACCUCGGCUACAAUGUCAAGUCGUAACACCGAGGUGGACAUUGAAUGACAACUACGAAAAGGGGAGAUGUGAUCUCUGACACCUGAGCAAAGGCUGCUCUGACCCGCCGCCUGAAUCUGACAGAAUGUCCCAUCACGUCUCUUCAUGGAGACCGGUCAAGUCCACCUGAUCCACUGACUAUCUCAGAUCUUUUGGGACCCGUGCAAACAUCUCCUCUCUCCUAUCGGUCCCCUAUAAAUACACAAUAUUUCUACUGAAAAAGGGGAUGACCAAUUUCUGGUAAAACACACUCCACUCAUUACUUACUUCUCUAUAUCCGAACUGACUUAAGUUUCGGAGUUAUACCGGGGGAUCCAGCCCCUUUUCUUAUUCAAGCAGGUGACUUCGUCCAAGAGAGUUGCCCAAGGUAAAGAUAUUCUUCGAAUUGAGGUGACUCACUCCUGCGGGUCGAAAAUCACCUCUUCAAAUGGUAGAAAGUUUUCUUAAGAACCAAGAACAGCAUUAGUAUUCCCUCUGCUUCCAAAAACUUGUGUAUUAAAUAGAUUAAUGAAUUGUUUAACAUGCUCAUCUACUUGAAAAUGCACAAUACCCAUAACCCACUGAAAUUUUUGCAGGAAAAGGGAAAGAGAAUCUGUGUUUGAGAGCUUCAUGAAGAUGUUGAAGAAUAAGAAUAAAAGCCCAAUGCGAGGAUGUUUUCAAGUUUUUCUAUGUCCACUUUAAUUUGUAAAUUGAAUUUUACAACUCAAUUAAUUCCUUGUUUGUGAGGUACGUAUUGUUUUACGUACCAUGCCGUACAUGUUUGUAAGGAUUUCUAUCCUAUUGGCAAAAGUCGGUUCCAUACAAUUAAUCAAUUCAUUUCACUUCUAUUGGCUCUACUAUUUAUGCAUGUUACGACACUCUUUCCCUUAUAUUUUGCCUUUAAUAUUAUGAGUCAAUAGUAAUAAUGGGCCUUUUUCUUAAAAUUAUACUAUUAUACAUAGGUAGUUUGGUCUAACGCUAAAUUCAUGUUUGUCUUUCUUUUAUUCCCUUUACAUCUCAAAGUAUACUAUAGUUUGUAAUCAUUGUGGUGAUGAUAUUACCAGCUGGUACUUAUAGUUUAAGGCAGAGACAUGAUAUUAACAACUAUCUCAUUGAAACAUAAGUCAAAAUCAUGACAAGUGUGAGUCUUGGUUAAUGCACAAUUUGUUAGUGGAAUUUAUAUUUAUAAAACUCAAAAAAAAUUUUUGACAAUGCUAUUACUAAUUAAUUAAGGACUUCAUUGCUAUAAUUUAUCGCUUACUAGUUUAAACUAUAAAUGAUCUCAAUACUUUUCUCCAUGAUGUCGAUUUCUUUAGACUACGAAAGGGAAAAAUUAGUGACAUAUCCCUUACUGAUUACAACAUCAGCAAAAAUUAGUUAUAAACUUUUCCGGUGGUUUUAAAUCCCUCGGGCACUAAGGUUUUUUGCACAUCGAGUGAAUUAAGGAACAUAGGCAAUUCGUUCUGCAUACCAAGUCCUUGUUUAAGAUGCACGUACUAAAAUGCAUCCACUUCAUUAAUUUGGAAAAUUGCCAUAGUUUUUUUUAAGCAUUUUGAUUUUUUACAUGAUUCAAAAUUUUCUUAUUGGAUACAAUCACUUUGUGUCAAGAACACAUUUUCAAUCAUCUUUUUUAUCUUCUCAAUAAGAAAAUAAAAAUUUAUUCAUGCUUUUCUAACAUAUCCAAUCAUUGAUCUGAAAAAUAAAGAAUUAAAAAAAAAAGACAUUUUCAAUCAUUGCUUACAGGGCAACUUCCCCAUGUGAACCUCUUCAAACAAAGCCAAUAAUAUGAAGGAACAUCUAAAUACACUUUUGCCCUAAAGGCUGGUUGCCUUGGGGUCAAAAUUUAACCUUCGGGAGUAUAAUUACCCGCCAAAUUUAUUAUUUUUUAUGGGUAUAUAGUUCCAAUUUUGCCUCCUGUUAAGCUUAUAAAUAUAUUACGACCCAGAAAAUAAAGGAAUCUUGAAUAGUAACAUGUCCAUUGACUUGAGUUGUCAUCAAUUUGGCUACUUCGAUUCCAUGAGGCCAAUCCAAUUCACACUAGCUAGAGAAAAUGGUGAUAAAGGCACUUAGAAAUUUAUAUGUAAUAUUGAUUGGUAGUAACUGAUAAGUAUAUAUUUUACGUGUUUUAAAUAUGUUUUAUUAGUUAGUUUUGGUGUGUUUUAACUACUUUUAUAACUAAUUAACUAGGAAUCUAGUGAAAAUAUGCAUUUUGUGGUUUGAAGUGUGAAAAUUGUAUUUCUAUGGAUUUUAAUGGUGAAAACUUCAUGUUUUUGUAGGUUUAAUGAUUCAAUCAUCAAAUGACAUGAUUUGAGAAGAUAAUUAGAUGAUUGAUGAUGUUUUGAAGUGAUAAAAAGAGAAUACAAAGUGCAAGAGAGGAAAUGCAAUCAAGAAUAAAAGAAGAAAAUUUUUGUAGCUUUGACAUAUUGUGGUAUUUUGGCAAUAUAUUGAGCUACAAUGAUUGGAUUAAGGUGAUUCUUAAACCAUUUGAAGCUAAGAUAUAGAUCUACAUUUGGUAUGAAGGCAUCGAAACCCAUGUCAGUCAUUUUCCUUGUCAAAAUGUUGAAAUACAGAAGUGCAACUCUGUUCUCGAAAGCUAAAACAGAGCUCUGGCUAGUCGAGGGUAUUUUCAUCAUUUCUUAGUCCACAGAGCUCCAAAUGAGAUGAUUCUUAAGGCAUUAGAACCCUAACUCAAAGAGCUACAACUUUCAUAUUUUGUACAAGAGUUAGUUCGGCCUCCAUCAUUCAGAAAAUAGUAGUUGAAGUGGUGCCAAAUGCAUAGAAGUGAAAACGCGAGCUAUCAAUACUCGACCUGAAGUCGCGUAUUCCUGAGGUCAUGCAUUCUCUUCUAUUUUCUGCAACUUGCCCUGCUUUCACAUAAUUUUUUCAUCUCAAUUCCAACUAUCAAUUUCGGCUAUAUCUGAUCAAGAAAAGUGUGGAAAGUUUGAAAGACAACUCAUAGGAGUUUCAAGAGUCAAAAAUUACAAUUAGAAACAACUCAUUUGGCUCUUGAAUCCUCUAUAAAUAGAGGCCUUUGAAGAACAUUUUCACAACUUUGGAAGGUUAGAGAAACUCCACAAAAACAUAGUCUUCACUAGAAUUUCCUUAGUUCAUUAGUUAGGGUAGUAUAGUAUAGUUAGUGUAGCUUUUCCUUCUUGUAUUUAUAGUUAGGUUUGAAUGAAGAUUCAGGAGCAAAGAUAGAGAGGUUGAUCUCAUGUGACAAGGGUGAUAUCUCUUCUACUACUUUCUCUUUUGUAUUUGAUUUCAUAUUUAACUAUACUACAAAUUUGGCUUUGUUUUUUUUUUUUAUCAUGUUUAGUUAAAGUUUAUGCCUAGAGUAUGGAUGACCUUUCUAUAUCUUGUUUGUGAUAUUUAACUGGUUAUUUGAUGAUGUUAUUUUUGAGCAAGUUAUUUAUCACUUUUGCUUUUCUAAUCGUGAUUAACUGGCCAUUAGUUGUGAUUAUCUAAAAGUGUUAAGUUUGUAAUGAGAAUUGGAGUUUAACACUAGUUCAAGGAAGUGAUAAAUUUAGGGAGUUCACUCAUGAGAGUAGAGGAACACCUUUGUGACCUAAGUGACUUGUUUCAUAUAAUUUCAUAGAAAAAAUGAACUUGUAAUUAAUUUCAUAACCACGAGAGUAAGUAUGGUUUAGCUAUAUGUAUAGUUGAUUCACUACGAGAGUAGGUUUCACAUACAUUAGAAAAUUACAUCAUAACUAGUCAAGAUAAUAUCAUUCAUUUAAUCAGUAAUCUCAUUUGCAUGAGUAGUAAGGCAUUCCAUAUCUCUAGGAGGUUUUUAGUAUUAUUUUCAUUACUUUUAUGUUUAUGGUAGUCUAGAUAAUAAUGGAGUUCAAAAACUACUAGUAAUUGAAAAUUUUCCCUGUGGGAUCGACCUUUAAUACCCUAUACUCGCUCUCGACUCGUAUACUUGCGAAAAAUCACGUGUGCGGUAUUUAGAAUUUAUAAAUGUAAAACUUGACUGUAGAUGAACUAAUUGAUAUAUGUAUACCCCGCACUCGUCAGUAACCAGCUUGUAUUGAUCCCAUUAUUGUGGAUAAUUGUGCUCUUAUGAAAAAAAAUUAUAAAAAAAUUAGCAAAAUUUAUGAUAACAAAUUAAAUUUAUUCAUACAAAUCAGUGAAAGAAGUAGAAUUUUAAAGACCAUGAUGAAAUUAAUACUUUCAAGGGCUCUAUUAGGAAGACUUCACUUGUUGGUGAAACUACACUAGCACAGUUAUAUGCACAUUUACUGUUUUGGUAUCUAAUUUCCUUGCCUUAAGUUGGGUGCAGAUGUUUAUAUUACAAAUAGAUGGUAUCAUAAAAUUGUUGUAUUCACGUUUGUUCUUUUUUUUUCUUCCUUAAGUUUUUUUCUUUAUUCUCGUGACUUCAAAAAUACGAACUCAAGAAAUUGGCUGCUUAAUCAAUAUGUCAUACAGGCUUCGCUAGUGAGGUAUAACUUCACAACUAGAGUCAAUAGAAAUUAUCAAAUGAUUUUUUAACAUCCAAAUUAAGCAAUAAAUUUUGUUUUCAUUUUAUGACAUAUAAUAGUACUACUUCAUGAGAGAUUUUAUAGUUUCUUUUAGGUAUCAUACCUACAAGUGAUAUUUGUCAUUGGAUAGUGACAGAAGUGUUAAUGAUUGUAAGAUUAAAUAUUGUUAAAUAUUGAAAUUUAAACUAUUUAUCUUUAUUGAAAGAUACAAGUUAAAGAAUCGUUCAAGGGGGCAAUUUUCCAUCUUGUCUUUUUGAAAAAACGCUAUCACAUUGUAUAGGCAUGAUAGGUUCAAAUUUGUCAUUAAAUUUAUGAUUGAUUUCCCUUUUAUUCAAGCCAAAUAUUGUUUUAAUUAUCAAAUUCUACUUAUAUUUGGUUAAUUGUACUAAUUGUAGGGCGGUAGAGCAAAAGUUGCUAAAAAUAGGUGAUUUUCUGCAAAUUGGUUGUCAAGGCUGAAGGAUUUGGGAUUCGCAUGUUCAAGGCCUGUUUCCAAGUUUGAUUCAAACUCUGGACAGUUUUAGAGGAAGAUUUGGAAGAUUUGAAAUUUCAUUAUUAGUUUUAUGGUUGAAUUAGGAAUCUUGGAAUAAUUUCUUUUGUGAUUUAUUUUUCUAUUUAGGAGACUAGUUGUUAUUUAGUAGUAGACUUCAAUUAGAAAACAAAGAGAAAAAGAAGGCCGGAAUCCCGCUUGAUUAAUACCUUGGCCAGGGAACAAUCUCGGUGGGGAGGACGGCCACUUAGCCUCUCAAUUCAUCUUGCUUUUCGUUAGUUUGAGAGGAAAACCAAUUGCAACUAGAUUCAAUGGAGUCUGGCAGAAUUUCUUCUAGGAUGCGUAGCUAAAUCCUCAAUUUUUAGUCGAAGGUCAAUUUGAAAAUUCGGUUCCAAAUAUCUGUGAAAUCGAAUUAUUUUACUUAUUUCUUUUAUUUAUUGGUAUUCGCACGUUUUCUGAUUUAACUUUUUAUGAUUGUUUUGUUAUUUGAAUGUCAAGGGUCCGAUAUUCGAAUUAACUUAAUAAUCUACUGCCAAAUUAACCGGUUAAAUCCGUAAUUGUUUGAUUGAUUAAUAUCAGUGGCGACUAGCGUGAUUGGUCCCAUGUUAGGAAAACGUCUGAUCUAAUUUAAACAAACCGUCGUAGCGUGUUUGUUGAUUAGGGUUGGACUUUUCUAAUUCUUAAUUCAAUUGAGAAAUUAAAUCUCCCGGUCGUACCUAAGAUUAUUUUUUUGUUAGCGAAAUAGUUAAUGGUCGUACCUUGACUAUCGAAAAAGUAAGGAAGAGUUGAUUGUUUAUCGCGUGUACGACAACUAUAAUCAAUCUAUUAAUGAGUAAUUGAAUUAUCUUUGCAUCAGUAAUCAGUUGAAUGGACCGUGUCUGAAAAGUUGUACCUUUGGCUAGAGUCUUAUCUGUUGUUGAUUCAUUCAUAUCUAUCUUCAUGCGUUGUUUUAAUUUAGUUAAUUAGUUAUUUUUAUAAAAACCCCUCAUCUCUGGACUCUAAAAGAAAUAAAUUAUUUCUAGUUCCUGUGGAUUCGAUCCUACUCACCGCUAUAUACAAAAUUUGUAUUUUUUUGAAUAAAUAAUUAUUAUUACACAGGCUUGACACCUGUCAAGGCAAAAUUUCCUUAACUUCAUCAUCUGUAGACGUAAACUUUCUACGGGUGAUAUAAUAUAAGGAAAUUUUGCCUAUACGAUGUGAUAGCAUUUUUUCAAAAAAGACAAGAUGGAAAAUUGCUCCCUUGAACGGAAAAAAUCAUGAUCUUUCCUCAAACUAGUCUACUAGUCAAUUCUUUACAAAAGAAUACUCGCUCCUAAACAUAGCCUGUUCAUCUACACUGUCCCGCAGAAUUCUAGAAAGUUAGGCAAAACUAGACAAGUUGACAGGUAUAAUCAUACCCAAGAUCAGGAACAAGCAGUUGCACAUUUCAAAAUUCGCUGCUGCAACAGCUAAUUUGAUGACUUACAACACUACACGGUCAAACUUUGAAUGGCAAUGGAUCUUUUGUUGUACGUCAUGAUGUAAUUUUCAUGUUACAUACAUUAAUAGGUUGAUAUCUAUAUUCUUUAAAUUAUCAUGAUAAUACCCUUAAUUAGAUUUAACUGAUAAAAAGAACACGUGUUAAUAUACAAAAGUGUGUAACGUGAAUGUUACAUUACUGUAUUGCAGAAGACCUAUAGUCUCUUCAUAUCUCUUCCUGCACGUAUCAAUUCGUUUCCUCUAGAUAAUAAUCUCCCAACUCGUUUCUUUACAAAUGCACCUUUUAUGUUUUAUUACCUCCAAAAGCCUUUACAGGGUCUUUACCCUAAAAAUCAAUUCACCGACUCGCAUUUGAUGUCAGAAAUUCUUAAGACGAAUUCUACUUUACUCAAAGAUUGACUGUUAAUAAUGAGACAGCGACCAUUUUGUAUUAUUAGACCGUCCUUCUUGAUAGGUAAAAGAAAUAGAGAGGAAAGUGGGUCCGUAUAUGGUCUUUUAUUCAUAGAUAAUACAACAUUACGCCAUCGAGCAUUCACACAAUAUUUCAAAGUCAUAGCAUGCCUAAGGCCCUGUUUGAUAGCUCAAUUUCGUAAUUAAAUUUAAUAGAUUCAAAUUUUAACACAUUUAAAUCAUUUGAUAACAAAAAAUUGAAUAUUUAAAUUAAUUAAGUAACACUGAACUUUCUAAACAAAACUUGCUUUCAAAAUUAAGUGAUAAGUUAUUCACUUAUCUUUGAAUGUGAUAUGCACUCAAAUAUAUUAAAUUUAAUAAUUUAAUGGAUUCAGAUUUCAGAUUUCAGUUUUAUUACACACCCUAAGUUGCAAAAUAAUACCAAAACUUGUUAUUAUAUAGCUUGAGAUUCAAAAAUUUAGAGCAUAAUUCUCAACCUAACACAAUCGAAUAAUGAAUAUUCACGAUUGUUUCAAAGUACAAUUUGAGGACAACCCAUUCCAACGCGUACACGAUUUUUAACUUUUCUAAAGUUGUUGAGAGCUGUUAAAAGAGAUUUACCAUGUUUACAUCUUCCAAGUCUUGGAAGUGAAAAAUGAAGCCACUGAGUGCUAUAAAAAGGGGGCUAGAGGCUGCCUAGAAGCAUAUCAGCCUAAAACAAGAAUUUGUAGUAACAAUGGGGAGCAAAGCAAAAGCAACGGGGUCUAGGCUGACUCCUCUUCUUACCACUGUUUUAGUGGUAUUUGUCGCCCUUGGCUUGCCCUUGGAAACUGCAGCUGAUUAUUACAAGUAUUCAUCUCCUCCUCCUCCUCCUUACCACUAUUCUUCACCACCACCUCCAGUGUAUUCACCUCCACCAACCCCUGCUUAUAAGUUACCCCCACCAUCUCCUCCAGUUUACAAGUCCUCACCACCACCUUACCACUACUCACCACCUCCGGUGUAUUUACCUCCACCAUCUCCAGUUUACAAGUCACCACCACUACCCCCUCCGGUAUACAACUCCCCGCCUCCACCAGUGUACAAAUACAAGUCCCCACCACCACCUCCUCCAGUUUACAAAUCUCCAUCGCCACCAGUUUACAAAUACAAGUCACUCCCACCACCUCCUCCGGUAUACAAGUCUCCUCCGCCACCUGUUUACGAGUACAAGUCUCCUCCACCACCUCCUCCAGUGUACAAGUCCCCACCACCUCCAGUUUACAAGUACAACUCACCUCCACCUCCUCCCCCAGUUUACCUGUCUCCACCUCCACCCUAUCAUCACUACUACGGUUCUCCUUCUCCUCACCACUACUAAGCAAGUGCAUAAGUUUUGAGGUAAUAAUACCUAUCCAAAACUUUAUCAACACAAACUGCCAUGUAUAUUAUCAUGCUAAGGACGUACACUUGAUCCAUGAAAAUGACUAGUAGAAGAUUUUUUUUAAGAACCAAAGAAAUACAUUAUUUUUUCGGUCUGUUUUCAAGAAUUUGAGCAGUAUACAGAUUAAAGAGUGUUUUUUUUUUUGUAAACUUGCUUGUCAACUUAAAAAUGCACAUAGCUGAAAGCCAACUGAAUAUUUGCAGGCAAAGGAGAAGGCAAUCGGUGUUUGAGACCUUCAAGAAGAUGUAGAAGAAUAAGAAUAAAAGCCCAAUGCGAGGAUGAUUCCAAGUUUCUACGUUACCAUUUCUACAUCUAAAUUGACUUUAGCUCCUGAGUUCCAUGUUUAUGGGGUUUGUACCGUUUUACGUACCAUGCAGUACAUGCUUGCAAGGUUUUCUGUCCUGUUGGCAAACUGCAGGUCCAUAUAAUAAAUGAAUACUAUUUACAUUACGACACUUUUCUCUUUUUCUCUUAUAUUUUGUCUUUAAUAUUGUUGAUCAUUUUUUUUUUAUCAAAAGCAUCAAAUGCUUAGGUAAUUUGGUCUAAUGCUAAUUGUUUUACUUUUAUUUUUCACCUACACCCCUUUUCAACUCAAAGGAUGCUAUAGUUUGUGAUAAUUGUUUAAGACCGAAGCAUGAUACUAAUAAAUAUCUCAUUGAAAGUCAAGGAAACUAACAUUAGGAAAAGUUUAAAUCUUGAUUUGAUGAAACUAUUUAUUCGUGGAAUUUAGAGAUACAAAACUCAAAUUGUGACGGUGUUGUUGCUAAAUUAUUAAGGACAUUAUCACCAUUAUUUUUCCCUGAUCACUAGUUUCAACUGCAAUGAUCUCAAUCUUUUUGUGACUAAUUCUUUCCUUAAUAAUUUAUAAAGACAAAACUCACAAAGAAUAUGUGACUAAUUCUUUCCUUUCGUCUUCUAAAGAAAAUGCCAACUGUUAGUUUAUCAAGGGGAAAAAGGAUCGACAUCAGUUAUUAUUGAAACUAGUAAGGAAUAAAUAAUGGUGAUAAUGUCCUUAAUAAUUUAACAACAGCACCAUCAGAAUUUGACUUUGAGCUUCGGUCUUAAACAAUGAUCACAAACUACAGCAUCCUUUGAGUUGAAAAAGGAAGUAGGUGAAAAGAAAAGUAAAAAAUACAAUUAGCAUUCCCUCAAAUUGUAGAAAGUUAGGUAGCAUUAUAGACAAGUUGAUAGCGGCAAUUUUACAUUUCAAACUUCACCUAUUCAAUAACUAAUUCGAUGGCUUGCUACAUGGUCAAUCUUUGGACCCCUUCCUGCCUCCAGAUAUCCCUUUCCUCAAUCAGGGGCUUCUACAAUUACCAGUUUCAAUUGUAUGGUAUAGUGUAAAUAUCAACAAAUUAGAUGUAGAUGCUAACAUAAUAAAUGUGAAUGCUAAGACAGCAACAUACAAUCGAACCUGCAAUUGUAUGAACCCCAAUCUCGCUUCCUAGUCCACCAUCUUUCUCUAGGUAAUAAUCUCCCUUCUAAUUUAUUCACAAAAUGCACCUUUCAUCACCUCCAAUAGCGUCGACAUGAUCUUUACCCUAGAAGACUAUUCACCGACUCUCAAUUGACGUCAGAAAAUCUAAGAGUAAUUCUACUUUACCCUAAGAUUGAUAUCAACAAGACAAGGACAAUUUAGAAUUAUUACACGCCUCUUCUUAAUAGGAAAAAGAAAUAGAGAAGAAAGUCAGGCCAGGUCUAAUUUCUUUUCAAAGGCAAUACAACAUUACGAAAUCAAGCAUUCAUUCAUACAAAUAUUUCAUAGUCACCGGUUUGCUGAGUAGAAAAAUUUAGACAAAAACUUAAUAUUAUAUUGUUUAAGAGUUAACAAUUUAGAGCUUAAUCUCCUUGUACUUUGGAGUUAACAAUUUAGAGCUUAAUCUCCUUGUACUUUGGACUAAACUUGAACGUGAAAGGAAAUCCCAAAACCAUAUUGGGCAUGAAUUCACACUUAAUAUACCCAAUAAAAGAUGGCGACUGGUGAAAGGCAGUGGAGACUGGUGGAGAGAUUUGAGGAAUAGAAGCAGACGGAAAAGCAACAAAUUUUUGCCGAAAAACGGUCACUUUCAUGGUUAAUUUUGCUACUCUCCAAUUGUACUUGACCAAUUACAACAAUUUCAUGGAGUUUGAUACGUGAAAAGAAUUUUUUAUAAAUUUUAUUUUGAUCCAUAAUGUUAUCUUUACAUAUAUAAAACAUUUUACAAUUUUGAUUUUGGCGCAGCUAACUUUUGGUUAACAAAAAUGCUCAUGUUUAAAAAACCAGAAAUAAAACAAAACAAGAAACAAAAGAAAUAAGAGGGUAGCAUAGACAUUUUGGAUUUUUCCGUUAAUUUGGAUGAUUUCCACCCACGUUCUAAUUUAAUCCAAAACACAAAGGAAUUACGUAGAGGUUUUAAAUAAUGAGGGAGCUUCAUGAUCGAACCCCAAACCACAAGGCGAUUUACUAUAUUUUACUCUUAAAUUUUGGUUUCAUCUCAUAGCAUACAAGAGUUCUAUUUCACUAUCUGUAGACAAAGACUUUCUAUGGUUGAUGUACCAUAGGAAAAAAUCUGCCUAUACAACGUGAUAGCAUUUUUUCAAAAACACAAGAUGGAAAAUUGCCCCUUAAACGGGGAAAUUCAUGAUCUUUCGUCGAACAAAGAAUACUCACGCCUAUUCAAGAUGGAAAAUUGCCCCCUUAAACGUCUAUUUGUCAAUUCUUGAAAAAAGAAUACUCACGCCUAAAACACGGCCUCUUCAUCUGCAGAAUUCUAAAAAGUUAGGUAAACUCUAUAAACAAGUUGAUAGGUACAAUCGUACCCAAGAUCAAGUACAGAUAGUUGUACAUUAACUGCUGCAAUAACUAAUCUGAUGACUUAUAAACAUAUCAUGGUCAAUCGUUGAAUGGUAAUGAGUCUUUUGUUAUGCAUUAGUAUUAGUGUGUACACUCUAAUAGAUUGAUACUUAUACUCUUUAAAUUAUCAUAAUAAUACCCUUAAUUAACUUUAACUCUUAAAAAGAAUACAUGUUAAUACACGAGUGUGUGUAACCUGAAUUGUUACUUAUAAAUUAGUGUGUAAUAGAUAGGGAUGGCAAUGGGGGCGGGUGCCCGCGGGGGGCUCUCGGGGCGGGGGUUGGGGCGGGGGGGAAUUUUUUCCCCCCGUUUAGAAAUGGGGCAGGGGACGGGGGAGUAUACCCCCGCCCCAUCCCCCGCAAAAAAAAAAUUAUAUAUAAUAUGUAAUUUAAUUAGUUAUAAACUUAUGAUAAUGAUAUUAUUAGUUAGAUGUAUUAUAUAAUGUAUAUUAGUGUAUGUAAUAUAAUUAAUAUUAUCAAUUAUAUGAAUAAUUAGACAUGUCUACUAAUAGAAUUUAUGAAUUAGUUAUACUAAAUUUACUAAUACAUUUAUACUAAAUUUCUAAUUACACUUAAUAGAAUAACACUUUUUUCUAAAACAAAAAAGCACAAACACAAUAAUGAAUUAGUGAUUGUAUGAUAGGGUGUAAUUUUACUAUUUAUUUUAUUAUUAAUUUCCCCUAUCACCUGACCUGAUGUGGAUUAAUUGCUGGAUUCUGCUCACUUUUAGUACUUUGUAUUUAUUUCAGGGAGUAGAACGGAAAUUUGAUAACAGGUGCUAAUUUGGCAGAAAAAGAGUCCAGAUGAUAGAGCUUGCCCCAAGGGCAUUUUUGGAAAGGAGAACUUGUGCCCAUCUUGGUAAUUUGGGAGAAAAGGGAAACAGACAAAAUGGGUCUAACAUGGAUUGGAAGCGGCCGCACAGUAGCAGGGAAGAGGGCAGACGUAAAAGCAAUUGCAGGGGGGAAAAGGAGUUUUUUUAGUUUUUAGCUUAGCAUCUGAUUUUCCCUGGGAGACUUUUGUUAAAGAUUUCCUUUUGGCUGAUAUUACGCAUGGCAGAUGGCUUUUAACUUAUUCCUCCAUCUUUGACUUUUCUUCUUUAGCUUGUGGCAGUGGAUUGCUACUUACGAAUGUCAGCACUUAGCCAUUCGUGGCUUUUGAUCUUUUCUUCCUUAGAAAUUCUGAGUAACCUCUUUUCCUUUGUGCGCCAGACGAAGUGAAAACUAUAAACUUUUGUAGUUUUUCUAUUCAUUCAAUAUAUUGAGACGAGUUGGAUUCUACCAAAUUUCAACGGACAUGGCCGCUGGUUUCUCUUCAAUUUUAUAUGGGCUUUGUUCAUCCAACAUGAACUAAUUUCACCACUCUAGUCAAGGAGCAACGAAGGCUCUGAUUUGCCUAAAAAUUGUGAGAUCGUUUUAAUUUAAUCUUUUCCUUUUAUUUAUUGGUAUCCGCACAUUUCUUGAUUGCUAUGCUUAUGGUUAUUUAAUUAAUUGAUUGUCUUGGAUCCAGAUAAUUAAUUGAUCUGAUAGCCUAUUGUCAAUUAGGGCAUUUAAAUCCGUAAUUGUUUAAUUGUCCUGAAAUAGUGACAACUGGCACGAUUAGAUUCGUGCCAGGGGGGAUAUGCGGGCUAAUCUAAAAUAACCCUGGUAGUGUGUUAUUUGGUUAGAAUAGGGCUCCUCUAAUACUAAGGCAAUUGGGGAAUUAAAUUCUACGGGCGUACCUAGGAUUAUUUCUUAAUUAGAGCAGUGAUUAACGGGCGUACCUUGAUCACCGACACAGUAAGGAGGGGUUGACCGUCAUCGCUUGUUUGGCAGUUAUAACCUAUUUAUCAGUAAAUAAUUGGGAUUGCCUUGCAUCAAUGAUCAAUUAGGUGAACCAUUGUUGAAGUUACUUCUUGGUUAGAUCUUUAGUUAAUAUUACCUUGAUUUUGGUGAAUUGCCAUUUGAUUUUUAGUUGCCUACUUUAUUUUAUUUUUAAUUGUUUCCUUGCUUUAAUUGAGUUAGGCCUUUAAUUAUUGUUAUUCUAAGUUUAGUGAAUUGUGGUUUAAUUCCUAAUUAGUUAUUUAUUUUUACUUUCUUAUUUGAAUUUAUUUGCUUGUUAUCAUUCCUACGAAAUCACCCCCCUGUGUUACUUUGGAUUUCUUAAGAAACAAAUAUACCCAAUCCCUGUGGAUACGACCCUACUUGCUCUGUUCACGAAUUCAUAAUUAUUUGUGAAAAGAAAUAACCAUUCCACUCGGGUAUAUCGGAUCAAGCAAAUUCUUCGGGAACAGGGUGAAUCAAGUAACCCAAUGCACACCUAGAGUCCCUGCUCCAGUACUUGGAAUUGGGUUUUGGUCAUUUUAACUGGCAAUUAGGUUUAAUUUUAUUAUUGCACAGGCUGACGACCCUGUCAAUUUUUGGCGCCGUUGCCGGGGACUGGCGUUAUUAUUUGUUUCUUUUUAAAUUCAUUCUUUGUCCUAAUUUUCUGGUUUUCUUCUAGUGUAUGCCUCGAUCUUCUCGUACAGGUAAUUUGAUUUUUGACCCUGAGGUAGAGAAGACCGCAUGUAGAACGAGAAAGGAAACCAGACAGCUCAGAGAAGAGCACUCCAGUGCUACAUCUCAGAGACCCGAGUCAGAAGUUGAACUAACAGAUUCGUUUGGUAACACUUCGAGUGACUCUGACCAGGAGGAAGACACCAUGGCUAAUGCACGAACAUUAAGGGAGUUGGCUGCUCCUGAUUUAACUCAGCAGCCUUUAUGCAUUACUUUCCCCACUUUAAAUGAUAACAUUCCAUUUGAACUAAAAUCUGGUCUGAUUCAGCUUUUACCCUCUUUUCAUGGUUUACCAGGUGAAGAGCCGUAUAAGCAUCUGCAGGAGUUUGAUGUCGUGUGUAAUAGUAUGAAACCCUCGGGAAUCACAGAAGAGCAGAUAAAAAUGAGGGCAUUCCUCUUCUCCUUGAAAGAUUCUGCGAAGGACUGGCUGUACUACCUGUCACCAGGUAGCAUCACCACGUGGGACCAAUUGAAGAAAAAAUUUUUGGAUAAAUAUUUUCCUGCGUCCAGGGCUGCAAGUCUAAGGAAAGAAAUUUGUGGGAUCAAGCAGCAUCCAGGGAAGUCACUUUAUGAGUAUUGGGAACGGUAUAAGAACUUGUUGCGCAGGUGCCCCCAACACCAAAUAAGUGAGCAAUUGAUCAUACAGUAUUUUUAUGAGGGGCUCCUUUUUAGAGACAGGAGCAUCAUUGAUGCCAGGGGGGAGGGUUGGGAUGGGUGGUACGGGGGGAGGGAGUGUAAGCAAGAGGUCUCGGGUUCGAGUCCUCCCGCUUACACACAAAAAAAAAGAUGCUGCAAGUGGAGGGGCACUGGUAAACAAAACCCCUCAGGAAGCACGGGAGUUAAUAGAGGGGAUGGCAGAGAAUUCACAACAAUUCAGUACAAGAGAGGAUGUCCCAAUACGUAAGGUGAAUGAGGUAGAGACACCCUCUAUGCAGCAGCAGCUAACUGAGUUGACCGCGUUUGUUAGGCAACUGGCUGUGAGAAAUGCAUCACAAGCCAGGGUGUGCGGGAUUUGCACUGGUAUGGGUCAUUCUGCAGACAUGUGCCCAAUGAUUCAGGAAGAAACUGCAGAACAGGUGAACAUGGCUGACCACGCGCCCGCGCCAAGGAAGCAGUACGACCCUUACUCAAGCACCUACAACCCCGGGUGGAGAGAUCAUCCCAACCUCAGUUAUGGAGAAAAUAGGCAGCCCAACAUUACACCGAACAGGCAGUCUAACUUUGUGCCAAAUAGGCCACCAGGGUACCAGCAGCAAUAUCAACCCCGACCACCUCCGUCCCCAAGCUCUGGCCCAUCUUUGGAGGAGAUGAUGAAACAAAUGAUGACAACUAUGGCUCAAAAUCAGCAAAUGACGGAGGCAACCAUUAUGCAAAAUCAGCAAAGGACGGACUCCGAAAUGAAGGAUAUAAGGAAUCAGAUAAGUCAAAUGGUCACAACAAUCAACCGUUUGGAUUCCCAGAACCAAGGUAAAUUGCCAUUUCAGCCCGAAUUAAAUUCGAAGAACGUGAGCGCAAUGACCCUAAGGAGCGGGAAAGAAAUUCAGGGGUCUGAACCUGUGAUCCCUAAGGAUAAGGAUGAGGAAAAGAUCGAAAAUGAGCUUGAAAGGGAGGACAGCAAUGGUGCAGAUCUAAAGGUACUUCCUGACCCAAUAAUUACAGCUAAAACUAACCCGCCUCCUUUUCCUAGCAGGUUGGAAAAAUCGAAAAAAGAGGAUAAGGAGAAGGAGAUCUUGGAGGUUUUUCGCAAGGUUGAGAUAAAUAUCCCCCUCUUAGACGCAAUCAGACAAGUACCAAAAUAUGCCAAGUUCCUAAGGGACUUGUGUGUCAACCGAAGGCAGUUGAGGGAAGAUGAACGGGUUAUUGUUGGGGAGAAUGUGUCAGCAGUCCUGCAGAGAAAGCUCCCACCAAAGUGCGGGGACCCAGGUAUGUUUACUAUUCCCUGUAGGAUAGGUAAUACUGUGAUAGAAGGGCCAUGUUGGAUCUGGGAGCAUCAAUUAAUCUCAUACCUAAAUCUAUCUAUGCUUCUCUAAAAUUAGGUCCAUUAAAAGAAACUGGAAUAAUCAUUCAAUUAGUUGACCGAACUAAUGCAUAUCCUGAUGGGUUGGUUGAAGAUGUGUUGGUAAAAGUUAAUGAUUUGAUGUUUCCAGCUGAUUUUUAUGUACUUGAUAUGGAUGAUGAUCACUCCCCUGAUCCCUCACCUCUGUUAUUGGGUAGACCCUUUAUGAGCACAGCACAGACGAAAAUUGAUGUUAAUAAGGGUAUCUUGUUCAUGGAGUUUGAUGGGAAAAUUGUGCAUUUCAAUAUCUUUGAUACUAUGAAAUAUCCCUCAAACUCCAACUUUAGCACAGUUUUCUCUGUGAGUGCUAUUGACCCUGUAGUGCAGGAAGUGUUUGAAACUGAUGGCAGGGAUGAGUUGGAGGUGGCUUUGACCAAGCACCUCGAGUUGGAGACAACUCCUGAGGUGGAAUGGAGCGAGGACCUAAAAUGCACAAUAGGUGCAUUACACUCAUUGCAGUCCACCACGAAAAGGUAUGAAGUCUUACCUAUUUUUACUCCCGAACCUCACCAGAGGGUGUUGCCAUCUGUGGUGCAGGCACCUGUACUAGAAUUUAAACCUCUAUCAGAGCACCUGAAAUAUGCAUAUCUGGGUGAUAAUGAGACACUCCCGGUGAUUAUCUCAUCGACACUGUCAAAAAUCCAGGAGGAGAAACUGAUCCGGGUCCUUAGAGAGCAUAAAGAGGCGAUAGGUUGGACAAUCGCAGAUAUUAAGGGGAUCAGCUCGGCCAUCUGUAUGCACCGGAUUAGACUAGAAGAGGAUGCCAAACCUGUUAGGCAGGCUCAAAGGAGGCUCAACCCCCUAAUGAUGGAAGUUGUAAAGAAAGAAAUUUUAAAAUUGCUAGAUGUGGGGAUUAUUUUUGCAAUAUCAGAUAGCCCUUGGGUAAGCCCGAUCCAGGUAGUCCCAAAGAAGGCAGGGGUGACGGUGGAGGCAAACCAAACGGGUGAGCUCGUGCCAGUGCGCAAACCCACUGGAUGGAGGCAGUGUAUAGACUACCGUAGGCUAAACGCCGUCACCAAAAAGGACCAUUUCCCUCUCCCUUUCAUUGACCAAAUGGUUGAACGUUUAGCUUGUAGAGCUUAUUAUUGCUUUUUGGAUGGAUUUUCAGGAUACUUUCAGAUAGCAAUUGCUCCAGAGGAUCAAGAGAAGACAACCUUCACGUGCCCGUUCGGGACCUUUGCUUAUAGACGAAUGCCAUUUGCGUUGUGCAAUGCACCUGCAACAUUCCAGAGGUGUAUGGUAAGUAUUUUUUCUGAAUAUGUGGAGAAAAUUAUUGAAGUUUUCAUGGACGAUUUCAGUGUGUAUGGUGAUAGUUUUGAUACGUGUUUAGAUAAUCUGAAAUUGAUCCUGAUAAGGUGUAUAGAGACUAAUCUUGUGCUUAAUUGGGAAAAAUGUCAUUUUAUGGUUGAGCACGGGAUAGUCCUGGGUCAUAUUGUAUCGUCUAAGGGCAUAGAAGUUGACAAGGCUAAAAUAGAUAUUAUUUUUGCAUUACCUUACCUCGCGAGUGUGCGGAAGGUGCGUUCUUUUCUUGGACAUGCAGGUUUUUAUCGAAUGUUCAUCAAGGAUUUUUCAAAAAUUGGAGCCCCGUUAUUCCAACUCCUACAAAAGGAUGUGACCUUCGAAUUCGAUGAUAAGUGUGAGGAAGCCUUCAACAAGUUGAAAGAAUUGUUGACCUCACCCCCAAUUAUCCAGCCCCCUGAUUGGAGUCUACCAUUUGAGAUCAUGUGCGAUGCCAGUGAUCAUGCCGUAGGGGCUGUAUUGGGGCAAAGAGUAGGGAAGGCAGCUCACGUCAUCUACUAUGCAUCCCGAGCAUUGAAUGGAGCCCAAUUGAAUUACUCCACUACUGAAAAGAAGCUUCUUGCAGUUAUUUUUGCUUUAGAAAAAUUCAGGUCAUAUUUGCUAGGUGCUAAAGUAAUUGUAUUUUCUGACCAUGCAGCAUUAAGGUACCUAAUGACCAAGAAAGAUGCCAAACUGAGGCUCAUUAGGUGGAUAUUGCUACUGCAGGAAUUUGACCUGGAGAUACGGGAUAAAAGGGGCUCAGAGAAUUUAGUAGCUGACCAUCUGAGUCGUAUACCCGUUGGAGAGGAUAAUGAACCAUUGAGGGAUGCGUUCCCUGAAGAGCACUUAUUUUCUUUAAAUUCUCAGUUGCCUUUGUAUGCCGAUCUGGUCAAUUAUUUGGUAACUGGUAAUUUUCCUGCAGGUUGACCAAAAUCGAAGAGGGAUAAAUUGAAGAGCGACGCCAAGUAUUUUAUUUGGGACGACCCGUACCUAUGGAAGAGGUGUGCAGAUCAAGUGAUGCGGAGAUGUGUAAGUGAAAUGGAAUUUCAAUCGAUUUUAGCUUUUUGUCAUACUUUUGCCUGUGGAGGUCAUUUGGACCCAAGAGAACUGCUCAUAAGGUUUUAGAAAGUGGAUUUUAUUGGCCUUCAUUGUUUAAGGAUGCCUAUGUGUUUUGUAAGUCAUGUGAUCGCUGUCAAAGGGUAGGUAAUAUACCCCGUAGAGAUCAAAUGCCCCAAGUCCCGUUGAUUUUUAUUGAAAUUUUUGAUGUCUGGGGUAUAGAUUUCAUGGGGUCUUUUCCUACUUCAUUUGGUUUUUUAUAUAUUUUGCUGGCAGUUGAUUAUGUGUCUAAAUGGGUGGAGGCUAAGGCCACUCGAACUAAUGACUCGAAAGUAGUUGCAAAUUUUGUCAGGUCUAAUAUUUUUGUGCGAUUUGGAAUGCCUAGUGCUAUUGUCAGUGAUAGGGGAACGCACUUUUGCAACAAAAUCAUAGCUGCGUUGUUUCGCAAGUAUGGUGUACUCCAAUGGGUCUCAACGUCGUACCACCCUCAGACCAAUGGUCAAGCGGAGGUGUCGAAUCGAGAGAUCAAGUCUAUCUUGGAGAAAAUGGUGCGCCCCGAUAGGAAAGACUCGAGUCAAAGGCUGGAGGACGCACUUUGGGCCUAUCGGACGGCGUACAAGACUCCUAUAGGGAUGUCACCGUACAGGUUGGUAUUUGGGAAGCCGUGUCACCUUCCAGUGGAGUUUGAGCACAAAGCUUUUUGGGCGAUAAAGUAAUGCAACAUGAAUUUAGAGGAAGCCGGUGCCCAACGAAAGUUGGAUUUGCAAGAAUUAGAAGAGAUCCGGAACGAGGCUUACGAAAAUGCACUAAUUUAUAAGGAGAGAAGCCGGAUAUUUCAUGAUCAACAAAUUUCAAGAAAAUCCUUUGAAGUUGGUCAGAAGGUCCUACUAUACCAAUCCAGGCUCAAGCUAUUCCCAGGUAAACUACGUUCCCGUUGGAUUGGACCUUUUCUUGUUACUCAUGUUUUUCCAUAUGGUGCAGUUGAAAUCCGGAGCGCUAAAACAGACAACAAAUUUGUGGUGAAUGGACACCGUCUCAAGCAUUACUACGAAGGAUUUUCAGGUGAAAAGGUGGAGACAAUAAGUCUAGACGCGCCACCGUGUCCUAAUCAGUGACAUUUUACUAUGUCUAGCCAAAGACAUUAAAGACAGGCGCUCAUUGGGAGGCAACCCAAUUGUCCCUUUUAAUUAUUUGUUUGAUUUCGUGUGAUAGUUUAAAUAUGUUUUCCUUGAAUUCGACUGAUUUUGGGUUUCAGUUUUCGUUUUUGCUGAAUUGUAGGUGACCUUCAGUCUUGACGCGCCCGCGUGAUGACAUGCAGGAAGCUCACGAUCAGAAUCGUCUGAAAGCUCUCUUGCCCUUUUGACGCACCCGCGUGAUGACGUGCAGGAAGCUCACGAUCAGAAUCGUCUGAAAGCUCUCUUGCCCUCUUGACGUGCCCGCGUCACGUUCGCAGGAAAGGUACGGGUUUCAAAAAUUUAAAGAAAAAAUAAUAAUAAUAAUAAUUUAAAAUUUUGAAAUUAACUUCCGUAAAAAAAAAAAAGAAGAAAAAAAAUUUCACCGUGGCUUAAAUAGAGCCUAAAGAAGAGAAAAAAGAAACAAUUUCUUUCUUUUUUUUUUCUUUUUCUUCUUUCUUCCUUCUUUCUUUCUUUCUUCUUUCUCUUUUCCCUCUCUCUUCUCCCCUGUUUCUUCUCCCCUGUCCGUCGCCCGUGCGCCCCAUCGCUGCUCCACCUCCACACGCACGCCGACGCUGCGAGCCACCUGCGACCCCAGCGCCAGAUCUGGACCAUCGCCGAAACCCGCAGCCUCCGCCACCUCCACCUGAGCUCUGCCUCGCGCGCAACCCAGCUGCUCUGCGCCCGAAGCUCCACCGCCGCCACAGCCUCCCCACGCAGCUCCCUGCUCACGCGGCCACAAGCCCAUUGGAAACGGGACAGAGACUGCCGCCGAGCCACUUGCCCGCGUGACCGCCGCUGUUUUCCACCACCUCCCUCACGCGAGCUCUUUCCCUCUCAGCAGCAAUCCACUUCACAGCGCACCCGCUGCGCGCCGUCGCAGCCCUCGCAGCUCCAGCCCGUCUGGUCUAGUCCGCCGCGCGCACCAACCACCCACGGACGCUACCCCCAUCGCUAACCCACGCGGCCUCCACUCCAGUCUGUCCGCCGCCGCUGCUCGUGUCUCCCUUGCGCACCUCACGCCACCCGCUACUGUCCCCUUCCGUUUGGUUAGCAUCCACGGUGGAGGUAAUUGGAGGUUAUUUUCUCAAUUGUGUGACUUCCGCCUGUGAUACUGGUUGCAUUAUUUUUGCUGGGAAUUGCUACUUCUUUUGGGUUGGGUUCAACUGUGCAAUUAAUUGGCCAACUGGAGCCAUUUGUUGGGAUUUUGGGUGAGCUGAAAUACUGCAUUUGUGUGUUACAUUGGGAGGUUUAUUGGGUACAUUCUAACCGCUGUUUUCCAUUGUUACUCUCGCUGGGGUGUCUAUUAAAUUGCGAUUGAAGUAUUUUGGAUAUUGCAUGUUGAGAUUGAGGUUUCAUUGAAUUUGGCCUACGUUCUGCCCCCAGUGGUACUGGUGGGAAUAUUUUCAAUUGAAUUUGUUACCUCUAGUUGGUUGGCUACAUUAUUAUGGUCGAAUUCCUAAGUUGUCGUCAUUGCAUUUGUUGAUCUUGAUUUGGGGCAUUAACCGGCCAACUGGAGCCAUCUGUGCGUUUUUAGGCGCUAUUAUUGGUUUCUUCUCCCUUAACUUUGUCAACUAUAUUUGGUUGGGUAUUUGGUUGACUGCCACGGACUUGUAACUGUGUUUUGCUUCUAAUUGACCAGUUGCACAGCAGUUUUUUUUUAAUUGAUAGGGUGGUUAUACCUCUGGAUAUUUGUAUCCACUGGUUUGAGGACAUGGUGAGACCAAAAUCCUCCUCUAGGUCUAGGACCCCUAGAACCUCGCAAUCCCAACCCCAAGCCUCUACUCUAGUCAAUACCCCUAUAAAUCAACCUACUGCUCCCGGUGUCCGAACCUGGUUAGGUAGGGGUAGAGGUGCCCACGUGGCUUCCGCCACUCACUUGGGAGGGCAUUUGGAAUUCACUAGAGCCGCCGAUCAGCGACGCUAUGCUCAAGCUUGUGAGCGGCGUAUCAUUCCGUGCAAAUGCGCGGACCACAUUACUAUGGUUUUUCUGGGGAUCCAAGGGGAGGUUGAGCGCAUGUACACCGCCAUUGGAUGGCGCCCCUAUCUGGAUAUUUUCCAGCCAGCCUUUGUCGAGUUGACUAGAGAGUUUUACACCACUUUUAAGUUUGAAUUACCGACUAGGUAUACUGUUGCGACUCCCGAUAUCAUUCACUUCCGUCUCAUGGGCCAGGAAUUCAAUUUCUCUAUCACCCAGUUCAAUCUGGCUUUCGGUUUCAUCACUCGGGAGUAUGCAGAGACUAGGGAAUACGGUGAGAGUGCCUGCGAUUUUGUGGAACCUUUCCUUACCGCCUACCGUGAGGUGUGGGAGGACAUGUCUGUGGACAUGCAGCGUUACGAUCCCUCUCGGUCUCGGAGCUCCUUUCUAGAGGACCCGAGUGCUCGGUAUGUUCAGCGGCUUUUAGCAUAUAGCUACUCGGGCAGAAAGAACAGCUUCGGUAUUAUCUCUCGGCCGGAGCUCUUCUUCCUUUGGUGUAUGAAGAAUGGGUUCAAGGUCAAUUUGGGUUGUUGGUUGGCGGCACAGUUCAAGACCGUCAUGGCAAAGAAGAACAAGCCGUUGAUUCUUGGGUCGUAUAUCACGUACUUGGCGGUCCAGCUAGGCGUUCUGAAUCUACAGGAUCACGAUUUGCACUUGGCCUGCGACAUGGAGUAUCUCACUGCUGACCGGCUAGAGAAGAUGGGGGUUCUGGAGCUUGUCGAUGGCCACUACCGAUUUGUGCCCCCGGGACCGCCCCGCGCCCCGCCUCGCUCUUCCUCCACCCAUUCGGCCCCAGUUGGCGGUGAUCCUGGCCCGUCGACAUCCGCUCAGCUCCCUCCACCAGCAGGGGCUGAAGAUUGGCACCAAAUCAGGACGCAGAUUCAGAAUUUGGACGCCCGGAUGAUUAGCAUCGAGAGCAACGUGGCGGCUAUAUCACAGAAUCUGGCGGCAUUCCUGCAGCACUCGGGUUUCCCGCCCCCAAUCCCACCUCACCCUCCACUAUGACCCGGUUUCAGGGAAGUUUGGUUACUUUCUCCCUCACUUUUGUUGUUUUUUGACACAUUGAGGACAAUGUGUCCUAUAGGUGUGGGGGGGUCUAUAGUCUUUCUAGUUUUUAGUAGUUGUUAGUUUUUAGUUUUUUAGUAGUUUUAGUUUUAUUUCUAGUUGCGUAUUUUCUUUCUUUUCUUAGUGCUUAUUCCCCAUGUGAAAAGAAAAAGAAAACAAAAAAAAAGAGAAAAAAAUGUUGGUUUAUUGACUCUAACUCUACUUUUGCCAAGUUUUUUUUAAAUAAAAAUGUAUCGGGUUAAUGUGGUUGGAUCCAGAAUAUCUCCCUGGUGAAUAUCGGAUUGCUUGGCUCUUUUGAUUUCUGUGUUAAUUUCUCUAGGCAUAGGGAAUGACUGUUGGCAUUUUAAUGUGAACUGGUCCAAUAUUGACUCCAGUUCUCUAUGUUUGGCAAUAAUGAGGCGAGCUGUUCCUAUUUUUGGUUCUUAGUGUUGUUAUUAUGUGUUUUUGGCUUUGUUUGGCUGUGAAUAAUCUGGACUGUACUCCGCUAUGAGUUACUACUGAGUAACCGAGGAUCGGCACCUAAAAGUGUCGAUUCUCGCGUCAAAAGGUGGUACUUUAUAUGAGUACGUGGUCGUAUAGCAGUAGGAGCUGAGUAACCGGGCUCCUUCAUCUAAAAAUGUUGGAGUUCGCGUCAAAAGGCCCCGACGGCUAACGACUAAGUCUUUUUGUGUUAAUUAUUAUUGCUUUGAAAAACAAAAAAAAAAAAGAACGAAAAAAGAGAGAAUAAAUAAUAGGAAGGCUUGCCGGUUUAUGGACUUAAUAUGGAGACUUGUGUGAAUAUUUGGACCAUUAGCUAAUAAAUGUUGUGCGCCAUUCCCUUUUCUUAGAGUAGUUAACCUGGAAAUUGAAGGAAUUUGCAGUUUAGGGGCUAACCGGGGGGGAGGCUUCUUGGAUUUUAAUCACCAAUGCUCGAUAUAUGUUUUUCUCUUGAAGAUCUUGGCAAUAUAGGAGAUUGGACAAUGGCCAUCAUCGAAUUUUGGUGUUCGUUUACUAUUCUUAUGCUUGAGGACAAGCAUGGUUUAGGUGUAGGGGGAAUUGAUAGGGUGUAAUUUUACUAUUUAUUUUAUUAUUAAUUUCUCCUAUCACCUGACCUGAUGUGGAUUAAUUGCUGGAUUCUGCUCACUUUUAGUACUUUGUAUUUAUUUCAGGGAGUAGAACGGAAAUUUGAUAACAGGUGCUAAUUUGGCAGAAAAAAGUCCAGAUGAUAGAGCUUGCCCCAAGGGCAUUUUUGGAAAGGAGAACUUGUGCCCAUCUUGGUAAUUUGGGAGAAAAGGGAAACAGACAAAAUGGGUCUAACAUGGAUUGGAAGCGGCCGCACAGUAGCAGGGAAGAGGGCAGACGUAAAAGCAAUUGCAGGGGGGAAAAGGAGUUUUUUUAGUUUUUAGCUUAGCAUCUGAUUUUCCCUGGGAGACUUUUGUUAAAGAUUUCCUUUUGGCUGAUAUUACGCAUGGCAGAUGGCUUUUAACUUAUUCCUCCAUCUUUGACUUUUCUUCUUUAGCUUGUAGUAGUGGAUUGCUACUUACGAAUGUCAGCACUUAGCCAUUCGUGGCUUUUGAUCUUUUCUUCCUUAGAAAUUCUGAGUAGCCUCUUUUCCUUUGUGCGCCAGACGAAGUGAAAACUAUAAACUUUUGUAGUGUUUCUAUUCAUUCAAUAUAUUGAGACGAGUUGGAUUCUACCAAAUUUCAAUGGACAUGGCCGCUGGUUUCUCUUCAAUUUUAUAUGGGCUUUGUUCAUCGAACAUGAACUAAUUUCACCACUCUAGUCAAGGAACAACGAAGACUCUGGUUCGCCUAAAAAUUGUGAGAUCGUUUUAAUUUAAUCUUUUCCUUUUAUUUAUUGGUAUCCGCACAUUUCUUGAUUGCUAUGCUUAUGGUUAUUUAAUUAAUUGAUUGUCUUGGAUCCAGAUAAUUAAUUGAUCUGAUAGCCUAUUGUCAAUUAGGGCAUUUAAAUCCGUAAUUGUUUAAUUGUCCUGAAAUAGUGACAACUGGCACGAUUAGAUUCGUGCCAGGGGGGAUAUGCGGGCUAAUCUAAAAUAACCCUGGUAGUGUGUUAUUUGGUUAGAAUAGGGCUCCUCUAAUAUGUAAGGCAAUUGGGGAAUUAAAUUCUACGGGCGUACCUAGAAUUAUUUCUUAAUUAGAGUAGUGAUUAACGGGCGUACCUUGAUCACCGACACAGUAAGGAGGGGUUGACUGCCAUCGCUUGUUUGGCAGUUAUAACAUAUUUAUCAGUAAAUAAUUGGGAUUGCCUUGCAUCAAUGAUCAAUUAGAUGAACUAUUGCUGAAGUUACUUCUUGGCUAGAUCUUUAGUUAAUAUUACCUUGAUUUUGGUGAAUUGCCAUUUGAUUUUUAGUUGCCUACUUUAUUUUAUUUUUAAUUGUUUCCUUGCUUUAAUUGAGUUAGGCCUUUAAUUAUUGUUAUUCUAAGUUUAGUGAAUUGUGGUUUAAUUCCUAAUUAGUUAUUUAUUUUUACUUUCUUAUUUGAAUUUAUUUGCUUGUUAUCAUUCCUACGAAAUCACCCCCCUGUGUUACUUUGGAUUUCUUAAGAAACAAAUAUACCCAGUCCCUGUGGAUACGACCCUACUUGCCCUGUCCACGAAUUCAUAAUUAUUUGUGAAAAGAAAUAACCAUUCCACUCGGGUAUAUCGGAUCAAGCAAACUCUUCGGGAACAGGGUGAAUCAAGUAACCCAUUGCACACCUAAAAUCCCUGCUCCAGUACUUGGAAUUGGGUUUUGGUCAUUUUAACUGGCAAUUAAGUUUAAUUUUAUUAUUGCACAGGCUGACGACCCUGUCAUUGUAUUUGUACCAAAAGUGAAAACUUAACUAUUUUAGUUGUAUUUAUUUCAUCAUGUUGGAUUGUAUUCAAAUAAUUUUUGUUUGAUUGUUUUUAUAAGUUUCAAUUGUAAAAUUAAAAUGAAUAAUAACUUGAUGAUGUGUUGAUAUUUUAGUACUUGAUUAUUUAUUAAAAUUUAAUUAUAAUAAAAUUUUAUUAACUCAACGAGAAAAAUUUUAUUAAUCCCGUGGGGGCACCCGCGGGGAAAGCGGGGCGGGGCGAGGGGAGUGGGAGGCGGAGGACGGGGCGGGGGCGGGGGAUGGGGGAGGGGUCCCCCGCCCCAACCCCGCCAUCCCCCGUCCCGUUGUCAUCCCUAGUAAUAGACUGGCAAGCAUUGUGGUGGUCAUUGAGCAACUUAUAGGAGAAAUAGUCCUAUAAGCUGUUCAAUGACCAAUCACAACUUGCUAAUUGGAUGACUAAUAUAGCUCUAGCUGUAAUGUUUUAAUUAAAUUACAUCACUAACGUUGGGAUGACUUUUUAACCAAAAAAAAAAAGCCUUAGUUCAAGCUUUUCCCUUUAUUGUGCAUUUUUUAAAGCAUUUGAAAGGCACUGCAAAUCUGUCAUUUUGGACAUUUUAUUAUUGACUAACAAUGAAAGCCGUGGACGUCUACCCAUAACCAACACAAGAUUAAAUUAAUAUUAGAAAAAAUAAUUGAGUAAUUGGAAAAAAAAAAAAAAGAAGAGUCUAAUUUUCAUUGAAACCCACCGACAAACUAUACGUGUCCAUGGCUUUUGAAUAGUGCAUUCAACGUUUAAUUGUAUGGUCCAGUUCAUUGCAGAUUACAUGGAGUAAAGAUUGCGCUCUUUCCUUUUCACCCCUUUUGGAAUCGAUACUGUGGAGAAUUGGGUUUUUCCCUCCUUUUUUUCUUUUCUUUCCUUCUGUGGUUUGCAAAACAUACGUAAAAAUAUGAAAUCCGAAGCAUUCUUUAAUUGGUAUUAAGUAUUGUUGUUGAAAUUAAAAAGAAAAAAGAAAGAACAACAAAAUUCCCAAUCUGGGUUGAUUGUUGAGCUCUAGAUUGGUUGCAUCGUGCUUCCAUAGAAGCAAGAUUUGUAAAAUCGGAAUCCUACAUAGGAUCGAUUUUAGUUUCACAGGAUCGGAUUGUAAAAUCGUAAGAUCCUACCAAAAGCUCUCAAUUGCAAUUAAAGGUUGCAAUUCUUUAAUAAAUUACAAAUAUACCACAAAUAUUUUCAUUUACUUGCAAAAUGGAGCUUCGUAUUUCACAAAUUUACAAAAAAAUUGUAGGAUCGUACGAUCCUACCGAUCCUACGAUCCUACACGAUCCUACCGAUCCUGCUACGAUUCUAUGCGAUCCUACAAAGAUUAAUAUGAUUUGCGACUCUGCAUACGAUCCGGAUCGAUUUUGGUUAUCCGGAUCGUAGGAUCGUAUGAUCCUACGAUCCGGAUCGCGAUUUUGACAACUAUGCAUAGAAGCUCUCUUAGUGUGAUACACUGCUUUCAAUCAGUUUAACACGGGAAAAAAAAAAAGAGAUGAAAAGCAAAUUUGGUGGAGAUAAUUUCAGAAACCUCCCCUGAAGAUUUUGACUAUUCUACUGGUUUCCCUUCAGAUUUUAAAAAUUACACUAAUCUUCCUUGAAGUUAAUUAUCUUGUAACAUUUAAAUUCAAUCAAUAAUUUAAAAAAUGAUAUUAUGAGAGAGAAAAUAAUAUGAUUUUAUCAUUGCCCCCCAUCUUACUACAUUAUUUAAUUAAUUUAAUAGCAACCCACACAUUAAAGAAAAAUAUUAAAAUUUGUUGUUUAUCAUUAAAGAUCAAAUCGCUUAUAACAUCAAAUAAUAGUAUAUUAUUUAUAUUUUUCACUUAAUAUAAUAUCCAAAUUACUCUUUUCAAUUACAUACCCAUUGUUAGAGAAUCAACAACAAAUAACCAAAAAAUUUGCAACCAAAAUAUUACAAAAAAAAUAAACUUUAACAUCAUAAAUAUUCUUAUCAACAUAUUAAAGUUAGUUACUGAAAUUUUUAUGCUGUUAAACUUCACUCUUUUUGAAUACAGAUUUUUUUGAUUAUUUGUUAUUAAUUAUGUUUGAUGAUGGGUUUAUAAUUGAAAAGAACAAUUUGAAACUUACAUUAAGUAAAAUAUAUAGAGUGAUAUACUAUUUUUUAUAACAUAUGUGAUUCAAUCCUUCUUGAUAGGAUUGGUAAUAGAGGUAGAGGGGGGAGUCGGCUGCAUCCGGUCUUCUUUUCAUAGAUAGUACAAUAUUGCGAAAUCAAUCGCAUUCACACAAUAAUAUUUCGAAGUCAAUGCAUGGCUAAGUUGCAUAAAAGUACGAACACUUGUUAUUAUAUAGCUUAAGAUUCAAAACUUUCGAGCAUAACCCUCCACCCAACACAAUUGAAUAAUGAAUAUUCACGAUUGUCAAAUCUGUCAAAGCACAGUUUGAGGACAACCCAUUCCAACCUGCAAAAGAUUUUUUACUUUUCUAAAGUUGUUGAGAGCUGUAAAAAGACUUACCAUGCUUGCAUCCUCCGAGCCUUGGGAGUUAAAAAUGAAGGCACUGAGUGCUAUAAAAAGGGGAAUAGAGGCUGCCUAGAAGCAUAUCAGCCUAAAACAAGAAUUUGUAGUUAAGAUGGGAAGCAAAGCAAAAGCAAUGGGGUCUGGGCUGACUCCUCUUCUUGCCACUGUUUUAGUGGUGUUUGUUGCUCUUGGCUUGCCCUCACAAACUGCAGCUGAUGAUCACUACAAGUAUUCAUCUCCUCCUCCUCCUUACCACUAUCCCUCACCACCACCACCAGUGCAUAUACCUCCACCUCAUCCUGUUUACAAGUACAAAUCUCCACCACCCCCACCACCACACCCAGUUUACAAGUAUAAGUCACCACCACCACCUCCUCAUCCGGUAUACAAGUAUAAGUCUCCUCCGCCACCACCACACCCAGUUUACAAGUACAAGUCACCACCACCACCUCCUCAUCCGGUACCACACCCAGUUUACAAGUAUAAGUCACCUCCACCACCUCCUCAUCCGGUACCCACAGUUUACAAGUAUAAGUCACCACCACCACCUCCUCAUCCGGUAUACAAGUAUAAGUCUCCUCCGCCACCACCACACCCAGUUUACAAGUAUAAGUCACCACCACCACCUCCUCAUCCGGUGCCACACCCAGUUUACCACUACAAGUCACCACCACCACCUCCUCAUCCGGUACCACACCCAGUUUACCACUACAAGUCACCACCACCUCCUCACCCAGUUUACAAAUACGAGUCUCCACCACCACCAGUUUAUAAGUACAAGUCACCACCACCUCCUCCACCAGUUUACAAGUAUAAAUCUCCUCCACCACCACCACCAGUUUACCACUACAAGUCUCCACCACCUCCUCCCCCAGUUUACAAAUACAAGUCUCCACCACCUCCUCACCACUACUAAGCAAUUGCUUCUGAGGUAAUAACACUUGUUCAAUAUACCCACUUCUGCAUGAUAAAGCAUAUCUCUAUCAACACAAACUGUCAUGUCUAUCAUGCUAAGUGCCUUCACUUCAUCCACCAAAAUGACUGCUAGAAAAUUUUUUUUAUGUUACCAAAGAAAGGCAUCAUUUUUUCCCUCUGUUAUCAAGAACUUGUACAGUAUAUAGAUUAAAGAGUAUUUUUUUAACUAGCUUAUCAACUGAGAAAUGCAUAUAGCUGAUAGCCAGCUGAAUAUUUGCAGGCAAAGGAGAAGGAAACCAUGUUUGAGACCUUCUUGAAGAUGUAGAAGCAUAAGAAUAAAAGCCCAAUGUGAAGAUGAUGAUUUCAAGUUUUUCUACGUUACCAUUUCUUUAUCUAAAUUGGUUGUAGCGCCCAAGUUCCUUUGUUUAUGGGAUUUGUAUCGUUUUACGUACCAUGCAGUACAUGUCAUGUUUGUAAGGUUUUCUAUCCUGCCGGCAAACCGCAGGUUCCAUGUGAUAAAUGAAUACUAUUUAUGUUACGACACUUUUCUCUGUUUCUCUUAUAUUUUGUCUUUAAUAUUCUUAAUCAUAUUUUUAACAAAAAUAUUCAAACACUUAGGCAAUCUGGUCUAAUGCUAAUUGUAUGUUUUACUUUUCUUUUUCACCUGCUCCCCUUUUCAACUCAAAAGGAUGCAAUAGUUUGUGAUCACUGUUUAAGACGGAAGCAUGAUACUAAUGAAUAUCUCAUUGAAACUCAAGGAAACUAACAUUGCGAAAAGUGUAAAUCUUGAUUUGAUGCAACUAUUUAUUCGUGGAAUCUAUAGUUACAAAACUCAAAUUCUGACUGCGCCAUUGAUAAAUUAUUAAUGACGCUAUCAUCAUUAUUUAUCCCUAACUAGUUUCGACUACAACUGAACCCAAUAUUUUCCCCAUGAUAAAAGUUUUUGACUAUUUUACUGGCCUCUCUUCAAAUUUUAAAAAUUACACUAAUCUUCAUUGAGAUUAAUUAUCUUGUAACAUUUAAGUCCAAUUAAUAAUUAAAAAAUGAUAUUAUGAGAGAGAAAAUAAUAUAAUUUUAUCAUUGCCCCCCAUCUUGCUAUAUUAUUUAAUUAAUUUAAUAGCAACCCACACAUUAAAGAAAAAUACUAAAAUUUGCUGCUUUUCAUUAAAGAUCAAAUUGCAUAUGCCAUAAAACAUAGUAUAUCAUUCUAUAUGUUUCACUUAAUGUAAGAUCCCAAUUGUUCUUUUCAAUUACAAACCCAUUGUCAAACAUGAUCAAUAACAAAUAAUCAAAAAAUUUGCAACCAAAAUAUUACAAAAAAAAACUUUAACAUCAUAAAUAUUCUUACCACCUCUAGUGCAUUCACCCUCAUAAAAUAAUUCAAGACCCUACUGUCAUAAAAUGACUGAUCAACUCCUGUAAACCUAAUUUGACAACAUUUAAAUGGAGAACUUUAGCUAAAAGAAUUAUGGUCAAGCUAAAGAAAAAACCAGUUAUUUUCCAACAUAUGCAACCAUUGAUCAGGGGAAAAAAAAAAGCAAAAAGACAUCUUCAAUCAUUUAAUAGCUUACAGGGCAAAUUAACCCUUGAGUGAAAACUGGUUGCUCUAGAAUUAAAAUUUUACCUUAGUUACCCAGGCAACUUUUUUGUUGCCUUUUCUUUUUCUUUUUUGGGUAUAUAGCUCCAGUUUUGCCCCCUCUGUCAAGCUUAUAUAAUUAUUAAGAUAAUAAAAGUGCCUUUAAUAGUAUUAAUAUAUCCAUUGACUUGAGCUGUCAUCGAUCGGUUUGGGCUACUUCGAUUCCAUGAGAACAAAUGGUAAUAAAAGUACUCAGAAAAUGGGGAGUCAUGAAACCCUUUUGUUCUAUUCAUUGCUAAGAUGCUUUUCUCUAUAAAGAGACUUCCUAACGAAAAUACUUUGUAGAUUUCUUUACUCCAAGUGGUGCAUGGAAAAUUAAUAUUUUCAAUUAUCAAAUAAAAUUCCCUUUUUUCGGCGUAGAUUUCAUCCAUCCAGCUGUUAACACAUUCUAUAAAUCCGAAUUGACUAAUCUUUUCGUUUCCAUUUUCCAACUUGCGAAUACGGCAUAUAGUGUCUGCUAAACACUAUAUAUUCUCUGCCAAAUAUGAAUACAUAUCACUUUUCUGAGCAAGUGCAGAGUCAUUAUCAUUUUUAUUCCCACCUAACAAAUUAGGGAUAAAAAAGUUAAUAAUCUUUACAUGCUAUCAGGUCACAAGUUAAUAAUCUUUUAAAGAACAUGUUAAAUUAAUUUAUUGGUAUGAAUAGUAGUCAAAGAAGUAUGUUAAAGUUAGUAAUCUUUAAAAUAAUAUGUUAAAAUCAUUCGUACAAAUUAGUCAGAGAAGUAGCAUAAACACCGCGAUGCAAUUAAUACUUUCAAUCUCAAGGUCUCUAUUAUGGAAAUUUGCAUCGGUCAAUAUACACUUGGCAUAAUAUAAUCUCCCAACUCAUUUCUUUACAAAUGCACCUUUAAUCACCACCAAAAGGUGUGGACAUGAUCUUUACCCUAGAAAACUAUUCACCGACAGGCAAAUUGACGUCAGAAAUACUGAGGAAUUCUAGUUUCCUUCGGGUUCAUGCCAUGUUGUAUCCUUCAACUGUAACUCGAUUUCUAAGCUGUAAUUUGUGACAUAAUAGUCCUUAAACUAUGAAACCCUUCUUACUUAAUUACAAUGGUUAAUACAAUGCCCGUGACUAGACAAGUAUGAAGCAACCAUAACAGAAAAAAAAUCCAAAAUUAGAGAAAAGAAAGAAGUUUCGCGACCACCACCAGUUUACAAGUCACCUCCACCACCUCCUCCAGUUUACAAGUCACCUCCACCACCUUACCAUUAUUCCUCACCACCACCUCCAGUGCAUUCACCCCCACCACCACCAGUUUACAAGUCUCCGCCACCACCUUACCAUUAUUCCUCACCACCACCUCCUGUGCAUGCACCUCCACCACCAAUUUACAAGUCACCUCCUCCAGUUUACAAGUCUCCACCACCACCUUACGAUUAUUCCUCACCACCACCUCCAGUGCAUUCACCCCCACCACCACCAAUUUAUAAGUCUCCCCCACCGCCUCCCCCAGUAUAUAAGUCACCACCACCACCUCCUCCAGUAUACAAAUCACCUCCACCACCUCCUCCAGUUGACAAAUCUCCACCACCACCAAUUUAUAAAUACAAGUCUCCUCCACUACCUCCUCCAGUGUACAAGUCAUCACCACCACCUGCUUACAAGUCUCCACCUCCUCCAGUUUACAGUUCCCCACCACCACCAAUCUACAAGUCUCCACCUCCACCCUACCAUUACUACUACAAUUCUCCUCCUCCUCCUCGUCACUACUAAGCAAUUGUAUCCAAGUUUUUGAGGUAAUAACGCUUAACCAAUAAAUUAACUUUCGCAUGAUAAACCUUAUCUCUAUCAAGACAAACUGCCAUGUGUAUCAUGCCAAAUACGUACACCUAGAUCCAUGAAAAUGAAUGGUAGAAAGUUUUCUUAAGAACCAAGAACAGCAUUAGUAUUCCCUCUGCUUCCAAAAACUUGUGUAUUAAAUAGAUUAAUGAAUUGUUUAACAUGCUCAUCUACUUGAAAAUGCACAAUACCCAUAACCCACUGAAAUUUUUGCAGGAAAAGGGAAAGAGAAUCUGUGUUUGAGAGCUUCAUGAAGAUGUUGAAGAAUAAGAAUAAAAGCCCAAUGCAAGGAUGUUUUCAAGUUUUUCUAUGUUUCCACUUUAAUUUGUAAAUUGAAUUUUGCGACUCAAUUAAUUCCCUGUUUGUGAGGUACGUAUUGUUUUACGUACCAUGCCGUACAUUUUUUUUUUCCAACAAACGGUAUCAUGUUAUAGAUAUUAACACUUGACCUUACAAGGAUUAGUUACAAAAAGGGGAUACUACCCUCAACUCUGUCCUAGCUAAAUCAGUCAGCCAUAUUGGGAAAUUAGUUUCCCAUUCAAUAUCAUGUACAAGCUUCACAGCAUAUUGUGCUAAUUGAUGGCUGAUGUGAUUUUCAGUUCUAGGUAUAAACACAAAAGAACAUUUUUCAAAAGCUAGACUAAGUUCCUGCACAUCUUCUAAGAUAGUUGCAGUCGUGUAGUCAUACUCCUUGCGUUUAGUAAUCUGCUCUACCACUGAUUUGCAGUCUGUAUGGACUAUAAUUUGUGUCCAACCUGCUUGGGUAGCCAUCAGCAGAGCAUUUCUCACAGCCCGAGCUUCCACUUCACUUGCCGAUCCCUUUCCCUGUGUGACAAUUCCUUUUGCUUUCAAAAGCUGUCCUUUCCAAUUUCUUGCUAUAAUCCCUUGUCCGGUCCUGACUCGUUUAGCUGAUAUCGCUGCAUCGGUAUACAGCCUUAUCUCUUCCUUCCUUGGCCGCACUCUCCUGGUAGGUAAGGCAUCAUUCAGCUUCCCUGCGAUCUCCUUCUGGUCUGUACUCCCUACCUGUUCAAACUCAAGCCAUUCCUCCUGUGCUUUCCUUACUAUUUUUACUGGAUCCUGGUUGGCUUGUUCAAAAAAUUUUUUGUUCCUGGCUUUCCAAAUUUGCCAAAGGAUAUUGAUAGUAAGACUAACUCUCUCCUGACCUUGGUUCAGUGCCAGCGAUUGUGUGACUUGUUCCCACCAUAACCAAAAGUUAUAUUGCAUACCCAGUAAUCCAUCCCACCUGACCGGUGCUAGCUUCCACGUUUCCACAGCCUUUUCACAGAAGAAAAACAAAUGCUCAAUAGUUUCCAUAUCUUCACCACAGCAACCACAUCUGCCUUCCCCUCUAUGUAGCCUUUUCGACAUCUGUUCAUUGACUGGCAGACAAUUUUGUAAGCACUUCCACAUGAAGUGUUUUAGUUUGGCCUUCACCUUCAAAUGCCAUAGCUGCUUCCACACAUUUCGUUUUCGUAUCUCCCAACUUGUUUCUGCCUCUUGGCCUGUCCUUGUACCUGCUUUUCCUUCCCGUUGCCUUGCUAAAGCAUAACCAGAUUUCACGCUAUAAAUUCCAGCUUUGGAAUGCCCCCAUACCAACCUAUCCUUUCUUCUUCCUAUACUUGUUGGAAUUCCCUUUAUGUGCUCUGCAUCUUUUGCACAAAACCACUUGAGAAGCAAAUCAUUUUUCCAUUUCCCUUCCUCUAUCAGCUCACUUACCCAUUCCAACUUGCAUCCCACAGGUUGUGUGGUUGAUGCAAAGCCGGUAUCUGAACCAACUAUCCAUCUGUCCCGCCACAUGUUGACUGACUUGCCAUCUCCAAUUCUUUUCCAAAGACCAUCAUACAGAAAGGAGGCUGCACUAUGAAUACUCUUCCAACACCAUGAGGCUGAAGAGACUGGCUUCUUGUCCAUCCAUUUUUCAUCACUCAUAUACUUCGCCUUCAUUACCUUACUUACUAACAAAUUUGGAGCCAUUAAGAAUCUCCAAAUUUGUUUUGCCAGUAAUGCUGUGUUGAAGGCCUCCAAAUCUCUAAAGCCUAAACCUCCUCUUCCCUUAACUUCUAAGAGCUUCUUCCAGCUUGCCCAAUGUACACAGGUACCCUUUUCUCCCUUCCCCCACCAGAAACUCGCUAUUUUACCUGUGAUUUGUCUACACAAACCCCUUGGAAGUCUAAAGCAAGCCAUCACAUAUGUUGGCAUAGCCAUAAUCACUGAUUUGACCAGAAUUUCUUUCCCUCCUUGGCUCAACAGUUUUUGUUUCCAACCUUGCAACUUGUUACUAAUUUUGUUCUGGACAAAUGCAAAGACCUGUGUCUUUGAUCUUCCAAUUGCCAUUGGGAGUCCUAGGUAGGUUCCAUUCCUUGCCUCUUUAAUGUUAUCUAAUACCUCCCUCACUCCAUUCUUCCUUUGAUCAGUGGUAUUUUUGCUAUAGAAGAUAGCUGACUUUUCAAAAUUCACCACCUGUCCGGAUGCUUGACCAUAUCUUUCCAAUAUGCUUUUGACCUUCCUCGCCUCCUGCUUGGUUGCUUGGCAGCAUAGUAGAGAAUCAUCUGCAAAAAAUAGGUGAGAAACCAUCGGACUGUCCUUGCAUAUUUUGAUCCCUGUAAUUUCCUUGUUCAUCAUAGCUUUAUGGAUCAAACAUGAAAGACCUUCAGCGCAUAUAAUAAACAAGUACGGGGAUAGGGGGUCUCCUUGUCUAAGCCCUCUACUCGGUUGAACACAGCCUACCUUUUGCCCAUUUAAGUUGAAGGAGUAAGUCACAGUAGAUAGGCAAGACAUGAUCCAUUUAACAAAAAUUGGACAAAACCCCAUUUUCAUCAUAACUCUCCCCACAUAUUUCCAUUCGACUCUAUCGUAAGCUUUGGACAUGUCCAGUUUAAGAGCCAUAAAUCCUACCCUUCCCUUUCUCCUAUUUUUCAAAAAAUGCAGGAUUUCAUGUGCAACUACUACAUUAUCAAGAAUUUGACGGCCUGGGAUAAAAGCGGAUUGAGAGGGACUAAUACAAUGAUGCAAGACACCUUUCAAUCUAUUAGCUAUGAUUUUAGAAAUGAUUUUAUACAGGACAUUGCACAAGCUAAUAGGUCUAAAAUGCACCACAGAUUCAGGAGUAUCAACUUUAGGAAUCAACGAAAUAAUAGUAUCAUUCACAGCUUUGAGCAAAUGCCCAGUAUGAAAGAAACUCUUAAUAGCUGCUACCACAUCAUCCUUGAUAAUAUCCCAAUAGUGUUGAAAAAAUAGAGGAGACAUACCAUCCGUUCCUGGUGCUUUAUUAGGGUGCAUCGAGAACAAAGCUUUCCUGAUCUCACUUUCCUCCACUUGUCGUAUCAGUUGUCCAUUCAUAUGACUCGAAAUAGUGCUUGGAAUUUCAGCUAGAAUGUCCUCAAAGCAGUCCGGGUUAGUAGUGGUAAAAAGGUCUUUAUAGUACUCACAAAGUUCCUCCUCAAUCUCAUGUUCCUCCUUGCACCAUGUCCCAUCUUUUUUCUGCAAUAUAGUGAUCUUAUUUCUCCUCCUCUUUGCCAUGACCGAAGAAUGGAAAAAAGCUGUAUUCUUGUCCCCUUCUUUGAGCCACUUGUUCCUGGAUUUUUGACUCCAAAACAUCUCUUCCUCUGCAUAAGCUUUAUUCAAUUGUGCUUUUAGUUCAGCCACUUGUACUCUUUUCCCUUCAUCCUUUCUUGCUUUCACUUCAGCCAAUUUCUCCUUUAACACUUUAAUUCUAACCUUUGAGUUUCCCUGCACCUUUUUCCUCCAAUCCAGAAUAGCCAUGCGACAUUCCUUUAUUUUUGUAGCCACUCUAAACAUCCUGGACCCUGACUUCACCUUUGUCCAUGCUCCUUGAAUCACCCUUUUUGCUUCUGGAUUUAGCGUCCAUCGUUGAUCAAAGUAAAAUCUCCGUUUUCUCCUUGUGUUUUCCGGGUUUGUAUCCACAAGAAGCAUUAGAUGAUCAGAGGCUUCAGUAUCUAAAUGAGUACACUGUGCCUUUUCAAAUCUUUGCAGCCAUUCGGUGCUGCAUAAACAUCUAUCCAACCUCUCUUUCACUUCCCCAUCCCCCUCCCAACUAUUGCACCAAAUCCACGGGACCCCUUGAUAACCUAAGUCAACCAGGUUAUUGUCUUUGAUAAACCUGUUGAACUCCCUAAAACAUCUUUCAGCUCUAUCCCUUCCUCCCCACUUCUCCUCACUAGACCUCAAAUCAUUAAAAUCUCCUACAAUGAUCCAGCCAUCCCCCCAGUCCCUCAUCCUGUCCUCUAAAUAUUUCCAUUGUGCUUUUCUAAUGUUACUAUCUGUGCUUGCAUAAACACACACUAGCCCCCAGUAUCCUUUAGUAUCCUUGUCCUCAACUCUAGCACUAAUACACCAAUCAGUACUUACAAUCUGGUCUAAAAUCACCUCAUUGUUCCAGAAUAAUGCUAGACCGCCUGCUUUACCUAUUGAAUUCACAAAAAAGCUAUUGUCAUACUGAAUCUUCCUUUGAACCUUGCCCAUAAACCCUUCCUGAUUCUUAGUUUCACAAAGGAACACCACCUUAGGAGAGUGGAAGUUAGUCACUUCCUUUAGUUGGGGACUUGUCAAGGGGCCUCCUACACCUCGACAAUUCCACACCACAACCUUCAUUUACACUUUGGAGGCUUUCCGGGGCUAGCCUCCAUUUCCCCUAUUGUACUAACAUUUAUUAGAUCCAGUUUCAUAACCUUUACCUUCGGUACAUUAUCAUCAUCCUCCUCUAUCGGUUGUGUUCCCUGAAACAUACCAUCAGCCUUCCUUUUAGCACACGAAACCUGCGUUACUUGUCCAUUUGUAUCUGCCUUUAAGGAUGUUUUAGCCGGCCUCCCUCUUCUUUUAAAACUGCUUCUUUUUUCAGCUUUGUUAUCUUCUUCCCCUGGAGUAGCCUCCUUUCUUGGCAUUCUUGCAUUUGUCUCCUCCUGCUUUAUUGACCCUACCCGCAAACUUUCACAUUCCUGUUUUGAGCUGUCCGUUUCCAUAUCCUCAUAAUCUACUGGUGGGAUUACGCUGCUCCCUCCUUUACUCCCUUCCUGUACCCUACCCUCCUUUUCACCAUUUCCCUCCAUUAAGACCACAGCCAAACUUUCCACCCGUUGGUUUGCCUUUCCAUACUGCCUGCUGUCUUUUAGAAUCUCAUCCCACCUCUCUUCAUAUUGUCUCGUCAUCAUUUUCUCCUUAUCCCCCCUUUCCUUUCCCCCCAAGACUCUACCAUUUUUUCCCCCAAGAGUUAAUGUAUCUCCAGCCAUUUGUACUCCAGUUUGAACUUCACUACUAGGAGACCCUGCCCCCACCCUCCUUGCAUCAAUUUCACUUACUCCUUCCAGCCGUCCCUUUAAGGGAGAUACCAUUAUAUUUCCAGCUCUCAUCCAGGCACCAUAUUGUUCCUCUCGCUUCUCCCCCCCACCCUUCCUACCACAGUACAAGUCCUAUCACUAUGCCCAAUGAUACCACACCUAUAACAGAAAUCAGGGCAGCGUUCAUACCUGAACUCAACCCACACUGCCUGGUUCUUACAGUUGAUCUUUGUCCCUCUAACCAGUGGUUUCGUUAUAUCUACCUCAGCCAUAAUCUUCAUGUGGCGACCCUCUUUCCCACCACUUCCUGGGAGAAUCACUCCCCUCACUGAUUUAAAGAUCCCUCCUAUUUUCAAACCCACUGCUCUGCUCAACCAGUGCACCGGUAGGUUCCAUAGUUGAAUCCAAAGAAAGGAAUGCUGGAAAAAGCUGCUGUUUGUAUCAUACCCCUCUACCCACUCCUUCACUAUCAGCAACUGGUUGUCCAUGACCCAAGGCCCUCCAGAUAAGAUCUUUUUCUUUUCCCCUUCAUCUCCCAGAUGGAAAUGGAAUAAGUUAGGACCUAACUCAGUCACUUUCAUCUUUGAGGGGUAUCCCCAUGCAUGAUUUGUAAAGUUCUUUAACCCCGUAAAGUUGGCAAUUUUUUCACCAAUCAGCUUUCCUACCAGGCUUCCUUGACACUCAGAGACGCCUUCUUCCAGGUCCUCACCACUCAGAUCGACACCUCCUAACUCUGUUUCAGACAAGUCAAAAUUUUGAAAGGCUCUUUCUAAAGCAUCCGCCAUUGCUGUGACGAGAGCUCCUUGAGAAACCAAGCACUAUUUCUGAGCUAUGAGUGACCCACUGACAGACCUGUGAAGAAUUGCAAAGACAGACAAAGCUGUGUUAUCCGUACACACUAAAAACCAACCAGAAAAACAGAGAGGAACUCGACAGAAAAAGCACAGGCACAAGAAGAAACGAAAGAAAAAAGAAAAACCAACAAACCACUAUCCCACUCCCGACCACAUAACAGCAUUAAAGAAAGGGACACAAAUACGACACUCCAACUUCCGAUCACAUGCUCUGACUCAAUGGAUCAUAUCUUGCCCAAAGCGUUUACUCCUCCAACCGAUUCCAAACCACUACAGACAUUGUCUCCCAUUUUGAAGCCGGAAGAAAGGUGGCUUCUGGACAGGGAACAUGAAAGCAAAGGUUGAACUAAAGAUUUGAUUUUAGAUCUGAAAAUUACGCUGUAGGAAAAAGUGCUAUGUGUUUGUACCUCACCCACUCUCCCACACCGAGGAGGGGAACCUCUAAAGUUAGAGAGAGAAGCUCUCAAGUUAGAGAGAAGCUUUGGAAGUUAAUUACCAACGUACCAUGCCGUACAUGUUUGUAAGGAUUUCUAUCCUAUUGGCAAAAGUCGGUUCCAUACAAUUAAUCAAUUCAUUUCACUUCUAUUGGCUCUACUAUUUAUGCAUGUUACGACACUCUUUCCCUUAUAUUUUGCCUUUAAUAUUAUGAGUCAAUAGUAAUAAUGGGCCUUUUUCUUAAAAUUAUACUAUUAUACAUAGGUAGUUUGGUCUAACGCUAAAUUCAUGUUUGUCUUUCUUUUAUUCCCUUUACAUCUCAAAGUAUACUAUAGUUUGUAAUCAUUGUGGUGAUGAUAUUACCAGCUGGUACUUAUAGUUUAAGGCAGAGACAUGAUAUUAACAACUAUCUCAUUGAAACAUAAGUCAAAAUCAUGACAAGUGUGAGUCUUGGUUAAUGCACAAUUUGUUAGUGGAAUUUAUAUUUAUAAAACUCAAAAAAAAUUUUUGACAAUGCUAUUACUAAUUAAUUAAGGACUUCAUUGCUAUAAUUUAUCGCUUACUAAUUUAAACUAUAAAUGAUCUCAAUACUUUUCUCCAUGAUGUCGAUUUCUUUAGACUACGAAAGGGAAAAAUUAGUGACAUAUCCCUUACUGAUUACAACAUCAGCAAAAAUUAGUUAUAAACUUUUCCGGUGGUUUUAAAUCCCUCGGGCACUAAGGUUUUUUGCACAUCGAGUGAAUUAAGGAACAUAGGCAAUUCGUUCUGCAUACCAAGUCCUUGUUUAAGAUGCACGUACUAAAAUGCAUCCACUUCAUUAAUUUGGAAAAUUGCCAUAGUUUUUUUUAAGCAUUUUGAUUUUUUACAUGAUUCAAAAUUUUCUUAUUGGAUACAAUCACUUUGUGUCAAGAACACAUUUUCAAUCAUCUUUUUUAUCUUCUCAAUAAGAAAAUAAAAAUUUAUUCAUGCUUUUCUAACAUAUCCAAUCAUUGAUCUGAAAAAUAAAGAAUUAAAAAAAAAAGACAUUUUCAAUCAUUGCUUACGGGGCAACUUCCCCAUGUGAACCUCAUCAAACAAAGCCAAUAAUAUGAAGGAACAUCUAAAUACACUUUUGCCCUAAAGGCUGGUUGCCUUGGGGUCAAAAUUUAACCUUCGGGAGUAUAAUUACCCGCCAAAUUUAUUAUUUUUUUUAUGGGUAUAUAGUUCCAAUUUUGCCUCCUGUUAAGCUUAUAAAUAUAUUACGACCCAGAAAAUAAAGGAAUCUUGAAUAGUAACAUGUCCAUUGACUUGAGUUGUUAUCAAUUUGGCUACUUCGAUUCCAUGAGGCCAAUCCAAUUCACACUAGCUAGAGAAAAUGGUGAUAAAGGCACUUAGAAAUUUAUAUGUAAUAUUGAUUGGUAGUAACUGAUAAGUAUAUAUUUUACGUGUUUUAAAUAUGUUUUAUUAGUUAGUUUUGGUGUGUUUUAACUACUUUUAUAACUAAUUAACUAGGAAUCUAGUGAAAAUAUGCAUUUUGUGGUUUGAAGUGUAAAAAUUGUAUUUCUAUGGAUUUUAAUGGUGAAAACUUCAUGUUUUUGUAGGUUUAAUGAUUCAAUCAUCAAAUGACAUGAUUUGAGAAGAUAAUUAGAUGAUUGAUGAUGUUUUGAAGUGAUAAAAAGAGAAUACAAAGUGCAAGAGAGGAAAUGCAAUCAAGAAUAAAAGAAGAAAAUUUUUGUAGCUUUGACAUAUUGUCGUAUUUCGGCAAUAUAUUGAGCUACAAUGAUCGGAUUAAGGUGAUUCUUAAACCAUUUGAAGCUAAAAUAUAGAUCUACAUUUGGCAUGAAGGCAUCGAAACCCAUGUCAGUCAUUUUCCUUGUCAAAAUGUUGAAAUACAGAAGUGCAACUCUGUUCUCGAAAGCUAAAACAGAGCUCUGGCUAGUCGAGGGUAUUUUCAUCAUUUCUUAGUCCACAGAGCUCCAAAUGAGAUGAUUCUUAAGGCAUUAGAACCCUAACUCAAAGAGCUACAACUUUCAUAUUUUGUACAAGAGUUAGUUCGGCCUCUAUCAUUAAGAAAAUAGUAGUUGAAGUGGUGCCAAAUGCAUAGAAGUGAAAACGCGAGCUAUCAAUACUCGACCUGAAGUCGCGUAUUCCUGAGGUCAUGCAUUCUCUUCUAUUUUCUGCAACUUGCCCUGCUUUCACAUAACUUUUUCAUCUCAAUUCCAACUAUCAAUUUCGGCUAUAUCUGAUCAAGAAAAGUGUGGAAAGUUUGAAAGACAACUCAUAGGAGUUUCAAGAGUCAAAAAUUACAAUUAGAAACAACUCAUUUGGCUCUUGAAUCCUCUAUAAAUAGAGGCCUUUGAAGAACAUUUUCACAACUUUGGAAGGUUAGAGAAACUCCACAAAAACAUAGUCUUCACUAGAAUUUCCUUAGUUCAUUAGUUAGGGUAGUAUAGUAUAGUUAGUGUAGCUUUUCCUUCUUGUAUUUAUAGUUAGGUUUGAAUGAAGAUUCAGGAGCAAAGAUAGAGAGGUUGAUCUCAUGUGACAAGGGUGAUAUCUCUUCUACUACUUUCUCUUUUGUAUUUGAUUUCAUAUUUAACUAUACUACAAAUUUGGCUUUGUUUUUUUUUUUUUAUCAUGUUUAGUUAAAGUUUAUGCCUAGAGUAUGGAUGACCUUUUUAUAUCUUGUUUGUGAUAUUUAACUGGUUAUUUGAUGAUGUUAUUUUUGAGCAAGUUAUUUAUCACUUUUGCUUUUCUAAUCAUGAUUAACUGGCCAUUAGUUGUGAUUAUCUAAAAGUGUUAAGUUUGUAAUGAGAAUUGGAGUUUAACACUAGUUCAAGGAAGUGAUAAAUUUAGGGAGUUCACUCAUGAGAGUAGAGGAACACCUUUGUGACCUAAGUGACUUGUUUCAUAUAAUUUCAUAGAAAAAAUGAACUUGUAAUUAAUUUCAUAACCACGAGAGUAAGUAUGGUUUAGCUAUAUGUAUAGUUGAUUCACUACGAGAGUAGGUUUCACAUACAUUAGAAAAUUACAUCAUAACUAGUCAAGAUAAUAUCAUUCAUUUAAUCAGUAAUCUCAUUUGCAUGAGUAGUAAGGCAUUCCAUAUCUCUAGGAGGUUUUUAGUAUUAUUUUCAUUACUUUUAUGUUUAUGGUAGUCUAGAUAAUAAUGGAGUUCGAAAACUACUAGUAAUUGAAAAUUUUCCCUGUGGGAUCGACCUUUAAUACCCUAUACUCGCUCUCGACUCGUAUACUUGAGAAAAAUCACGUGUGCGGUAUUUAGAAUUUAUAAAUGUAAAACUUGACUGUAGAUGAACUAAUUGAUAUAUGUAUACCCCGCACUCGUCAGUAACCAGCUUGUAUUGAUCCCACUAUUGUGGAUAAUUGUGCUCUUAUGAAAAAAAAUUAUAAAAAAAUUAGCAAAAUUUAUGAUAACAAAUUAAAUUUAUUCAUACAAAUCAGUGAAAGAAGUAGAAUUUUAAAGUCCAUGAUGAAAUUAAUACUUUCAAGGGCUCUAUUAGGAAGACUUCACUUGUUGGUGAAACUACACUAGCACAGUUAUAUGCACAUUUACUGUUUUGGUAUCUAAUUUCCUUGCCUUAAGUUGGGUGCAGAUGUUUAUAUUACAAAUAGAUGGUAUCAUAAAAUUGUUGUAUUCACGUUUGUUCUUUUUUUUCUUCCUUAAGUUUUUUUCUUUAUUCUCGUGACUUCAAAAAUACGAACUCAAGAAAUUGGCUGCUUAAUCAAUAUGUCAUACAGGCUUCGCUAGUGAGGUAUAACUUCACAACUAGAGUCAAUAGAAAUUAUCAAAUGAUUUUUUAACAUCCAAAUUAAGCAAUAAAUUUUGUUUUCAUUUUAUGACAUAUAAUAGUACUACUUCAUGAGAGAUUUUAUAGUUUCUUUUAGGUAUCAUACCUACAAGUGAUAUUUGUCAUUGGAUAGUGACAGAAGUGUUAAUGAUUGUAAGAUUAAAUAUUGUUAAAUAUUGAAAUUUAAACUAUUUAUCUUUAUUGAAAGAUACAAGUUAAAGAAUCGUUCAAGGGGGCAAUUUUCCAUCUUGUCUUUUUGAAAAAACGCUAUCACAUUGUAUAGGCAUGAUAGGUUCAAAUUUGUCAUUAAAUUUAUGAUUGAUUUUCCUUUUAUUCAAGCCAAAUAUUGUUUUAAUUAUCAAAUUCUACUUAUAUUUGGUUAAUUGUACUAAUUGUAGGGCGGUAGAGCAAAAGUUGCUAAAAAUAGGCGAUUUUCUGCAAAUUGGUUGUCAAGGCUGAAGGAUUUGGGAUUCGCAUGUUCAAGGCCUGUUUCCAAGUUUGAUUCAAACUCUGGACAGUUUUAGAGGAAGAUUUGGAAGAUUUGAAAUUUCAUUAUUAGUUUUAUGGUUGAAUUAGGAAUCUUGGAAUAAUUUCUUUUGUGAUUUAUUUUUCUAUUUAGGAGACUAGUUGUUAUUUAGUAGUAGACUUCAAUUAGAAAACAAAGAGAAAAAGAAGGCCGGAAUCCCGCUUGAUUAAUACCUUGGCCAGGGAACAAUCUCGGUGGGGAGGACGGCCACUUAGCCUCUCAAUUCAUCUUGCUUUUCGUUAGUUUGAGAGGAAAACCAAUUGCAACUAGAUUCAAUGGAGUCUGGCAGAAUUUCUUCUAGGAUGCGUAGCUAAAUCCUCAAUUUUUAGUCGAAGGUCAAUUUGAAAAUUCGGUUCCAAAUAUCUGUGAAAUCGAAUUAUUUUACUUAUUUCUUUUAUUUAUUGGUAUUCGCACGUUUUCUGAUUUAACUUUUUAUGAUUGUUUUGUUAUUUGAAUGUCAAGGGUCCGAUAUUCGAAUUAACUUAAUAAUCUACUGCCAAAUUAACCGGUUAAAUCCGUAAUUGUUUGAUUGAUUAAUAUCAGUGGCGACUAGCGUGAUUGGUCCCAUGUUAGGAAAACGUCUGAUCUAAUUUAAACAAACCGUCGUAGCGUGUUUGUUGAUUAGGGUUGGGCUUUUCUAAUUCUUAAUUCAAUUGAGAAAUUAAAUCCCCCGGUCGUACCUAGGAUUAUUUUUUUGUUAGCGAAAUAGUUAAUGGUCGUACCUUGACUAUCGAAAAAGUAAGGAAGAGUUGAUUGUUUAUCGCGUGUACGACAACUAUAAUCAAUCUAUUAAUGAGUAAUUGAAUUAUCUUUGCAUCAGUAAUCAGUUGAAUGGACCGUGUCUGAAAAGUUGUACCUUUGGCUAGAGUCUUAUCUGUUGUUGAUUCAUUCAUAUCUAUCUUCAUGCGUUGUUUUAAUUUAGUUAAUUAGUUAUUUUUAUAAAAACCCCUCAUCUCUGGACUCUAAAAGAAAUAAAUUAUUUCUAGUUCCUGUGGAUUCGAUCCUACUCACCAUACAAUCCAACCUGCAAUUGUAUGAACCCCAAUCUCGCUUCCUAGUCCACCAUUUUUCUCUAGGUAAUAAUCUCCCUUCUAAUUUCUUCACAAAAUGCACCUUUCAUCACCUCCAAUAGCGUCGACAUGAUCUUUACCCCAGAAGACUAUUCACCGACUCUCAAUUGACGUUAGAAAAUCUAAGAGUAAUUCUACUUUACCCUAAGAUUGAUAUCAACAAGACAAGGACAAUUUAGAAUUAUUACACGCCUCUUCUUAAUAGGAAAAAGAAAUAGAGAAGAAAGUCAGGCCAGGUCUAAUUUCUUUUCAAAGGCAAUACAACAUUACGAAAUCAAGCAUUCAUUCAUACAAAUAUUUCAUAGUCACCGGUUUGCUGAGUAGAAAAAUUUAGACAAAAACUUAAUAUUAUAUUGUUUAAGAGUUAACAAUUUAGAGCUUAAUCUCCUUGUACUUUGGAGUUAACAAUUUAGAGCUUAAUCUCCUUGUACUUUGGACUAAACUUGAACGUGAAAGGAAAUCCCAAAACCAUAUUGGGCAUGAAUUCACACUUAAUAUACCCAAUAAAAGAUGGCGACUGGUGAAAGGCAGUGGAGACUGGUGGAGAGAUUUGAGGAAUAGAAGCAGACGGAAAAGCAACAAAUUUUUGCCGAAAAACGGUCACUUUCAUGGUUAAUUUUGCUACUCUCCAAUUGUACUUGACCAAUUACAACAAUUUCAUGGAGUUUGAUACGUGAAAAGAAUUUUUUAUAAAUUUUAUUUUGAUCCAUAAUGUUAUCUUUACAUAUAUAAAACAUUUUACAAUUUUGAUUUUGGCGCAGUUAACUUUUGGUAAACAAAAAUGCUCAUGUUUAAAAAACCGGAAAUAAAACAAAACAAGAAACAAAAGAAAUAAGAGGGUAGCAUAGACAUUUUGGAUUUUUCCGUUAAUUUGGAUGAUUUCCACCCACGUUCUAAUUUAAUCCAAAACACAAAGGAAUUACGUAGAGGUUUUAAAUAAUGAGGGAGCUUCAUGAUCGAACCCCAAACCACAAGGCGAUUUACUAUAUUUUACUCUUAAAUUUUGGUUUCAUCUCAUAGCAUACAAGAGUUCUAUUUCACUAUCUGUAGACAAAGACUUUCUAUGGUUGAUGUACCAUAGGAAAAAAUCUGCCUAUACAACGUGAUAGCAUUUUUUCAAAAACACAAGAUGGAAAAUUGCCCCCUUAAACGGGGAAAUUCAUGAUCUUUCCUCGAACAAAGAAUACUCACGCCUAUUCAAGAUGGAAAAUUGCCCCCUUAAACGUCUAUUUGUCAAUUCUUGAAAAAAGAAUACUCACGCCUAAAACACGGCCUCUUCAUCUGCAGAAUUCUAAAAAGUUAGGUAAACUCUAUAAACAAGUUGAUAGGUACAAUCGUACCCAAGAUCAAGUACAGAUAGUUGUACAUUCACUGCUGCAAUAACUAAUCUGAUGACUUACAAACAUAUCAUGGUCAAUCGUUGAAUGGUAAUGAGUCUUUUGUUAUGCAUUAGUAUUAGUGUGUACACUCUAAUAGAUUGAUACUUAUACUCUUUAAAUUAUCAUAAUAAUACCCUUAAUUAACUUUAACUCUUAAAAAGAAUACGUGUUAAUACACGAGAGUGUGUAACCUGAAUUGUUACUUAUACAUUAGUGUGUAAUAGAUAGGGAUGGCAAUGGGGGCGGGUGCCCGCAGGCAACCGCCCCGCGGGGGGCUCUCGGGGCGGGGAGGGGGGAAUUUUUUCCCCCCGUUUAGAAACGGGGCAGGGGACGGGGGAGUAUACCCCCGCCCCAUCCCCCGCAAAAAAAAUUAUAUAUAUAUAAUUAUAUAUAAUAUGUAAUUUAAUUAGUUAUAAACUUAUGAUAAUGAUAUUAUUAGUUAGAUGUAUUAUAUAAUGUAUAUUAGUGUAUGUAAUAUAAUUAAUAUUAUCAAUUAUACGAAUAAUUAGACAUGUCUACUAAUAGAAUUUAUUAAUUAGUUAUACUAAAUUUACUAAUACAUUUAUACUAAAUUUCUAAUUACAUUUAAUAGAAUAACACUUUUUUCUAAAAAAAAAAGCACAAACACAAUAAUGAAUUAGUGAUUGUAUUUUUACCAAAAAUGAAAACUUAACUAUUUUAGUUGCAUUUAUUUCAUCAUGUUGGAUUGUAUUCAAAUAAUUUUUGUUUGAUUGUUUUUAUGAGUUUCAAUUGUAAAAUUAAAAUGAAUAAUAACUUGAUGAAUAAUAAUGUCAAUCGUUGAAUGGUGUGUACACUCUAAUAUUAUGCAUUAGUAUUAGUGUGUACACUCUAAUAGAUUGAUACUUAUACUCUUUAAAUUAUCAUAAUAAUACCCUUAAUUAACUUUAACUCUUAAAAAGAAUACGUGUUAAUAACUCUUAACCUGAAUUGUUACUUAUACAUUAGUGUGAAAUAGAACGGCAAGCAUUGAGCAACUUAUAGGAGAAAUAGUCCUAUAAGCUGUUGGAUGACUAAUAUAGCUCUAGCUGUAAUGUUUUAAUUAAAUUACAUCACUAACGUUGGGAUGACUAAUGGUUUAAAAAUAAUUGAGUAAUUGGAAAAAAAAAAAGAGACUAAUUUUCAUUGAAACCCACCGACAAACUAAACGUGUCCAUGGCUUUUGAAUAGUGCAUUCAACGUUUAAUUGUAUAGUCCAGUUCAUUGCAGAUUACAUGGAGUAAAGAUUGUGCUCUUUCCUUUUUCACCCCUUUUGGAAUCGAUACUGUGGAGAAUUGGGUUUUUCCCUUCUUUUUUUCUUUUCUUUCUUUCUGUGCUUUGCAAAACAUAGGUAAAAUUAUGAAAUCCGAAGCAUUCUUUAAUUGGGAUUAAGUAUUGUUCUUGAAAUUAAAAAGAAGAAAGAAAGAACAACAAAAUUCCCUGAUUGGUUGCAUCGUGCUUCCAUAGAAGCUCUCUUAGUGUGAUACACUGCUUUCAAUCAGUUUAACAUGGAAAAAAGAAAGAGAUGAAAAGCAAAUUUGGUGGGGAUAAUUUCAGAAACCUCCCCUGAAGAUUUUGACUAUUCUACUGGUCUCCCUUCAGAUUUUAAAAAUUACACUAAUCUUCCUUGAAGUUAUAACAUUUAAAUUCAAUCAAUAAUUUAAAAAAUGAUAUUAUGAAAGAGAAAAUAAUAUGAUUUUAUCAUUGCCCCCCAUCUUACUACAUUAUUUAAUUAAUUUAAUAGCAACCCACACAUUAAAGAAAAAUAUAAAAUUUGUUAUUUAUCAUUAAAGAUCAAAUCGCUUAUAACAUCAAAUAAUAGUAUAUUAUUUAUAUUUUUCACUUAACAUAAUAUCCAAAUUACUCUUUUCAAUUACAUACUCAUUGUUAGACAAUCAACAACAAAUAACCAAAAAAUUUGCAACCAAAAUAUUACAAAAAAAAAUAAACUUUAACAUCAUAAAUAUUCUUAUCAACAUAUUAAAGUUAGUUACUGAAAUUUUUAUGGUGUUAAACUUCACUCUUUGUAAUAUUUUGGUUACAGAUUUUUUUUGAUUAUUUUUUAUUAAUUAUGUUUGAUGAUGGGUUUGUAAUUGAAAAGAAUAAUUUAAAACUUACAUUAAGUGAAAUAUAUAGAGUGAUAUACUAUUUUUUAUAACAUAUGUGAUUCAAUCCUUCUUGAUAGGAUUGGUAAUAGAGGUAGAGGGGGGAGUCGGCUGCAUCCGGUCUUCUUUUCAUAGAUAGUACAAUAUUGCGAAAUCAAUCGCAUUCACACAAUAAUAUUUCGAAGUCAAUGCAUGGCUAAGUUGCAUAAAAGUACGAACACUUGUUAUUAUAUAGCUUAAGAUUCAAAACUUUAGAGCAUAACCCUCCACCUAACACAAUUGAAUAAUGAAUAUUCACGUUUGUCAAAUCUGUCAAAGCACAGUUUGAGGACAACCCAUUCCAACCUGCAAAAGAUUUUUUACUUUUCUAAAGUUGUUGAGAGCUGUAAAAAGACCUACCAUGCUUACAUCCUCCGAGCCUUGGGAGUUAAAAAUGAAGGCACUGAGUGCUAUAAAAAGGGGGCUAGAGGCUGCCUAGAAGCAUAUCAGCCUAAAACAAGAAUUUGUUGUUAUGAUGGGAAGCAAAGCAAAAGCAAUGGGGUCUGGGCUGACUCCUCUUCUUGCCACUGUUUUAGUGGUAUUUGUUGCUCUUGGCUUGCCCUCAGAAACAGCAGCUGAUGAUCACUACAAGUAUUCAUCUCCUCCUCCUCCUUACCACUAUCCCUCACCACCGCCUCCAGUGCAUUUACCUCCACCAGUGUACAAAUACAAGUCCCCACCACCACCUCAUCAUGUUUACAAGUACAAAUCUCCACCACCCCCACCACCACACCCAGUUUACAAGUAUAAGUCACCACCACCACCUCCUCAUCCGGUACCACACCCAGUUUACAAGUAUAAGUCACCACCACCACCUCCUCAUCCGGUAUACAAGUAUAAGUCUCCUCCGCCACCACCACACCCAGUUUACAAGUAUAAGUCACCACCACCACCUCCUCAUCCGGUACCACACCCAGUUUACAAGUAUAAGUCUCCUCCGCCACCAGUUUACAAAUAUAAGUCUCCUCCACCACCACCUCCAGUGUACAAGUACAAGUCUCCACCACCACCAGUUUACAAGUACAAAUCACCACCACCUCCUCCCCCAGUUUACAAAUACAAGUCUCCACCACCACCAGUUUACCACUACAAGUCACCACCACCUCCUCACCCAGUUUACAAGUACAAAUCUCCUCCACCACCAAUUUACCACUACAAGUCACCACCACCUCCUCCCCCAGUUUACAAAUACAAGUCUCCACCUCCUCCUCACCACUACUAAGCAAUUGCUUCUGAGGUAAUAACACUUGUUCAAUAACACUUGAUAGCCAGCUGAAUAUUUGCAGGCAAAGGAGAAGGAAACCAGUGUUUGAGACCUUCUUGAAGAUGUAGAAGCAUAAGAAUUAAAGCCCAAUGUGAAGAUGAUGAUUUCAAGUUUUUCUACGUUACCAUUUCAAUAUCUAAAUUGGUUGUAGCGCCUUAGUUCCUUUGUUUAUGGGAUUUGUAUCGUUUUACGUACCAUGCAGUACAUGUCAUGUUUGUAAGGUUUUCUAUCCUGCCGGCAAACCGCAGGUUCCAUGUAAUAAAUCAAUACUAUUUAUAUUACGACACUUUUCUCUGUUUCUCUUAUAUUUUGUCUUUAAUAUUCUUAAUCAUAUUUUUAACAAAAAUAUUCAAACACUUCAGCAAUGGUUCACCUAGUUGAUCAUCGAAGCAGAGGCAAUUCCAAUUAUUUAUCAAUAAAUAGGAUAUAACUACCAAACAAGCGAUGGCAGUUAACCCCUCCUUACUGUGUCGGUGAUCAAGGUACGCCCGUUAAUCACUGCUCUAAUUGAGAAAUAAUCCUAAGUACGCCCGUAGAAUUUAAUUCCCCAAUUGCCUUACAUAUUAGAGGAGCCCUAUUCUAACCAAAUAACGCACUAUCAGGGUUAUUUUAGAUUAGCCCGCGUAUUCCCCUGACAUAAAUCUAAUCAUGCCAGUUGUCAUUAUUUUGAGGUAAUUAAACAAUUACGGAUUUAACACCUCAAUUGACAAUAGAUUAUUAAAUUAAUUAAUUAUUCGGAUCCAAGACAAUCAAUUAAUUAAACAACCAUAAGCACUACAAUCAGAGAAUAUGCAAAUACCAAUAAAUAAAUAAAAAAUAAAAUUAAAUCGAUCUCACAAUUUUUAGGCGAAUCAGAGCAUCCGUUGUCCCUUGACUAGAGCAAGGAAAUUAGUUCAUAUUUGAUGAACUAAACCCAUACAAAAGGGAAGCGAGAAAUGCAGCCAUUAUCCUUUGAAAUCUGGAAAAUUCAACUUGUCCGAAUAUCGAAUAGAUAGUAAUACUACAAAAGGUAAUUCAUAGCUUCCCUUUCGUCUGACACACAAGAAGAAAAAAAAGGGCUGCUAAUAACUAAAGGAGGAAAAGUCAAAGUCCUAAGCUAUGCUACAAGACGAAAAACUAAAGAAGACAAAAAGGCAGUGCUCAUUCCCUGCAAUCUCAAUUCCUAUUCUAUCUAAGUGCUCUCCAAUGUGCGGCGGCUCCCCUUCCGGAGAGGACGAAGUGGCACCCUUUUUUCCUGCGCAAUUUUCCUAUAUAAAGUAGUGCUCCUUGCAGCGGCUCCUGUGCGAAAAAAUGAAGACUUCGGCCCAAUUUGCCUAACAAGGGCUCACGUUUUGUUGUUCUAAAAAUGUCCCUAGGACAAACUCUAUCAUCUGAACUCUUUUCUUGCCAAAUUAGUACCUGUUAUUAUAUUUUCGUUCUACUCCCUGAAAUAAAUGCAAAAUAUCAAAAGUGAGUAGAAUCUAGCAAUUAAUCCACAUUAGGUCAGGUAAUAGGGAAAAUUAAUAAUAAAAUAAAUGAUAAAAUUGCAAUCUAUCACGGGACCACUGUGGUAAGGUGUGUUUCGCCUAUUAUAAGGAGUUCGGAGAGUUAGACGUGUUGGAGGCGGAGGCGCGGUCACUCCUGCACGCCCUCCAGCUGUGUGCAGAUCGCGAGGUACGGGCGUUGACUGUAGAAUCUGAUUCAAAGGUGCUUGUUCAACUAGUUUGCUCGGAUAUGAGGUCGAAGUGGCCGGUGUGUAUCGUAUUGCGGGAAAUAAGACAUUUGAUCCGGCGGAUGGGUGCAUCCCUUCAUCAUAUAUUCCGUGAGGCCAAUUCGGUGGCGGACGCAUUGGCUUCUCUGCAAUUGGGAGGGCAGCAGUACUACACCUCAGGCGUGGCGCUGCCUUUCAGGCCCAGAGGAGAGGCUCUGCUGGAUCGUCAAGGAGUACCUCGCAUCCGUGAGGCGCUCACUAAGGUUUGAUAGGCUAUGUCCUCCUUUCAAAAAACUUAUUUCAUCUACUCCUUGUAAUCAUUUUUCUUAUCAAUAAAUUGAGGCUUUUUAUUUAAAAAAAAACAUAUAAUUUAAGGCAAAAAUAUGAUCCUAGCGAGUAUCGCACUGAGACAUUAGGAAACAUCAUUAAAAGAGUAUUUCUUGAGUUAGUGCAACUAUUUCUUAGGGGAAUUUAUAGUUACAAAAUUCAAAAAUUUGAGAUUCUAUUACUGAUUAAUUAAGGGCGUUAUCACUAUUUUUCUUAUUAUCACCAUUAUUUACCCCACAUACUAUAAGUUUUUUUAGGGCACAGGAAAAGAGGUGGGCCGAUGUUUAGUUAUGUACAAAAGUUCAAAAUUUGUAGAUAACUUAUCAUGUGCCCUUAGAGCGUAGAAUACAGAAAAAAUAUCUUAAACUAUAACUAAUCCUAAUAUUUUUCUCUAUGAUAAACUAGCUCUUAUCCAUUUCUUUAGAUGAUGAAAGGAAAUAGUUAGUCACCUGUCCUCUAGUGAUUACAACAGCAUCAAAACAAAUUAGCACUCUUUUCCCGUAGUUUAAAAAUCCCUCAGCCACUAAGAUUUUGCAUGUCGAACGAAUUAAGGAACAUAGAAGGUUCGUGCUGCACCACAGUGUCCUUGUUGACGAUGCAAAGACAGAAAUGCAUCCGCGUAUACUUCCUUAAGCAUUUUGAUUACUUUAUGAUUCGAACUUUUCUUGUCUGACAGCUGGACUUAAUUGAAAAACACAAGUAACAAUAUUUCAAAGUUGAUUCGUCAAAGUUUACCCAAUUGGUGAAACUUUCUUCAUAGAGCUGACUUUGUAUUAGGUGACAAUGAUAUGGAAUUGAUGUCCUUCCCUUUUUCCUUUUUUUGUGUUGAAGACGCACAACGUUUUCAAUGGCAAAUUUAUAUGGGCUUUUCACGACAAAAUGUGUUCUGAAAAGUUCAUUCCAGAGGUUAAAAUUUUGUGUGUUAAAAAUUUGCUUCUCAGGACUUUGAUGGGAAAGUCUUGGUGUUUCCAAAAAGUUUAAGCAGGAUGCUUCUGGCUUUCUCUCCAUGUAUUUGUGAGUUAGAUCUAAAAUUAUCAGGGCUCCAGAGAUCUCUUGAAAUCGCAGCAUAUAUUGAAGUCUUUCCAGAAGGAGUCUUUUUUUUUUUUUUUAUGAAUUAUGAUAGAUAAUUAAUCUGACGGUGCAUAUAUAUAUAUAUGUGAUUUGCAGUAGGGUGUUUGACGAAAUGGUUAGGCUUCCUAAGUAAUGAUAGGAAUGCCAUUUGCAAAGAAGGACAGGGGGCUGGUGCUGUCAUAUUUUAUGCGAUUUGAUCCGUUGUUGUAUAAGUUUAAACUUUUGACGUGCAAUUGUGCUAUAAUAUUAUACUAAAUAUAUGUGUGAAAUAUUUUGUCUAUAUACAUCACUUUUAUCAUGAAUACAACAGCUGAGUAUAAUAAUAUAGUAUAAUGUAAUUGUACACCAAAUAAUGUAGCAAAUAUAACAAUUGAUCCGAAUUACACGGAACCAUAACAACAAGAUCACCGCCUCCCAAAUUUUACAAAAUUAGGUUUUUUUUUUUUCUCUUAGAUUAUUGAAAAUUUUCAAAAAUAAUCUACAUAAUUUAAGCUUUUGUCCUACAAAAAUUUGAAGAGAUUUUACAUUACAAGCUUAAGCUUAGAUAUAUUAAACUUUGCCCCCAAGAUUAAUUUUCCGUUUUUAUCUAUGAACCGAUCCAUAUAGCUAGUUAGACUGUAGUCCUCACAUUUGUGGGAUUUAACACCCAAGAUUCUCCUUCUUGGAAUGUAAAAUGUAGAUCUUCUAUGUUAAUAAUUCAAGACCCUACUGUCAUAAACGAAAUGACUGAUCAACUCCUGUAAACCUAAUUUGACAACAUUUAAAUGGAGAACUUUAGCUAAAAGAAUUAUGGUCAAGCUAAAGAAAAAGCCAGUUAUUUUCCAACAUAUGCAAUCAUUGAUCAGGAAAAAAAAAAAAAAGCAAAAAGACAUCUUCAAUCAUUUAAUAGCUCACAGUGCAAAUUAACCCCUAAGCGAAAACUGGUUGCUCUAGAAUCAAAAUUUUACCUUAGUUACCCAGGCAACUUUUUUGUUGCUUUUUUUUUUUUCUUUUCCUUUUUGGGUAUAUAUAUAGCUCCAGUUUUGCCCCCUCUGUCAAGCUUAUAUAAUUAUUAAGAUAAUAAAAGUGCCUUGAAUAGUAUUAAUAUAUCCAUUGACUUGAGCUGUCAUCGAUCGGUUUGGGCUACUUCGAUUCCAUGAGAACAAAUGGUAAUAAAAGUACUCAGAAAAUAGGGAGCCAUGAAACCCUUUUGUUCUAUUCAUUGCUAAGAUGCUUUUCUCUAUAAAGAGACUUCCUAACGAAAGUACUUUGUAGAUUUCUUUACUCCAAGUGGUGCAUGGAAAAUUAAAAUAUUCAAUUAUCAAAUAAAAUUCCCUUUUUUCGGUGUAGAUUUCAUCCAUCCAGCUGUUAACACAUUUUAUGUAUCCGAAUUAUAUAUUCUCUACCAAAUAUUGUAACUUUUCUGAGCAUCUUUACAUUUUUAUUCCCACCUAACAAAUUAGUUGUUGAGCAUCUUUACAUGCUAUCGGAUCACAAGUUAAUAAUCUUUUAAAGAACAUGUUAAAUUAAUUUAUUGGUAUGAAUAGUCAAAGAAGUAUAUUAAAGUUAGUAAUCUUUAAACACCACGAUGCAAUUAAUACUUUCAAGCUCAAGGUCUUUUUUUUUUUUUUUUUUGGUACUGUACUUCCUUGCUUUAUAGUAUGCACGUUUAUUUCUGUGGAUUGCUUAAGCUUAUAUUGUUAAUAAUUGGGCAUUUAACCAUAAAUUAUAAUGAUUAUGAAGUCAUAUAUAUAUAUAUAUAUAUAAGAAAAUUACCACAAUUAUUCAAUUUUUUUUGCAAAUUCAAAUUUUAUUAAUAAGAAAUAGGCAGUAAGCUUUUACAAACGGAAAAAAAAAAUCCUACAACAACUCUAGGACCUUUGAAAGAAAGAAAAAAAAAAGAAAAGAAAAGCUUAAGGACUCUACCUCAUAGAAGCUAAACAAUCCUACAAAUAAACUGCAAAAUAAAUCACAAUAACGCAAAAUUUUUGUCUUUCUUCCGUAUGAAAUGAAACUACGAAGUCAAGAAUUGACUCCUUUAACCGCUAUUGCCAGCGGGCUCCGUCAGCAAGAUACAACUUUGCAAUUUGAUUCAAUAGAAAUCCUCAAAUAGCUAUUUUGACAGGCAAAUUAAGCAUUAAUUUUGGUAUCCCUUCAUAAAAUACAAGAGUACUUUUGAUUAUAUCUAUAGAUCAACUUUCUAGGCUAUUUUGAUGUAUUAUAAGAAAAUCUGCCUCAACAAUUUUGAUAGCAUUUUUCCAAAAGCAGAAGAUGGAAAAUUGCCCAUUUGUACUGGGGAGUUCGUGAUCUUUUCCUCCUUCUAGUCUACUUACAAUUCUUGGAAAAAGGAAUACUCACAUCUCAAACAACUGCCUGUUCAUCUGCAAUGUCCUGCCGAAUUCUAGAAAGUUAGGUGGCAAUGCUAAUUACAUUUCAAAAUUGACUGCUGCGAUGACUAAUUCGAUGGCUUACUACAUGGUCAACGUUUGGAUCCCUUCCUGUCCUUUUUGGAUGCACAUUUUUUUUCUCUAGGCAAUAUAUAAUCUCCCAACUCAUUUCUUUACAAAUGCACCUUUAAUCACCACCAAAAGGUGUGGACAUGAUCUUUACCCUAGAAAACUAAUCACCGACAGGCAAAUUGACGUCAGAAAUACUAAGAGGAAUUCUAGUUUCCUUCGGGUUAAUGCCAUUUUGUACCCUUCAACUGUAACUCGAUUUCUAAACUAUAAUUUGUGACAUUAUAGUCCUUAAACUAUGAAACCCCUCUUACUUAAGUACAAUGGUUAAUACAAUACCCGUGACUAGACAAGCAACCAUAACAAAAAAAAAUCCAAAAUUAGAGAAAAGAAAGAAGUUUCGCGACCAAAGUAUGUAUCAAGGCAUAGUAUAGAAAUAAAAGUGUCCAAAUUAAGAGUUUAGGGAUAAAAGAGAUCAAGAUAUAGUUUAGGGAUUGAUUUGUCUCAAUUAGAGUUUUGAUGUCAACUAAGAAGAGAGAUAUAGUUGAAGGGUAGAAUAUAGAUAUAACAGUUCAAUGAUUGAUAUCAACGAGACAAUGACAACUUUGGAUUAUUACCAACCUCUUCUUGAUGGGAAAAGGAAAUAGAGAAGAAAGUCGGGCCUGGUCUAAGCCUGCUUCGGAGGCAAAACAACAUUAUGAAAUCACCGGCAUUCACACAAAUAUGUCAAAGUCACCGGCAUGCUAAGUUGCAUAAUUUAUACAAACACUGAAUAAUAUAUUGUUCUUAAAAUUUUUGUUUAAGAUUUAACAAUUAGAGCACGGUACACGAAUUAGCAAUAUUAAAUAAUGAAUGUUCACGAUUGAUAAAGUUAUCAAAGUACAGUUUGAGGACAACCCAUUCCAACGUGUACAAGAUGUUUAGCCUUUGAAAAGUUAAUUAGAGAAGGUGACGAGAUUUUACUAGGCUUAAAUCUUCUAGGCCUCGGAAGUAAAAAAUGAAGGCCUUUGAGUGCUAUAAAAAGGGGGCUAGAUGUUGCCUAGAAGCAUAUCAGCCUCAGACCACAUUUUGUAGCAAUGGGGAGCAAAGCAAAAGCAAUGGGGUCUAGGCUGACUCCUCUUCUUACCACCGUUUUAGUGGUAUUUGUUGCUCUUGGCUUGCCUUCAGAAACUGUGGCUGAUUACUACAAGUAUUCAUCUCCUCCUCCUCCUUACCAUUAUUCCUCACCACCACCUCCUGUGCAUUCACCUCCACCACCGCCAAUUUAUAAGUCACCCCCACCACCUUACCACUACUCCUCACCGCCACCUCCAGUGUAUUCAUCUCCACCACCACCUUCGCCAGUUUACAAGUCUCCGCCACCACCUUACCAUUAUUCGUCACCACCGCCUCCGGUGCAUUCACCUCCACCACCACCUGUUUACAAGUCACCUCCACCACCUUCGCCAGUUUACAAGUCUCCGCCACCACCUUACUAUUAUUCGUCACCACCGCCUCCGGUGCAUUCACCUCCACCACCACCGAUUUACGAGUCACCUCCACCACCUCCUCCAGUUUACAAGUCUCCGCCACCACCUUACCAUUAUUCCUCACCACCACCUCCAACGCAUUCACUCCCACCACCAGUUUACAAAUCACCGCCACCACCUCCUCCUAUGUAUAAGUCCCCUCCACCACCUUAUCAUUAUUCCUCACCACCACCUCCAGUGCAUUCACCCCCACUGCCACCAAUUUACAAGUCUCCGCCACCUCCAAUCUACAAGUAUAAGUCACCACCACCUCCUCCCCCAAUUUACAAGUCACCACCACCACCUCCUCCAGUAUAUAAGUCCCUACCCCCACCAGUGUAUAAGUACAAGUCUCCACCACCACCUCCUCCAGUAUACAAAUCACCUCCACCACCUCCUCCAGUUUACAAAUCUCUACCACCACCAAUUUAUAAAUACAAGUCUCCUCCACCACCUCCUCCGGUUUACAAUUCCCCACCACCACCAAUCUACAAGUCUCCACCUCCACCCUCCCAUUACUACUACAAUUCUCCUCCUCCUCCUCCUCAUCACUACUAAGCAAUUGUAUCCAAGUUUUUGAGGUAAUAAUGCUAAACCAAUAUAUUAACUUUCGCAUGAUAAACUUUAUCUCUAUCAAGACAAACUGCCAUGUGCAUCAAGCCAAAUACGUACACUUCGAUCCAUGAAAAUGACAAGUAGAAGGUUUUCUUAAGAACCAAGGAACAGCAUUAGUAUUCCCUCUGUUUCCAAAACUUGUGUAUUAAAUAGAUUAAUGAAUUGUUUAACAUGCUUAUCUACUUGAAAAUGCACAAUACCCAUAACCCACUGAAAUUUUUGCAGGUAAAGGGGAAGAGAAUCUGUGUUUGAGAGCUUCAUGAAGAUGUUGAAGAAUAAGAAUAAAAGCCCAAUGCGAGGAUGUUUUCAAGUUUUUCUAUGUUUCCACUUUAAUUUGUAAAUUGAAUUUUUCGACUUAAUUAAUUCCCUGUUUGUGGGGUACGUAUUGUUUUACGUACCAUGCCGUACAUGUUUGUAAGGAUUUCUAUCCUAUUGGCAAAAGUCGGUUCCAUACAAUUAAUCAAUUCAUUUCACUUCUAUUGGCUCUACUAUUUAUGCACGUUACGACAUUUUUUCUCUCUUUCCCUUAUAUUUUGUCUUUAAUAUUAUUGAGUCAAUAGUAAUACUGGGCCAUUUUUUUUAAAACUUAUACUAGUAUACAUAGGUAGUUUGGUCUAACGCCAAAUUCAUGUUUGUCUUUCUUUUAUUCCCUUUACAUUUCAAAGUAUACUAUAGUUUGUGAUCAUUGUGGUGAUGAUAUUACCAGCUGGUACUUAUAGUUUAAGGCAGAGACAUGAUAUUAACAACUAUCUCAUUGAAACAUAAGGAAAAAUCAUGACAAGUGUGAGUCUUGGUUAAUGCACAAUUUGUUAGUGGAAUUUAUAUUUAUAAAACUCAAAAAAAAAAUUUUGACAAUGCUAUUACUAAUUAAUUAAGGACUUUAUUGCUAUAAUUUAUCGCUUGCUAGUUUAAACUAUAAAUGAUCUCAAUACUUUUCUCCAUGAUGUCGAUUUCUUUAGAUACGAAAGGGAAAAAUUAGUGACAUAUCCCUUACUGAUUACAACAUCAGCAAAAAUUAGUUAUAAACUUUUCCGGUGGUUUUAAAUCCCCGGGCCCUAAGAUUUUUUGCUCAUCGAGUGAAUUAAGGAACAUAGGCAAUUCAUUUUGCAUACCAAGUCCUUGUUUAAGAUGCAAGUACUAAAAUGCAUCCACUUCAUUAAUUUGGGAAAUUGCCAUAGUUUUUUUAAGCAUUUUGAUUUUUUACAUGAUUUAAAAUUUUCUUAUUGGAUACAAUCACUUUGUAUCAAGAACACAUUUUCAAUCACCUUUUUUUAUCUUCUCAAUGAGAAAAUAAAAAUUUAUUCAUGCUUUUCUAACAUAUUCAAUCAUUGAUCUGAAAAUUAAAACAUUAAGAAAAGGACAUUUUCAAACAUUAAGAAGUAGUAUUUUAAAGACCAUGAUGAAAUUAAUACUUUCAAGGUCUCUAUUAGGAAGACUUCCUUUAUUAAUACUCUACUAGGCAGAGUUAUAUGCACGUUUACUGUUUUGGCCUUAAGUUGGGUGCAGAUGCUUAUAUUACAAAUAGAUGGUAUCAAAAAAUUGUUGUAUUCACGUCUGUUCUUUUUUUCUUCCUUAAGUUUUUUUCUUUAUUCUCGUGACUUCGCUAGUGAGGUAUAACUUCACAACUAGAGUCAAUAGAAAUCGUCAAAUGAUUUUUUGACAUCCAAAUUAAGCAAUAAAUUUUGUUUUCAUUUCAUAACAUAUAAUAGUACUACUUCAUGGGAGAUUUUAUAGUUUCUUUAGGGUAUCAUACCUACAAUUGAUAUUUAUCAUUGGAUAGUGAAAGAAGUGUUAAUGUCUCUAAGAUUAAAUAUUGUUAAAUAUUGAAAAUUUGAACUAUUUAUCUCUAUUGAGAGAUACAACUUAAAGAAUCCUACCCAAAAGAGACUAGAAUUUUCUCUGUUUUUCAUCAUCUGUAGACAUAAACUUUCCACGGUUGAUAGCAUUUUUCAUCAUCUAUAAGGAAAUUUUGCCUAUACAAUGUGAUAGCAUUUUUCAAAAAGACAAGAUGGAAAAUUGCCCCCCUUGAACGGAAAAUUGCCCCCUUGUCAAUUCUUUAAAAAAGAAUACCGUCCCGCAGAAUUCUAGAAAGUUAGGCAAAACUAGACAAGUUGACAGGUAUAAUCAGACCCAAGAUCAGGAACAAGCAGUUGCACAUUUCAAAAUUCGCUGCUGCAACAACUAAUUUGAUGACUUACAACACUAAAUGGUCAAACUUUGAAUGGCAAUGAAUCUUUUGUUGUACAUCAUGAUGUAAUUUUCAUGUUACAUAAUAGAUUGAUAUCUAUGUUCUUUAAAUUAUCAUAAUAAUUAAAUUUAACUGAAAAAAAGAACACAUAUCAAUACACAAAAGUGUGCAACGUGAAUGUUAUUUUAGUGUAUUGCAGAAGACCUAUAGUCUCUUCAUAUCUCUUCCUGCACGUAUCAAUUCGUUUCCUCUAGAUAAUAAUCUCCCAACUCAUUUAUUUACAAAUGCACCUUUUAUGUUUUAUUACCUCCAAAAGCCUAAAAAUCAAUUCACCGACUCGCAUUUGGUAUCAGAAAUUCUUAUUACGAAUUCUACUUUACUCAAAGAUUGACUGUUAAUAAUGAGACAACGACCAUUUUGUAUUAUUACACCGUCCUUCUUGAUAGGCAAAAGAAAUAGAGAGGAAAGCGGGUCCGUAUAUGGUCUUUUAUUCAUAGAUAAUACAACAUUACGCCAUCGAGCAUUCACACAAUAUUUCAAAGUCAUUGCAUGCCUAAGGCCUGCUUGAUAAUCUAAUUCCGUACUUAAAUUUAAUAAAUUCAAAUCUUAACACAUUCAAAUCGUUUGAUAACAAAAAAUUGAACAUCUAAAUUAAUUAAGUAACACUGAAUUUUCUAGGCAAAACUUGCUCCCAAAAUUAAGUGAUAAGUUAUUCACUUAUCACUGAAUAUGAUAUGUAUUCAAAUGUAUUAGAUUUAAUACUUAAUAAUUUAAUGAAUUCAAAUUUCAUAUUUCAUAUUUCAGUUUUAUCAAACACACCUUAAGUUGCAAAAUAAUACCAAAACUUGUUAUUACAUAGCUUGAGAUUCAAAAAUUUAGAGCAUAAUUCUCAACCAAACACAAUUGAAUAAUGAAUAUUCACGAGUGUCAAAUCUAUCAAAGUACAAUUUGAGGACAACCCAUUCAAACGCGUACACGAUUUUUAACUUUUCUAAAGUUGUUGAGAGCUGUUGAAAGAGAUUUACCAUGUUUACAUCUUCCAAGUCUUGGGAGUAAAAAAUGAAGCCACUGAGUGCUAUAAAAAGGGGGGUAGAGGCCACUUGAGAUCCUCGGUGACAUGUUUUCUAUGCCAAUCCAAUGCCACCAAUAGUGUUGCGCCAAGUGUCAUGUUAUUAUUUACACUUGUGUUAAACUAAGCCAAGUUGAAUUAUUAGAAAAUUAAAGUGUAAAUAAUAACAUGACACUUGGCGCAAUACUAUUGGUGACAUUGGGUUGGCAUAGAAAAUAUGUCACCGAGGAUCCCAAGUGGAUAGAUGCUGCCUAGAAGCAUAUCAGCCUAAAACAAGAAUUUGUAGUAACAAUGGGGAGCAAAGCAAAAGCAACGGGGUCUAGGCUGACUCCUCUUCUUACCACUGUUUUAGUGGUAUUUGUUGCCCUUGGCUUGCCCUUGGAAACUGCAGCUGAUUAUUACAAGUAUUCAUCUCCUCCUCCUCCUCCUUACCAGUAUUCCUCACCACCACCUCCAGUGUAUUCACCUCCACCAACCCCUGUUUAUAAGUUACCCCCACCAUCUCCUCUAGUUUACAAGUCCUCACCACCACCUUACCACUACUCACCACCUCCUGUGUAUUCACCUCCACCAUCACCAAUUUACAAGUCACUGCCACCACCCCCUCCAGUAUACAACUCCCCGCCUCCACCAGUGUACAAAUACAAGUCCCCACCACCACCUUCUCCAAUUUACAAAUCUCCACCGCCACCAGUUUACAAGUACAAGUCACCCCCACCACCUCCUCCGGUAUACAAGUCUCCUCCGCCACCUGUUUACGAGUACAAGUCUCCUCCACCACCUCCUCCAGUGUACAAGUCCCCACCACCUCCAGUUUACAAGUACAAGUCACCACCACCUCCUCCCCCGGUUUACCAAUCUCCUCCACCACCAGUUUACAAAUACAAGUCACCACCACCUCCUCCCCCAGUUUACCAGUCUCCACCUCCACCCUAUCAUCACUACUACGGUUCUCCUCCUCCUCACCACUACUAAGCAAGUGCAUCUAAGUUUUGAGGUAAUAAUACCGAUCCAAAACUUUAUCAACGCAAACUGCCAUGUAUAUCAUGCUAAGGACGUACACUUGAUCCAUGAAAAUGGCUAGUAGAAGAUUUUUUUUAAGAACCAGAGAAAUACAUUAUUUUUUCGCUCUGUUUUCAAGAAUUUGAGCAGUAUACAGAUUAAAGAGUGUUUUUUUUAAACUUGCUUAUCAACUUAGAAAUGCACAUAGCUGAAAGCCAACUGAAUAUUUGCAGGCAAAGGAGAAGGCAAUCGGUGUUUGAGACCUUCAUGAAGAUGUAGAAGAAUAAGAAUAAAAGCCCAAUGCGAGGAUGAUUUCAAGUUUCUACGUUACCAUUUCUACAUCUAAAUUGACUUUAGCUCCUGAGUUCCAUGUCUAUGGGGUUUGUACUGUUUUACGUACCAUGCAGUACAUGCUUGUAAGGUUUUCUGUCCUGUUGGCAAGCCGCAGGUCCAUAUAAUAAAUGAAUACUAUUUAUAUUACGACACUUUUCUCUCUUUCUCUUAUAUUUUGUCUUUAAUAUUGUUGAUCAUUUUUUUUUUUUAUCAAAAGUAUCAAAUGCUUAGGCAAUUUGGUCUAAUGCUAAUUGUUUUACAUUUAUUUUUCACCUACAUCCCUUUUCAACUCAAAGGAUGCUACAGUUUGUGAUCAUUGUUUAAGACCGAAGCAUGGUACUAAUAAAUAUCUCAUUGAAAGUCAAGGAAACUAACAUUAUGAAAAGUGUAAAUCUUGAUUUGUGAAACUAUUUAUUCGUGGAAUUUAGAGAUACAAAACUCAAAUUGUGACGGUGUUGUUGCUAAAUUAUUUUUUUUUUAUAAUAAAACACAGUUCAUUCAAGGAUUACUGGAAAUCGUCCAGCACAAUUGAGAUACAUUGUUGCCCAGGUGGCAGAUAAAUAUGCACUAAAAUUAUAGAUAUGCAAUUUAACAAAUACAUAAGAUUUGAGAAAUUAAGGACAAAUCUAAAAAGGACCAUAAAUUUGAAAAACAUUUCAUCCUAGAAUAAGUCGCUGCAACUCUCUUUGUGCAUGCUGUAAUCGUCAGAUCUACUAAUCAACAGUUGUAAGGUCCAGUAAAGAUGGUGAGAUCUGCCGAGAUUGAUCCAAAUCUGAAAUAUUCCCUCAGAUCUGCUAUCCAAUUGGUUCAAACUCAAUACUGAAAGUGAAAUCUGAUGAGAAGACUGAAAAAAUUGUAGAUCUAACAUAUAGAUCUAAAAAAACUCCAAGAUUUGAAAAAGUAAAGAAACAAAACUAAAUAAAACUCUCAUUAAGAUAGUUUAGGAGAGACUAAAACUCUCAAUAGGACACCCUAGGAGAGAAGAAAACUCUCACUAGGAUAACCUAUGAGAGACUUUAUUGAAUGAAAGGAAAAGCAAAGGACAAAGGAAGAAGAAGGGAGACCUUGGCUUAAGGCCAAGGUCUCCCUCCUAUGGAGGAGGAAGGGUAGAGGAGGAAGCCUAGAGAGAAGGAAGAGAAUCCCUCCGCUAGAGGGAAGGAAGAGCCUCUGAGAGGGUACCCGUGUUGUUGCUAAAUUAUUAAGGACAUUAUCACCAUUACUUUUCCCUUACUAGUUUCAACUGCAAUGAUCUCAAUCUUUUUGUGACUAAUUCUUUUCUUAAUAAUUUAUAAAUACAAAACUCACAAAGAAUAUGUGACUUAUUCUUUCCUUUCGUCUUCUAAAGAAAAUGCCAACUGUUAGUUUAUCAAGGGAAAAAGGAUCGACAUCAGUUGUUAUUGAAACUAGUAAGGAAUAAAUAAUGGUGAUAAUGUCCUUAAUAAUUUAACAACAGCACCAUCAGAAUUUGAGCUUUGUAUCUAUAAAUUCCACGAAUAAAUAGUUUCAUCAAAUCAAGAUUUACACUUUUCAUAAUGUUAAGUUUCCUUGACUUUCAAUGAGAUAUUUAUUAGUAUCAUGCUUCGGUCGUAAACAACGAUCACAAACGAUAGCAUCCUUUGAGUUGAAAAGGGUAGUGAAAAAGAGAAGUAAAAAAUACAAUUAGCAUUCCCUCAAAUUGUAGAAAGUUAGGUAGCAUUAUAGACAAGUUGAUAGCCGUAAUUAUACUAAAAAUCAGGCAAAAGCCAGCAAUUUUACAUUUCAAAAUUCACCUAUUCAAUAACUAAUUCGAUGGCUUGCUACAUGGUCAAAAUUCACCACAUAUCCCUUUCCUCAAUCAGGGGCUUCUACAAUUACCAGUUCCAAUUGUAUGGUAUAGUGUAAAUAUCAACAAAUUAGAUGUAGACACUAAUAUAAUAAAUAUGGAUGCUAAGGCAACAACAUACAAAAACAUAAUAAAUUUUGGCAUUCCUUAAAAAAUUACGUCCCCAAAUCAAUCUCAUACACCCAAUUUCUAAUUUAUUUAACUCAUUCCGUCUAUUAACUGCACCAUACAAUCCAACCUGCAAUUGCAUGAACCCCAAUCUCGCUUCCUAGUCCACCAUUUUUCUCUAGGUAAUAAUCUCCCUUCUAAUUUCUUCACAAAAUGCACCUUUCAUCACCUCCAAUAGCGUCGACAUGAUCUUUACCCUAGAAGACUAUUCACCGACUCCCAAUUGACGUCAGAAAAUCUAAGAGUAAUUCUACUUUACCCUAAGAUUGAUAUCAACUAGACAAUGACAAUUUAGAAUUAUUACACGCCUCUUCUUAAUAGGAAAAAGAAAUAGAGAAGAAAGUCAGGCCAGGUCUAAUUUCUUUUCGAAGGCAAUACAACAUUACGAAAUCAAGCAUUCAUUCAUACAAAUAUUUCAUAGUCACCGGUUUGCUGAGUAGAAAAGUUUAUACAAAAACUUAAUAUUAUAUUGUUUAAGAGUUAACAAUUUAGAGCUUAAUCUCCUUGUACUUUGGACUAAACUCGAACGUGAAAGGAAAUCCCAAAACCAUAUUGGGCAUGAAUUCACACUUAAAUAGACCCAAAAAAAGAUGGCGACUGGUGAAAGGCAGUGGAGACUGGUGGUGAGAUUUGAGGAAUAGAAGCAGACGGAAAAGCCACAAAUUUUUGCCGAAAGAGGGUCACUUUCAUGGUUAAUUUUGCUACUCUCUACUUGUACUUGACCAAUGACAGGUUGUCAGUCUGUGCAAUAAUAAAAACCUGUUCAAACUAAAAGUAAUUUCUGUAGAUAGUGGUAAGCAGGGUCGAAUCCACAGGGAUUAGGUGUAACUGUUUCUUUUCAAAUUCACAAUAACAAAGGGGGUGUUUUUAUGCAGAAUGUGACAAUCAAAGAAAUUCAAUUAAAAGUAAAAUAAUAAAAAUAAAAUAGCCAACUAGAAAUUAAAUAACAAUUUACUAAAAUCAAAUGAGUGAUAAUUAAGGAUCUAGCCAAGGAAUAACUUCAGCAGUGGUUCACCUAAUUGAUCAUUGGAACAAAGGCAAUUCCAAUUAUUUACUAAUAAAUAGGUUAUAACUGCCAAACAAGCGAUGACAGUCAAUCACUCCUUACUGUGUCGGUGAUUAAGGUACGCCCGUUAAUCACUGCCCUAAUUGAGAAAUAAUCUUAGGUACGCCCGUAAGAUUUAAUUUUCCAAUUGCCUUACAUAUUAGAGGAGUGUCAGGAACAAGGAAAUAGAAUGGGACGUCGUUUAAUGCAAAGGGUUGUGCGUUUAAGGCCUUAGAAGCAAUACUACGUCGUUCUAAUAACAUAGGCGGUGCUGGUGUGAUAGGCCAAGUUAGUUGAGGGUCAAUUACAUAAAUAGCCUUCUGUAACAGAUUUUUGGUUAUGUUUUUGAAUGAAAAGUAUCUCGCUGCUUUCUCUCUCUUGUCUGUUAUUUCCCUCCCUUUUCUUCUUUCUCUCUUCCCUCUUCUUAAUCUUGUUUCUUUCUUCUGAUUCUUCCCCCAAAUUCAAUACAAUUCCAGAAAUUAACCUGCAAGUCUGACAUUUGGUAUCAGAGCGGUCGAUUCUUGGCCGCGAAGGUAUCAGAAAUGGCUGAGAGCACGCGAUUCAGGACACUGGAGGAGCAACUCAAGAAGCAGGAGAAUCGGUUGCAAGAACUGGCGGAAUCCAUGGCUGCACUGCAGAGUACGAGUUCCGAGGAGUUGCGGCAUAAGCUACAGGCGGAAAUGGAGCAGAACAAUGCAAAAUUGGACGCGGUGGUGGGAAGUCUGGACCAGAAGUUCAAUAAAAUGGAACAGAGACUCAGUACAGUGUUGAAGCUGCUGAUGAAGGAGAAAGGUCUCCCUGAUGUCGAAGGAGGAAUUUCUGAUCCAAUCUUGCCGACUCCUCCAUCUCAUCUGAGGUUAGCAUCCUCAGUCGAAGGGAUUGGGCACCAACAAGAGUACAGAGGUAGGCAAUUCACUCCUAAUGUACCUCGAUUAGAACUGCCAAUGUUUAACUCUGGAAACCCUAGGGAAUGGACCAGGAAAUGCCAGAAAUAUUUUUUGAACUAUCAGAUAGCAGAGAGUCAAAAGGUAGAGGUAGCAGAGAUGUUUUUGGAAGGUAGAGCUGACAAUUGGUUUCAAGGAGUGAAAUUGGUGAGGCCAGGGUUGUCUUGGGGGGAAUUUAGUGAACUUUUGUGUGAAAGAUUUUCUGGAAGUAGUUCUCGUGACAUUGUGGAGGAAUUUAACAAGUUACAGCAGAAAGGAACUGUUGAGGAAUAUGAGGAGAAAUUUGAAGAACUAAAAGCUCUAAUGCUGAUGAAAACCCCCAGGUUGGAUGAACUUUACUUUGUUUCCAGUUUUAUUAGUGGCCUCAGGGAAGAAAUUAGACCUAUGGUGAAGAUGUUUAAGCCUCAAACACUGAUGAAGGCCUUUGAAGUUGCGGAGUUGCAGGAGUGUUCCCUGGAAAUCCAAUCGAAACAAAACAGAACUUCAAGGAGGACAGCAAUGGAACCCAAGUUUGGAAUGUAUAAGGGCACUACGAGUGAUUAGGGUCGCCAAAAUUCAUAUAAGUUGCCUGGAGUCACUCCUGUCUCCAGGAGGACUAAUGCAGUACACAAGGAAUUUAGUAAGAUAUCAGCGGAGGAAAUGCAGUAUAAGCGUAAGCACAGCCUGUGCUAUAGGUGUGGAGAGAAGUUUGGAAUAGGUCAUCAGUGUAAGAAAGGAAGUCUGAACUGUGUGAGCACUGAGGAAGAGGAGGACACUGAAUUUGAGGAUGCGGAAGGGGAACAGGAUGAGUUAACAGGAAGGGUCGGGGAACUUGCAGAAGUCUCUUUGAAUGCUUUAUCUGGUGCCAUAAGGAGGAAAUCCAUCCUGUUGAUAGGGAACUUAGGGGGGCUUCCAGUCAAAAUUUUGGUGGACACAGGCAGUUCUAACAGCUUCAUUCACCACAGGAUUGUCAACCUACUGCAUCUACCAUAUCAGGCAGUCAGUCCAUUUACUGUGACUCUAGCAGAUGGAACUGACAUUACCAGUGGAGCCAUCAGUCCCAGCGUGUCUUGGUUAAUUCAGGACUAUCAAUUCCAAUUUGACUUAAAAGUAAUGGAAUUAGGGGGAUGGGAUAUAAUUCUGGGGGUGGACUGGAUGUGCCAGUAUAGUCCCAUUACAUUUGAUUUCCACUCUCUUAGCAUUGCCCUUAGUGAUAGGGGUUCUUUACUACACCUCCAAGGACUUGUGAAGCAACCUACUAUGGAACUGGUGAGGGGCAGGGAUCUCAGCUCGUUUAUACAGGAGAAGCAAAGAAACUGUGCAGCCAUGCAUGCUGAUAGGGCCAGGGAAACAGGAGAGCAGCUUCCAAAAGCUAUAGAAAGGAUCCUGGAACAGCACUCUCAGGUUUUCUCCACCCCAACAGGAUUACCCCCAGAGAGGGAAUUGGACCAUCAGAUCAACCUCAAACCAGGAGCUGAACCCUUCAAGCUCAAACCUUACAGGUACCCCCACUCACAUAAAGCAGAAAUUGAAAAAAAAGUUGCUGAGAUGCUCACUAAUGGAAUUGUUAUACAUAGCACAAGCCCCUAUGCCUCCCCUGUAUUGUUAGUAAAGAAAAAGGAUAACUCCUGGAGAUUAUGCAUAGAUUACAGGAAGCUGAACGAGCUGACUAUAAAGGAUAAGUUCCCUAUUCCCAACAUAGAUGAACUAUUGGAUGAAUUACAUGGAACCAGAUACAUGUCCAAACUGGAUCUCAGAGCUGGUUACCAUCAGUUGAGGGUGAAAGCUGUUGAUACCCCUAAGACUGCCUUCCAGACACACCAUGGCCACUUUGAAUUCUUAGUGAUGCCUUUUGGACUCACAAACGCGCCAGCUACAUUUCAGUCCUUGAUGAACAGAAUAUUUCAGCCAUAUCUCAGAAAGUUUGUCCUAGUCUUCUUUGACUACAUAUUAGUGUACAGCCCCACACUAGAGAUGCAUGCACAGCAUCUACAGAUUGUGCUCAAUAUUUUAGAAGAAAAUCAGCUGUAUUACAAGAGGUCAAAGUGCUCUUUUGCCCAGUCCUCAAUUGAAUACUUGGGGCACGUGAUCUCAGAGGCAGGAGUGAGUAUGGAUGUGGCUAAGGUGGAGUGUAUCAAGUCCUGGUCUGUUCCUAGUACAGUCAAGGAGCUGAGAGGGUUUUUGGGAUUAAUUGGUUACUACAGGAGAUUCAUUAAAGGCUAUGGAGUGAUUAGCAAACCCUUGACUGUAUUGUUGAAAAAGGAAGGUUUUGCAUGGAACCAUGAAGCUCAAAUGGCCUUUGAAGAUUUGAAAAAGGUUAUGACCACAGCCCCAGUGCUGAGCAUGCCUAAUUUCGAACUUCCUUUUGUCAUAGAGACUGAUGCCUGUGGAAUAGGUAUUGGAGCAGUGUUGAUGCAGCAAGGACAUCCUAUUGCUUUCCUUAGCAAGGCAUUAUCAGUUCAGAAUUUGGGGUUAUCAGUCUAUGAAAAAGAGCUUUUUGCCUUAGUGCUAGCUGUAACUAAGUGGAGGCAUUACCUGGUGGGUCAUCACUUCAUUAUCAGGACAGAUCACCAAGCUCUCAAACAUUUGAUAGAGCAAAGGCUUACUCAUCCACUCCAGCACAAGUGGCUAACUAAGCUACUUGGUUUGGACUAUGAAAUACAGUAUAAAAAGGGUGCAGACAAUGGGGUGGCAGACGCCCUCUCCAGGAGAAGGAUUGAGGGAAACACUGUUGACUGUGGAGAGACUGGGCAUCAGACCUGCGCCAUAACCUCAGCUCAGCCUAGUUGGAUGCAGGAAAUGCUAGAAAGCUACAUUGGAGAUGCAGAGGCUCAACAGAAGUUAUCUGAGCUAUUGCUGGAUCCCAAUGCAGAUCCAGAUUAUCAGUUAAAGAAUGGGAUGCUCAAGUUUAAAGGGCGGCUGUACAUAGGAUCUGCUAACAACAUUAGGACCAAGGUGGUCAGAGCAUUGCAUGACUCAGCCCUUGGGGGGCACUCAGGUCCUGGAAUCCGUAAGGAUGUCCUUCAAUAUGUGAGAUCUUGUGAUGUGUGUCAAAGGAACAAACAUGAAAAUGUUCCUUAUCCUGGGUUGCUGCAACCAAUUCCUGUACCUCAGCAGGCUUGGUCACACCUCACCAUGGAUUUUAUUGAGCAACUACCCCCAUCCCAUGGAUUUGAUACCAUUUUGGUGGUGGUGGAUAGGUUAACCAAGUUCAGCCACUUCAUUCGACUCACUCACCCUUUUUCUGCACAGCAGGUAGCACAGCUUUUCCUUGACAACAUAUACAAGCUGCAUGGACUUCCUGAGACCAUUAUAACUGACAGGGACAUAAUCUUUCUUAGUAAGUUUUGGCAAGAGUUAUUUGGUAUGGUAGGGGUAAAGCUGCACUACAGUUCAUCGUAUCACCCUCAAUCAGAUGGUCAAAGUGAAAGGGUCAAUCAGUGUUUGGAAAACUAUCUCAGGUGUAUGUGCAGUGAGCAUCCUUCUCACUGGAGCAGUUGGCUUCCUACAGCUGAGUUAUGGUACAACACUAACUUCCAUACUAGCUUGCAGGUGACACCAUUCGAAGCACUAUACGGGUAUAAACCAAAUCACCUUCCCUUAGGACCUUUUCAUGAUAGCCUGGUACCUGCUGCUGGUAACAUGGUGCAGACUAGGCUCCAAAUUCUAUCCCUCAUCAAAGAGAAUCUAGCCACCGCCCAGAAUCGAAUGAAAAUGUUUACUGAUAAGCACAGGACUGAACGUGUCUUCCAAGUGGGGGAUUGGGUAUUUCUCAAGCUGCAACCUUACAGGCAACAAUCAGUGGCCUUACGGAAGAAUUUGAAGUUGGCUGCCAAAUACUUUGGACCUUUCCAGAUCCUUGCGAGAGUAGGGGAAGUCGCCUACAGACUUAAGUUGCCAGAGGGAGCUCGAGUUCAUUCCGUGUUCCAUGUGUCCUUACUUAAAAGGAAAGUGGGAGUUACACAGCAGGUAAAGCCCAGCUUGCCAGAAGUAGACGCAUCAGACCAAUGUUUGCUGAAGCCAGAGAAGAUUCUCCAGAGGCGUGUUAUCAUACGAGCUGCCAAACCAAUCAUCCAGUACCUGGUGAAGUGGAACAACUUACCAGAAUCCGAAGCAUCAUGGGAGGAUAAAAGCUUCAUUGACAGACAAUUUCCGGAAUUUCAAGCUUGAGGACAAGCUUUGCUUAAGGGGAAGAGAUUGUCAGGAACAAGGAAAUAGAAUGGGACGUCGUUUAAUGCAAAGGGUUGUGCGUUUAAGGCCUUAGAAGCAAUACUACGUCAUUCUAAUAACAUAGGCGGUGCUGGUGUGAUAGGCCAAGUUAGUUGAGGGUCAAUUACAUAAAUAGCCUUCUGUAACAGAUUUUUGGUUAUGUUUUUGAAUGAAAAGUAUCUCGCUGCUUUCUCUCUCUUGUCUGUUAUUUCCCUCCCUUUUCUUCUUUCUCUCUUCCCUCUUCUUAAUCUUGUUUCUUUCUUCUGAUUCUUCCCCCAAAUUCAAUACAAUUCCAGAAAUUAACCUGCAGAUCUGACAAGGAGCCCUAUUCUAACCAAAUAACACACUACCAGGGUUAUUUUAGGUUAGCCCGCGUAUUCCCCUGACAUGAAUCCAAUCAUGCCAGUUAUCACUAUUUUGAAACAAUUAAACAAUUACGGAUUUAACGUCCCAAUUGACAAUAGAUUAUCAAAUUAACUAAUUAUCCGGAUCCAAAACAAUCAAUUAAUUAAAUAAUCAUAAGCACUGUAAUCAGGGAAUAUUUGAAUACCAAUAAAUAAAAAGAAAGGACAAAAUUAAAUCGAUUUCACAAUUUUUAAACGAACCACAACCUCAGUUGUUCCUCGGCUAGAUUGAGAAAAUUAGCUCAUGUUCGAUGCGAAAAAUCCACAAGAAAUUGUUAAGAGAGCCGCGGCCAUUGUCCCUUGAAAUUGGGGAAAUUCAAUUCGGUUGAACUACGAAAGAAAAGUAAGCUACAGAGAGUUGCCGAUUGGGUUUUGCUUGUCCCUAACAUGCGAGGGAGCAAAGCCACGAAAGGACGACAAAGGUCAAAAAGAAAGGCUACAGAGCAUGUUCCAGGUCUUUUUGUGCUCUCCACAUCCGAGCCAACGAAAAGAAAUAAAAAACUACCAGGAGCUAAAGGAAAACCGCAAGAAAAGUCAAAGGCUAAAAAAACUUCCUAGUGCUUGUUCUCUGCUUAUCUCUUUAUCUAAUUCUAAGUCCCCGAUUUUUUGCUCCGUGCGGCGGCUCCCCCGGAGAGAAAGGAUUGCAUCCGCUGCCCUCUUCCACCAAUUACCAAAAUGGGCACACCGCUUCUUUUUCAAAAAUGCUCCUGGAUAAACUCUAUCAUCUGGACUUUUUUUCUGUCAAAUUGACAUUUAUUAUUAUAUUUUCGUUCUACUCCCUGAAAUAAAUGUAAAAUAUUAAAAAUGAGUAGAAUCCGACAAUUAAUUCACAUCAGGUCAGAUAAUAAAGAAAAUUAAUAAUAAAAUAAAUAAAUAAAUUGCAACCUAUCAACCAAAUACAACAAUUUCAUGGAGUUUGAUACACAAGCCCAAAUACACGAGAGUGUGUAACCUGAAUUGUUACUUAUACAUUAGUGUGUAAUAGAACGGCAAGCAUUAUGGUGGUCAUUGAGCAACUUGUAGGAGAAAUAGUCCUAUAAGCUGUUCAAUGACCAAUCACAACUUGCUAAUUGGAUGACUAAUAUAGCUCUAGCUGUAAUGUUUUAAUUAAAUUCCAUCACUAACGUUGGGAUGACUUUUUAAUCAAAAAAAAAAAAGCCUUAGUUCAAGCUUUUCCCCUUAUUGUGCAUUUUUUAAAACAUUUGAUAGGCACUGCAAAUCUGUCAUUUUGGACAUUUUAUUAUUAACUAACAAUGAAAGCCGUGGACAUCAACCCAUAUCCAACAAAAUAUUAAAUUAAUAUUAGAAAAAAUUAUUAAGUAAUUGGAAAAAAAAAGAAGAGGCUAAUUUUCAUUGAAACCCACCGACAAACUAUACGCUGCUUUCAAUCAGUUUUAACACGGGAAAAAGAAAAGGCAUGAAAAGCAAAAUUUGUGGGGAUAAUUUCGGAAACCUCCCAUGAAGUUUUUGACUAUUUUACUGGCCUCCCUUCAGAUUUUAAAAAUUGGACUAAUCUUCCUUAAAGUUAAUUAUCUUGUAACAUUUAGAUCCGAUCAAUAAUUUAAAAAAUAAUAUUAUGAGAGAGAAAAUAAUAUGAUUUUAUUAUUGCCCCCAUCUCACCACAUUAUUUAAUUAAUUUAAUAGCAACCCACACAUUAAAGAAAAUGACAGGUCGUCAACCUGUGCAAUAAUAAAAUUAAACCUAAUUGCCAGUUAAAAUGACCAAAACCCAAUUCCAAGUACUGGAGCAGGGACUCUAGGUGUGCAAUGGGUUACUUGAUUCACCCUGUUCCCGAAGAGUUUGCUUGAUCCGAUAUACCCGAAUGGAAUGGUUAUUCCUUUUCACAAAUGAUUAGGAAUUUGUAGACAGGGCAAGUAGGGUCGUAUCCACAGAGACUGGGUAUAUUUGUUUCUUAAGAAAUCCAAAGUAACACAGGGGGUGAUUUUGUAGGAACGACGAUAAUUAAAUAAAUUCAAAUGAGAAAGUAAAAAUAAAUAAUUAACUAGAAAUUAAACCACAAUUUACUGAACUCAGGAUAACAAUAGUUAAAGGCCUCAAUUAAUUAAAAUAAGGAAACAAUCAAAAAUAAAAUAAAGUAGGUAAUUAAAAGUCAAAUGGCAAUCCACUACAAUCAAGGAAAUAUUAACUAAAGAUCUAGCCAAGAAAUAACUUCAGCAAUGGUUCACCUAAUCGAUCAUUGAUGCAAAGCAAUCCCAAUUAUUUACUAAUAAAUAGGUUAUAACUACCAAACAAGCGAUGGCAGUCAACCCCUCCUUACUGUGUCGGUGAUCAAGGUACGCCCGUUAAUCACUGCUCUAAUUGAGAAAUAAUCCUAGGUACGCCCGUAGAAUUUAAUUCCCCAACUGCCUUACGUAUUAGAGGAGCCCUAUUCUACCCAAAUAACACACUACCAGGGUUAUUUUAGAUUAGCCCGCGUAUCCCCCUGACACGAAUCUAAUCGUGCCAGUUGUCACUAAUUUGAGGUAAUUAAACAAUUACGGAUUCAAUACCCCAAUUGACAAUAGAUUAUCAAACCAAUGAAUUAUCCGGAUCCAAGACAAUCAACUAAUUAAAUAAUCAUAAGCACUGCAACCAAGGAAUAUGCGAAUACCAAUAAAUAAAGGAAAAGAUAAAAUUAAAUCGAUCUCACAAUUUACAGGUGACCCAAAGCAUCAGUCGUUUCUUGACUAGAACGAGGGGGUUAGCUCAUAUUGGAUGAACUAAGCCCGCGGGAAAUUCCAGCAAAAGUCACGGCCGUUGUAUGCAUUUCAAGAGCCGCAAUUCGUCAAACACUUGGAAAGCGAAUGUAAGGCACGGGUAACAAUUGAAACUUUCUAAUUGUUCCUAGCAUUCGUAAAGCAAAUUCACUCCAGAAGUACAGUGAGGAAAAGUCAAAGAAAGUGGGCUUCAAUUCCUUGCUCCUGACAUGCGUGGAGACAAGCCAAUGCAAGACUACAAUAAACUAACAAGGAAAAGUCAAGAAUUGGAGCUAAGCUCCCCUGCCAUGCGCAGGAAUCCCAAAAGUAAAAAGUAAAGCUUCAAAGAAAAGUCAACAAUUCUUCCUAAGCUACAGACGGAAGAUCCAGCACAAAAGCCAGCUCCCUUUUUGAUCCCUUUUUCCCCCUUCUUAUUGCGGCGGCUCACCAGGAGAGGAGAGCCCUCCGUCCGUCCUUUCUUCCGGAAAUUACCAAAAUGGGCAUGACAUCUUCUCUUCCAAAAGUGCCCCUGGGACAAGCUUUCUCAUCUGAAUUCUUUUUUUUUCCAAUUUGGCACCUGUUAUCAUAUUUAUAUUCUACUCCCUGAAAUAAACGUCAAAUACUAAAAGUGAGUAGAAUCCAGCAAAUAAAUCCACAUCAAGUCAGGUAAUAGGAGGAAUUAAUAAUAAAAUAAAUGAAUAAAUUGCACCCUAUCAAUUCCCUCCACACCUAAACCAUGCUUGUCCUCAAGCAUAAGAAAAGUAAACGAACACCAAAAUUCGACGAUAGCCAUUGCCCAAUCUCCUAUAUUGCCAAGACAUUCAAGAGAAAAACACAUAUCGAGCAUUGGUGAUUAGAAUCCCAGAAGCAUCCCCCCGGUUAGCCUCUAACCCCCAGAUUCCUUCAAUUUCCAACUUAACUACUCUAAGAAAGAGGAAUGGCACACAACAUUUAUCAGCUAGUGGUCCGAAUAUUCACACAAGUCUUCAUAUCCAAUCCAUAAACCGGCAAGCUUCCCUAUUAUUUAGUCUCUCUUUUUUUCCGUUUUUUUUCAUUUUCAUUCUUCCCCUCUUUUUUUUUUUUUUUUAAAGCAGUAGCAAUCAACACAAAAGACUUAGUCGUUAGCCGUCAGGGCCUUUUGAUGCGAACUCCAACAUUUUUAGAAGGAGGAGCCCGGUUACUCAGCUCCUACCGCUAUACGACCACGCACUCAUAUAAAAUACCACCUUUUGACGCGAGAAUCGACACUUUUAGGUGCCGAUCCCCGGUUACUCAGUAGUAACUUAAUAGCGGAGCACAGUCAAGCUUAUUCUCAGCCAAACAAUGCACAAACGCAAAAUAACAGCACUAACAAUCAAACAUAGGAGCAGCUCGCCUCAUUAUUGUCAAACAUGGAGAACUGGAGUCAAUAUUGGACCAGUUCACAUUAAAAGGCCAUAUUCAUUCCCUACGCCUAGAAAAGUUAACAAAGAAAUCGAAAGAGUCAAACAGUUAAAUAUUCACCAAGGGGAUAUUCAGGACCCAACCACACUAACCCGAUACAUUUUGUAUUUUAAAAACUUGGCAAAAGUAGAUUUGGAGUCAAUGAGUCCACAUCUCAAUUUUAGCCUUCACAUGAAAGGCAAUCACCAAGAAGAAAGAACGGAAAAAUAAGCAACUAGAAAUGAGACUACGAAAAACUACUAAAACUAAAAACUCACUUUUUUUCUUUUUCUCUUUUUUUUUCUUUUUGAAUUUUUUUUUCAUUUUUAUUUUUUUUUAUUUUUUUUAUUUUUUAAACAUUAACUAUAAACAUUAACUACUAAAAACUAAAAACUAAAACUACUAAAAACUAAAAACACUAAAAACUGCUAAAAUGAAAAGCUGAAAACUGAAAACUACUAAAAACGGAGCACACUAGCAUAACUUUAGAUCCCCCCCACACCUAUAGGACACAUUGUCCUCAAUGUGACAAAUAAGAACCAAAAGUGAAGCACAAGUGAGAGGGGAAUCAGCCAAACUUCCCUGAAAUCGGGUCACAGCGGAGGGCGAGGUGGAAAUGGAGGUGCAAAGCCUGUAUGCAUCAGGAACUGUGCCAAAUUCUGUGCUAUGCCGGCGACAUUGGCGUCGACGUUGGUCAUCCGGGCCUGCAAAUCCUGAACCAGCUCCCUGAGAUGCUGCCAAUCAUCGGUCCCAGGUGGUGGAGGUGGCGCAGAAGUAGAGGUAGACGGCCCAGCAGUGUCCGCGGCCGACCCAGGGAAUGAAGAUGGCCCUGCCCGGGCCGAAUGGUGUGCACCCGGGGCUCGAGGUGGUCCCGGACGGGUAAACUGGUGAAAACCAUCUGGCAGACGCUCGACGACCCCCAUUUUCUCUAAGCAAACUACGUCCAAGUGCUCCAUCUCAAAUGCCAAAUGGAGGUCGUGGUCAUCCAGGUUAAGAACUCCCAACUGGGUCGCCAAGUGAGUGAUGUAGGACCCAAGGAUCAGUGGUUUGUUCUUCUUGGUCAAGACCGUCUUGAACUGUGCGGCCAACCAACAUCCCAAGUUCACCUUGAUAUUGUUCUUCAUACUCCAGAGAAAGAAGAAUUCGGGCCGAGAGAGUAUACCGGAGCUGUCCUUGCGCCCCGAGUAGCUAUAAGCUAAGAAUCGCUGAACAUAGCGGGCGCUAGGGUCCUUAAGAAAGGAGCUCCUGGACCGGGAAGGAUCGUAGCGUUGCCUAUCGACGGACAUGUCCUCCCAUACAUCAUGGUAGUGGGAGAGGAAAGGCUCUACGUAGUCACAGGCACUCUCCGCAUACUCCCUAGUCUCAGCAUACUCUCUAGUGAUAAACCCAAAUGCCAGAUUGAAUUGAGUAAUGGAGAAAUUGAAUUCUCGACCCAUGAGCCGGAAAUGAAUGACAUUCGGUGUUUCACCCGUGUAUCUCGUAGGUAAUUCGAACUCAAAGGUGGAGUAAAACUCCCGGAUCAGCUCAACAAAAGCGGGACAAGAAAUAUGGAAAUAUGGGCGCCACCCAAUGGCUGUGAACAUUUGCUCAACCUCCUCCCGUAUACCCAGGGCAGUUAGAGAGAGUCUAUGACAAGACUUACAGGAUAUUAUACGCCUCUCGCAGACCUUAGCGUACCUCUGCCGAUCGGCGGGUCUGGUAAAUGUUAAGUGCCCCCCAAAAUGAACAGGUGCAUCUACCUGAGCACCCCUAUCCCUACCCAAACGGGUUCGAACACUAGAAGAGGAGGGUAGGUUGGUAGGUGAGUUGACAGGAAUAGAGGCUUGUGGAGGGGGUUGAGACUGAGAGGUCCUAGACCUAGAGGAGGAUUUCGGUCUCACCAUUCCCCCCAAAGUAAGUUCAAGGCAACAGAAAAUCCGACAAGUAUAGAAACCAGCAAUUGACAAAGCAAAAAUCUCCCAGUAGUAACCCAGCCAAUAGCAAACAAAAGAGUUCCAGCAAGUAAUCAACAAGCAAUUCAGAAAUAUCUCAACUAAAAUCUCAAGAGAAACCCCAGCGAGUUAUCCAGCAAUUCAAGCAAUAUCCCCAAGCAAUGUGGUGGUCAAAAUGUCAUCUCCAAAUUGAACAAAUAAUCAGAGCAUUGCAACACAUUGAAAAUCUCAAUAAACGGCUCCAGUUGGCCAAGAAAAAUUGCUAACUCAUACUCAGCAAUAGUAGUGCAGCAAAGGGACAGUAACCACGCAAUAAAAACACUUAGCUUGCACUCAAAUGGUCACCCCAAAUAACAACCCAGUAUGAAACCCGCAGGCAGAGUAUUCCUCAAACCGUUAGCCUAAACCCAGUCAACAACCACGGCCAGAAAUAACCCCAUAAAUAGUGCAAUGAGUAAUCCCCAGCAACAUAAUCAGGUGUAAUCAACUGGAGCAAGCAAUUUACAUGGCAUAGAAACCUCCCAAUCAAACAAGUGCAUUAUUCUAGCGCACCCCAAAAUUCCAAGAAAUGGCUCCAGUUGGCCAAUUAAUUUCACAAUGUCACCCAACUCAGGAGAAAUAGCAAUUCCACACAAAAAUAGUCAAACCAGUACCACUGGCGAAAAAUCUUUCAAAUAUGCACAAUUUGCUACCAAAUAUCACCGGCUAACACUGAAAAAUUGAGGGCAAGUGUCAAAUACCUCCACAGGGACUACCCCAGGCGGCAGACAGAGAAGCGGCGUUGAAGCUGGUGGUCGAGCGGGGCGGCGCUCGCGUCGGCGUGCGCAGCGGCGACGGCGCGCGAGGAUGGAGUUUCGGGAGGUUGCGUGCGGGCUUGGCUGAAGACGCGGCGCGCGCUAGGGCUUCGCUGCGGCAGGCGUGCAGCAGGGGAGAAGAAAGAAAAGAGAAAGAAAGAAAGAAAAAGAAAGGAAAGAAAGAACAGAAAAGAAGGAAAAGAAAAAGGAAUUUUUCUUUUUUUUCUUUUUCUUUAGGCUACGGUUUAGAGGACAAAUUUUUCUUCUUCUUGUUUUCUACUUUUUUAUUUUUUUAUUUUUUAGUUUUUAAUUUAUUACUAUUAUUAUCAUAUUUAAUUGAGGAAAAAAAAUGUUUUUUUUUAAAUCCCUACCUUUCCCACGAACGUGACGCGGGCACGUCAAGAGGGCAAGAGAGCUCCCAGAAGUUUCAGAAUUUUCUGAUCGUAAGCGUCCUGCACAUCACCACGCGGGCACGUCAUGAGGACAGGAGAGCUCCCAGAAGUUCAGAAUUUUCUGAUCGUGAGCGCCCUGCACGUCACCACGCGGGCACGUCAUGAGGCCAGGAGAGCUCCCAGAAGUUUGAAGUUUCUGAUUCCUGCCCGUCAUCACGCGGGCGCGUCAUGACUGAAGGUCACCUACAAAUCAGCAAAAACGAAAACUAACACCCAAAAUCAGUCAAAUUCAGGGAAAGCAGAUUUAAACUAUGCUACAAAACCAACAAACAAUUAAAAGAAAUAAUUAGGUUGCCUCCCAAUGAGCGCCUUUCUUUAAUGUCUUUGGCUAGACAUGGUAAAGUGUCACUGAUUAGGACACGGUGGUGCGUCAAGCCUUAUUGUCUCCACCUCUCUACCUGAAAAUCCUUCGUAAUAAUAUUUGAGACGGUGUCCAUUCACCACAAAUUUGUUGUCUGUCUUAGCACUCUGGAUCUCAACUGCACCAUAGGGAAAAACAUGAGUAACAAUGAAAGGUCCAAUCCAACGGGAACGUAGCUUACCUGGGAAUAGCUUGAGCCUGGAUUGGUACAGGAGGACCUUCUGACCAACUUCAAAUGUUUUUCUUGAAAUUUGUUGGUCAUGAAAUGCCCGGCUUUUCUCCUUAUAUAUCAAGGCGUUUUCGUAUGCUUCGUUCCGGAUCUCCUCCAAUUCUUGCAAAUCCAACUUCCGUUGAGCACCGGCCUCCUCUAAAUUCAUAUUGCAGUGCUUUAUCGCCCAAAAAGCCUUGUGCUCGAACUCCACUGGAAGGUGACACGGCUUCCCAAAUACCAACCUGUACGGUGACAUCCCAAUAGGAGUCUUGUACGCCGUCCGAUAGGCCCAGAGUGCGUCUUCCAACCUUUGGCUCCAGUCUUUUCUAUCAGGGCGCACCAUUUUCUCUAAAAUGGACUUAAUCUCCCGAUUCGACACCUCCGCUUGACCAUUGGUCUGAGGGUGGUAUGACGUUGAGACCCUGUGGAGUACACCAUACUUGCGAAACAACGCAGCUAUGGUUUUGUUGCAAAAGUACGUUCCCCUAUCACUGACAAUAGCUCUAGGCAUUCCAAACCGCACAAAGAUAUUAGACCUGAUAAAAUCUGCAACUACUCUCGAAUCAUUAGUUCGAGUGGCCUUAGCCUCCACCCAUUUAGACACAUAAUCAACUGCCAGCAAAAUAUAUAAAAAACCAAAUGAAGUAGGAAAAGGCCCCAUGAAAUCUAUACCCCAGACAUCAAAAAUUUCAACAAAAAUCAACGGGACCUGGGGCAUUUGAUCUCUACGGGCUAUAUUACCUACCAUUUGACAGCGAUCACAUGACUUACAAAACACAUAGGCAUCUCUAAACAAUGAAGGCCAAUAAAAUCCACUUUCUAAAACCUUAUGAGCAGUUCUCUUAGGUCCAAAAUGACCUCCACAGGCAAAAGUAUGACAAAAAGCUAAAAUUGAUUGAAAUUCCAUUUCACUUACACAUCUCCUCAUCACUUGAUCGGCACACCUCUUCCAUAGGUACGGGUCAUCCCAGAUAAAAUACUUGGCAUCGCUCUUCAAUUUAUCCCUCUUCGAUUUCGGCCAACCUGCAGGAAAAUUACCAGUUACCAAAUAAUUGACCAAAUCAGCAUACCAAGGCAACUGAGAAUUUAAGAAAAAUAGGUAUUCUUCGGGGAAUGCAUCCUUCAAUGGCUCGCUAUCCUCUUCAACUAGUAUGCGACUCAAAUGGUCCGCUACUAGAUUUUCUGAGCCUUUUUUGUCCCUUAUCUCCAAGUCAAAUUCCUGUAGGAGCAGUAUCCACCGUAUGAGCCUCGGUUUUGCAUCUUUCUUGGUCAUCAGGUACCUCAAUGCUGCAUGAUCAGAAAAUACAAUCACUUUAGCACCUAACAAGUAUGACCUAAAUUUUUCCAAAGCAAAAAUAACUGCCAGAAGCUCCUUCUCAGUGGUGGAAUAAUUCAACUGGGCUCCAUUCAAGGCCCGGGAUGCGUAAUAGAUGACAUGAGCCGCCUUGCCUAUUCUUUGCCCCAGUACAGCCCCAACAGCGUGAUCACUGGCAUCGCACAUGAUCUCAAAUGGCAAAUUCCAAUCGGGGGGUUGGAUGAUUGGGGGUGAAGUCAGCAAUUCCUUCAGCUUGUUAAAGGCUCUCUCACACUUAUCAUCAAAUUCGAAGGCUACAUCUUUUUGUAGGAGUUGGAACAACGGGGCUCCAAUCUUUGAAAAAUCCUUGAUGAACCUUCGAUAAAAACCUGCAUGUCCAAGAAAAGAGCGCACCUCCCGCACACUCGCGGGGUAAGGUAAUGCAGAAAUAAUGUCUAUUUUAGCCUUGUCAACUUCUAUGCCCUUAGACGAUACAAUAUGACCCAGGACUAUUCCGUGCUCAACCAUAAAAUGACAUUUUUCCCAAUUAAGCACAAGAUUAGUCUCUAUACACCUGAUCAGGAUUAAUUUCAGGUUAUCUAGACAAGUAUCAAAACUAUCACCAUACACACUGAAAUCAUCCAUGAAAACUUCUAUUAUUUUCUCAACAUACUCGGAAAAGAUGCUUACCAUACAUCUUUGGAAAGUCGCAGGUGCAUUGCACAACCCAAAUGGCAUUCGUCUGUAGGCAAAGGUCCCGAACGGGCACGUGAAGGUUGUCUUCUCUUGAUCCUCCGGGGCAAUUGCUAUCUGAAAGUAUCCUGAAAAUCCAUCCAAAAAGCAAUAAUAAGCCCUACCAGCUAAACGUUCAACCAUUUGGUCAAUGAAAGGGAGAGGGAAAUGGUCCUUUUUGGUGACGGCGUUUAGCCUACGGUAAUCUAUACAUUGCCUCCAUCCAGUGGGUUUGCGCACUGGCACGAGCUCACCAGUUUGGUUGGCCUCUACCGUCACUCCUGCAUUCUUUGGGACUACCUGGACCGGACUCACCCAAGGGCUAUCAGAUAUUGCAAAAAUGAUGCCCACAUCUAGCAAUUUUAGAAUCUCUUUCUUUACGACUUCCAUCAUGAGGGGAUUGAGCCUUCUUUGAGCCUGCCUAACAGGUUUGGCAUCGUCUUCCAGCCUAAUCCGGUGCAUACAAAUGGCCGGGCUGAUCCCCUUAAUGUCUGCGAUUGUCCAGCCUAUUGCCUCUUUAUGCUCCCGAAGGACCCGGAUCAAUUUCUCUUCCUGGGUCUUUGACAGUGCCGAUGAGAUAAUCACUGGGAGUGUCUCAUUAUCACCUAGGUAUGCGUAUUUCAGGUGCUCUGGUAGAGGUUUCAACUCCAGUACAGGUGCCUGCACCACAGAUGGCAAUACCCUCUGGUGAGCCUUGGGAGUAAAAAUAGGUAAGACUUCAUACCUUUUCGUGGUGGUCUGCAACGAGUGUAAUGCACCUAUUGUGCAUUUUAAAUCCUCGCUCCACUCCACCUCAGGAGUUGUCUCCAACUCGAGGUGCUUGGUUAAAGCCACCUCCAGCUCAUCCCUGCCAUCAGUUUCAAACACUUCCUGCACUACAGGGUCAAUAGCACUCACAGAAAAAACUGAGCUAAAGUUGGAGUUAGAGGGGUACUUCAUAGUAUCAAAAAUAUUAAAAUGCACAAUUUACCCAUCAAACUCCAUGGACAAGGUACCCUUAUUAACAUCAAUUUUCGUCUGCGCAGUGCUCAUAAAAGGUCUACCCAAUAACAAAGGUGAGGGAUCAGGGGAGUGAUCAUCAUCCAUAUCUAGUACAUAAAAAUCAGCUGGAAACACCAAAUCAUUAACCUUUACCAACACAUCUUCAAUCAACCCAUCAGGAUAUGCAUUAGUUCGGUCAGCUAAUUGAAUAAUUAUUCCAGUUUCUUUUAAUGGACCUAGUUUCAAAGAAGCAUAGAUAGAUUUAGGCAUGACAUUAAUUGAUGCUCCCAGAUCCAGCAUGGCCCUUCUGAUCACAGUAUUACCUAUCUUACAGGGAAUAGUAAACAUACCUGGGUCCCCGCACUUUGGUGGGAGCUUUCUCUGCAGGACCGCAGACACAUUUUCUCCAACUAUGACCCGUUCAUCUCCCCUCAACCGCCUUCGGUUGACACACAAGUCCCUUAGGAACUUGGCAUAUUUUGGUACUUGUUUGAUGGCGUCUAAGAGGGGGAUAUUUAUCUCAACCUUGCGAAAAACCUCCAAGAUCUCCUUCUCCUUAUCCUGCUUCUUCGAUUUUUCCAACCUGCUAGGAAAAGGAGGCGGGUUAGUUUUAACUGUAAUUAUUGGGUCAGGAAGUACCUCUGGAUCUGCACCAUUGCUGUCCUCCCUUUCGAGCUCAUUUUCGAUCUUCUCUUCAUCCUUGUCCUUGGGAAUCACAGGUUCAGGCCCCUGAAUUUCUUUCCCACUCCUUAGGAUCAUUGCGCUCACGUUCUUCGGAUUCAACUCCGGUUGAGAUGGCAGCUUCCCUUGGUUCUGGGACUCCCAACGGUUCAUUCUGGUGGCCAAUUGACCUAUCUGAUUCCUUAUGUCCUGCAUUUCGGAGUCCGUCUUUUGCUGAUUUUGCAUAAUAGCUGCCUCCGUCCUUUGCUGAUUCUGCGCCAUGGUUGUCAUCAUUUGUUUCAGCAUCUCAUCCGUAGAUGAACCAGAUUGAGGGAGCGGAGGUGGUCGGGGUUGGUAUUGCUGCUGGUACCCUGGUGGCUUAUUUGGCACAAAGUUAGACUGCCUGUUUGGCGUGAAGUUGGAUUGCCUAUUUCCACCAUAACUGAGGUUGGGAUGAUCUCUCCACCCGGGGUUGUAGGUGCUUGAGUAAGGGUCGUACUGCUUCCUUGGCGCGGGCGCGUGGUCAGCCAUGUUCACCUGUUCCGCAGUUUCUUCCUGAAUCAUUGGGCACAUGUCUGCAGAGUGACCUAUACCAGUGCAAAUCCCGCAUACCCUGGCUUGUGAUGCAUUUCUCACAGCCUAUUGCCUAACGAACGCAGUCAACUCAUUUAGCUGCUGCUGCACAGAGGGUGUCUCUAUCUCAUUCACCCUACGUAUUGGGACAUCCUAUCUUGUACUGAAUUGCUGUGAAUUCUCUGCCAUCCCCUCUAUUAACUCCCGUGCUUCCUGAGGGGUUUUGUUCACCAGUGCCCCUCCACUUGCAGCAUCAAUGAUGCUCCUGUCUCUAAAAAUGAGCCCCUCAUAGAAAUAUUGUAUGAUCAACUGCUCACUUAUUUGGUGAUGGGGGCACCUGCGCAACAAGCUCUUAUACCGUUCCCAAUACUCGUAAAGUGACUCCUCGGGAUGCUGCUUGAUCCCACAAAUUUCUUUCCUUAGACUCGCAGCCCUGGACGCAGGAAAAUAUUUAUCCAGAAAUUUUUUCUUCAAUUGGUCCCACGUGGUGAUGCUACCUGGUGACAGGUAGUACAGCCAGUCCUUCGCAGAAUCUUUCAAGGAGAAGGGGAAUGCCCUCAUUUUUAUCUGCUCUUCUGUGAUUCCCGGGGGUUUCAUACUGUUGCAAACGACAUCAAACUCCUGCAGAUGCUUAUACGGCUCUUCACCUGGUAAACCAUGAAAAGAGAGUAAAAGCUGAAUCAGACCAGAUUUUAGUUCAAAUGGAAUGUUGUCAUUUAAAGCUGGGAAAGUAAUGCAUAACGGCUGCUGAGUUAAAUCAGGAGCAGCCAACUCCCUUAAUGUUUAUGCAUUAGCCAUGGUGCCUUCCUGCUGGUCAGAGUCACUCGAAGUGUUACCAAACGAAUCUGUUGGUUCAACUUCUGACUCGGGUCUUUGAGAUGUAGCACUAGAGUGCUCUUCUCUGAGCUGUCUGGUUUCCUUUCUCGUUCUACGCGCGGUCUUCUCUACCUCAGGAUCAAAAACCAAAUCACCUGUGCGACAAGAUCGAGGCAUACACUAGAAGAAAACCAGAAAAUUAGGACAAAAUUGAAUUUAAGAAGAAACAAAUAAUAACGCCAGUCCCCGGCAACGGCGCCAAAAAUUGACAGGUCGUCAACCUGUGCAAUAAUAAAAUUAAACCUAAUUGCCAGUUAAAAUGACCAAAACCCAAUUCCAAGUACUGGAGCAGGGACUCUAGGUGUGCAAUGGGUUACUUGAUUCACCCUGUUCCCGAAGAGUUUGCUUGAUCCGAUAUACCCGAAUGGAAUGGUUAUUCCUUUUCACAAAUGAUUAGGAAUUUGUAGACAGGGCAAGUAGGGUCGUAUCCACAGAGACUGGGUAUAUUUGUUUCUUAAGAAAUCCAAAGUAACACAGGGGGUGAUUUUGUAGGAACGACGAUAAUUAAAUAAAUUCAAAUGAGAAAGUAAAAAUAAAUAAUUAACUAGAAAUUAAACCACAAUUUACUGAACUCAGGAUAACAAUAGUUAAAGGCCUCAAUUAAUUAAAAUAAGGAAACAAUCAAAAAUAAAAUAAAGUAGGUAAUUAAAAGUCAAAUGGCAAUCCACUACAAUCAAGGAAAUAUUAACUAAAGAUCUAGCCAAGAAAUAACUUCAGCAAUGGUUCACCUAAUCGAUCAUUGAUGCAAAGCAAUCCCAAUUAUUUACUAAUAAAUAGGUUAUAACUACCAAACAAGCGAUGGCAGUCAACCCCUCCUUACUGUGUCGGUGAUCAAGGUACGCCCGUUAAUCACUGCUCUAAUUGAGAAAUAAUCCUAGGUACGCCCGUAGAAUUUAAUUCCCCAACUGCCUUACGUAUUAGAGGAGCCCUAUUCUACCCAAAUAACACACUACCAGGGUUAUUUUAGAUUAGCCCGCGUAUCCCCCUGACACGAAUCUAAUCGUGCCAGUUGUCACUAAUUUGAGGUAAUUAAACAAUUACGGAUUCAAUACCCCAAUUGACAAUAGAUUAUCAAACCAAUGAAUUAUCCGGAUCCAAGACAAUCAACUAAUUAAAUAAUCAUAAGCACUGCAACCAAGGAAUAUGCGAAUACCAAUAAAUAAAGGAAAAGAUAAAAUUAAAUCGAUCUCACAAUUUACAGGUGAUCCAAAGCAUCAGUCGUUUCUUGACUAGAACGAGGGGGUUAGCUCAUAUUGGAUGAACUAAGCCCGCGGGAAAUUCCAGCAAAAGUCACGGCCGUUGUAUGCAUUUCAAGAGCCGCAAUUCGUCAAACACUUGGAAAGCGAAUGUAAGGCACGGGUAACAAUUGAAGCUUUCUAAUUGUUCCUAGCAUUCGUAAAGCAAAUUCACUCCAGAAGUACAGUGAGGAAAAGUCAAAGAAAGUGGGCUUCAAUUCCUUGCUCCUGACAUGCGUGGAGACAAGCCAAUGCAAGACUACAAUAAACUAACAAGGAAAAGUCAAGAAUUGGAGCUAAGCUCCCCUGCCAUGCGCAGGAAUCCGAAAAGUAAAAAGUAAAGCUUCAAAGAAAAGUCAACAAUUCUUCCUAAGCUACAGACGGAAGAUCCAGCACAAAAGCCAGCUCCCUUUUUUAUCCCUUUUUCCCCCUUCUUAUUGCGGCGGCUCACCAGGAGAGGAGAGCCCUCCGUCCGUCCUUUCUUCCGAAAAUUACCAAAAUGGGCAUGACAUCUUCUCUUCCAAAAGUGCCCCUGGGACAAGCUUUCUCAUCUGAAUUCUUUUUUUUUCCAAUUUGGCACCUGUUAUCAUAUUUAUAUUCUACUCCCUGAAAUAAACGUCAAAUACUAAAAGUGAGUAGAAUCCAGCAAAUAAAUCCACAUCAAGUCAGGUAAUAGGAGGAAUUAAUAAUAAAAUAAAUGAAUAAAUUGCACCCUAUCAGAAAAAUGCAAAAAUUUGUUAUUUAUCAUUAAGGAUCAUAUCGCAUAUAACAUCAAAAAAUAGUAUAUUAUUUAUAUCUUUCACUUAAUAUAAUAUCCAAAUUACUCUUUUCAGUUACAUACCCAUUGUUAGACAAAAUCAACAACAAAUAACCAAAAAAUUUGCAACCAAAAUAUUACCAAAAAAAUAAACUUUAACAUCAUAAAUAUUUUUAUCAACAUAUUAAAGUUAGUUAUUGAAAUUUUUAUGGUGUUAAACUUCACUCUUAGCAAUAUUUUGGUUACAGAUUUUUUUGAUUAUUUAUUGUUGAUCGUGUUUGACAAUGGAUUUGUAACUGAAAAGAAUAAUUUGAAUCUUACAUUAAGUGAAAUAUAUAAAAUAUUAUACUAUUUUUUAUGGCAUAUGUGAUUCUUUUUUUUUUUUUUAUCAGAACGGCAACAUUGUAUUAAUAGUAAACCAAUUACAGUAUAGGUGGGCAACCGCCCUCACAAUCUGCCUGGACUUGUUCCAGCAGCCAAACUGGGAAGUUUUCCUUCCAUUCAGUAUUUUGUUCCAAAGUAAUAGCUACUUUAGCUAGUUUAUGGCUAACAAAGUUGUUCACCCUAUUUGCAAAGGUAAAACAACAUUCAUCAAAUUUUAUUCAUGUACAAUUGUUGCUAUCACCACGUCCUCCUCCUCCUCCUCACUGCACACUACUUGACUACCACCCUUCGCCAACCUUGCUGUUGCAUGUGCAACUAUCAUGGCCUCUCUUAGCGCCUUUGCUUCUUCGACCUUUGGACUGGCACAGCUAAAAUUUGGAACAGCCCAGGCCCACCCGCAAUCUUCCCAACCAAUCCCUGGCCACCCUUUUCCCACCCAGCUUCUAUGGCAUGUGUGAUUCAAUCCUUCUUGAUAGGAUUGGUAAUAGAGGCAGAGGGGGGAGCCGGCUGCAUCCGGUCUACUUUUCAUAGAUAGUACAAUAUUGCGAAAUCGAUCGCAUUCACACAAGAAUAUUUCGAAGUCAUUGCAUCGCUAAGUUGCAAAAAAGUACAAACACUUGUUAUUAUAUAGCUUAAGAUUCAAAACUUUAGAGCACAACCCUCCACCUAACACAAUUGAAUAAUGAAUAUUCACGAUUGUCAAAUCUGUCAAAGCACAGUUUGAGGACAACCCAUUCCAACCUGCAAAAGAUUUUUGACUUUUUUAAAGUUGUUGAGAGCUGUAAAAAGACUUACCAUGCUUACAUCUUCCGAGCCUUGGGAGUUAAAAAUGAAGGCACUGAGUGCUAUAAAAAGGGGGCUAGAGGCUGCCUAGAAGCAUAUCAGCCUAAAACAAGAAUUUGUAGUUAUGAUGGGAAGCAAAGCAAAAGCAAUGGGGUCUGGGCUGACUCCUCUUCUUACCACUGUUUUAGUGGUAUUUGUUGCUCUUGGCUUGCCCUCAGAAACUGCAGCUGAUGAUCACUACAAGUAUUCAUCUCCUCCUCCUCCUUACCACUAUCCCUCACCACCACCUCCAGUGCAUUUACCUCCACCAGUGUACAAAUACAAGUCCCCACCACCACCUCAUCAUGUUUACAAGUACAAAUCUCCACCACCCCCACCACCACACCCAGUUUACAAGUAUAAGUCGCCACCACCACCUCCUCAUCCGGUAUACAAGUACAAGUCUCCUCCGCCACCUCCUCAUCCGGUACCACACCCAGUUUACAAGUAUAAGUCACCACCACCACCUCCUCAUCCGGUACCACACCCAGUUUACAAGUAUAAGUCUCCUCCGCCACCAGUUUACAAAUAUAAGUCUCCUCCACCACCACCUCCAGUGUACAAAUACAAGUCUCCACCACCACCAGUUUACCACUACAAGUCUCCACCACCUCCUCCCCCAGUUUACAAAUACAAGUCUCCACCACCACCACCACCAGUUUACCACUACAAGUCACCACCACCUCCUCCCCCAGUUUACAAAUACAAGUCUCCACCACCUCCUCACCACUACUAAGCAAUUGCUUCUGAGGUAAUAACACUUGUUCAAUAUACCCACUUCUGCAUGAUAAAGCAUAUCUCUAUCAACACAAACUGUCAUGUCUAUCAUGCUAAGUGCCUUCACUUCAUCCACCAAAAUGACUGCUAGAAAAUUUUUUUUAUGUUACCAAAGAAAGGCAUCAUUUUUUCCCUCUGUUAUCAAGAACUUGUACAGUAUAUAGAUUAAAGAGUAUUUUUUUAACUAGCUUAUCAACUGAGAAAUGCAUAUAGCUGAUAGCCAGCUGAAUAUUUGCAGGCAAAGGAGAAGGAAACCAGUGUUUGAGACCUUCUUGAAGAUGUAGAAGCAUAAGAAUUAAAGCCCAAUGUGAAGAUGAUGAUUUCAAGUUUUUCUACGUUACCAUUUCUUUAUCUAAAUUGGUUGUAGCGCCUUAGUUCCUUUGUUUAUGGGAUUUGUAUCGUUUUACGUACCAUGCAGUACAUGUCAUGUUUGUAAGGUUUUCUAUCCUGCCGGCAAACCGCAGGUUCCAUGUAAUAAAUCAAUACUAUUUAUAUUACGACACUUUUCUCUGUUUCUCUUAUAUUUUGUCGUCUUUAAUAUUCUUAAUCAUAUUUUUAACAAAAAUAUUCAAACACUUAGGCAAUCUGGUCUAAUGCUAAUUGUAUGUUUUACUUUUCUUUUUCACCUGCUCCCCUUUUCAACUCAAAAGGAUGCAAUAGUUUGUGAUCACUGUUGAAGACGGAAGCAUGAUACUAAUGAAUAUAUCAUUGAAACUCAAGGAAACUAACAUUAUGAAAAGUGUAAAUCUUGAUUUGAUGCAACUAUUUAUUCGUGGAAUCUAUAGUUACAAAACUCAAACUCUGACUGCGCCAUUGAUAAAUUAUUAAUGACGCUAUCAUCAUUAUUUAUCCCCAACUAGUUUCGACUACAACUGAACCCAAUAUUUUCCCCAUGAUAAAAGUUUUUUACUAUUUUACUGGCCUCUCUUCAAAUUUUAAAAAUUACACUAAUCUUCAUUGAGAUUAAUUAUCUUGUAGCAUUUAAGUCCAAUUAAUAAUUAAAAAAUAAUAUUAUGAGAGAGAAAAUAAUAUAAUUUUAUCAUUGCCCCCCAUCUUGCUAUAUUAUUUAAUUAAUUUAAUAGCAACCCACACAUUAAAGAAAAAUACUAAAAUUUGCUGCUUUUCAUUAAAGAUCAAAUUGCAUAUGCCAUAAAACAUAGUAUAUCAUUCUAUAUGUUUCACUUAAUGUAAGAUCCCAAUUGUUCUUUUCAAUUACAAACCCAUUGUCAAACAUGAUCAAUAACAAAUAACCAAAAAAUUUGCAACCAAAAUAUUACAAAAAAAAACUUUAACAUCAUAAAUAUUCUUACCACCUCUAGUGCAUUCACCCUCAUAAAAUAAUUCAAGACCCUACUGUCAUAAAAUGACUGAUCAACUCCUGUAAACCUAAUUUGACAACAUUUAAAUGGAGAACUUUAGCUAAAAGAAUUAUGGUCAAGCUAAAGAAAAAACCAGUUAUUUUCCAACAUAUGCAAUCAUUGAUCAGGGAAAAAAAAAAGAAGCAAAAAGACAUCUUCAAUCAUUUAAUAGCUUACAGGGCAAAUUAACCCCUAAGCGAAAACUGGUUGCUCUAGAAUCAAAAUUUUACUUUAGUUACCCAGGCAACUUUUUUUGUUGCCUUUUCUUUUUCUUUUUUGGGUAUAUAUAUAGCUCCAGUUUUGCCCCCUCUGUCAAGCUUAUAUAAUUAUUAAGAUAAUAAAAGUGCCUUUAAUAGUAUUAAUAUAUCCAUUGACUUGAGCUGUCAUCGAUCGGUUUGGGCUACUUCGAUUCCAUGAGAACAAAUGGUAAUAAAAGUACUCAGAAAAUGGGGAGUCAUGAAACCCUUUUGUUCUAUUCAUUGCUAAGAUGCUUUUCUCUAUAAAGACACUUCCUAACGAAAAUACUUUGUAGAUUUCUUUACUCCAAGUGGUGCAUGGAAAAUUAAUAUUUUCAAUUAUCAAAUAAAAUUCCCUUUUUUCGGUGUAGAUUUCAUCCAUUCAGCUGUUAACACUCCGAAUUGACUAAUCUUUUCGUUUCCAUUUUCCAACUUGCGAAUACGGCAUCUUACAUAUUGUCUGCUGAAUAUGAAUACAUAUCCCUUUUCUGAGCAGGUGCAGAGUCAUUAUCAUUUUUAUUCCCACCUAACAAAUUAGUUAAUAAUCUUUUAAAGAACAUGUUAAAUUAAUUUAUUGGUAUGAAUAGUAGUCAAAGAAGUAUGUUAAAGUUAGUAAUCUUUAAAAUAAUAUGUUAAAAUUAUUCGUACAAAUUAGCCAGAGAAGUAGCAUAAACACCGCGAUGCAAUUAAUACUUUCAAUCUCAAGGUCUCUAUUAUGGAAAUUUGCAUCGGUCAACAUACACAAAGCAUUAUUGUAUGCACGUCUCUCUAUUAUGGAAAUUUGCAUAGGUCAAUAUACACUUGGCAUAGUUGCAUGCACGUCCAAUUUUUUUUUAUUUUUAUUUUUGGUAUUUUACUUCCUGCCUUAAGUUGCCUGCAGAUGUUUGUAUUACAAAUAUAUGGUAUACUAAAUAUAUAGUAUGCACAUUAAUUUCUUUGGGUUGCUUAAGGGUAUAUUGUUAAUAAUAGGGGGUUUAACCAUAAAUUAUAACAAUGAUGAAGUAAUAUAUAUUAGAAAAUUAACACAAUUAUGAUUUUUUUUUUUGUAAAAUUCAAAUUUUAUUAAUAAGAAAUGAAAUAGGCAGUAAGCAUUUACAAACCGAAAACAAAAUCCUACAACAACUCUAGGACUCUACACCUUAUUAAAAAAAAACAUUUUGAUAGCGUUUUUCCAAAAGCAGAAGAUGGAAAAUUGCCCAUUUGUACUGGGGAGUUCGUGAUCUUUUCCUCAUUCUAGUCUACUUACAAUUCUUGGAAAAAGGAAUACUCACAUCUCAAACAACAGCCUGUUCAUCUGCAGUGUCCUGCCGAAUUCUAGAAAGUUUGGUGGCAAUGUUAAUUACAUUUCAAAAUUGACUGCUGCGAUAACUAAUUCGAUGGCUUACUACAUGGUCAACGUUUGGAUCUCUUCCUGUCCUUUUUGGAUGCACAUUUUUUUUCUCUAGGUAAUAUAUAAUCUCCCAACUCAUUUCUUUACAAAUGCACCUUUAAUCACCACCAAAAGGUGUGGACAUGAUCUUUACCCUAGAAAACUAUUCACCGACAGGCAAAUUGACGUCAGAAAUACUAAGAGGAAUUCUAGUUUCCUUCGGGUUAAUGCCAUUUUGUACCCUUCAACUGUAACUCAAUUUCUAAGCUGUAAUUUGUGACAUUAUAGUCCUUAAACUAUGAAACCCUUUCUUAUUUAAUUACAAUGGUUAAUACAAUGCCCGUGACUAGACAAGUAUGAAGCAACCAUAACAAAAAAAAAAUCCAAAAUUAGAGAAAAGAAAGAAGUUGCGACCAAAGUAUGUAUCAAGGCAUAGUAUAGAAAUAAAAGUGUCAAAAUUAAGAGUUUAGGGAUAAAAAAGAAUCAAAAUAUAGUUUAGGAAUUGAUUUGUCUCAAUUAGAGUUUAGAUGUCAACUAAGAAGAGAGAUAUAGUUGAAGGGUAGAAUAUAGAUAUAACAGUUCAAUGAUUGAUAUCAACGAGACAAUGACAACUUUGGAUUAUUACCAACCUCUUCUUGAUGGAAAAGGAAAUAGAGAAGAAAGUCGGGCCUGGUCUAAGCCUGUUUCGGAGGCAAAACAACAUUAUGAAAUCACCGGCAUUCACACAAAUAUGUCAAAGUCACCGGCAUGCUAAGUUGCAAAAUUUAUACAAACACUGAAUAUUAUAUUCUUCUCAAAAUUUUUGUUUAAGAUUUAACAAUUAGAGCACGGUACACGAAUUAGCAAUAUUAAAUAAUGAAUGUUCACGAUUGAUAAAGUUAUCAAAGUACAGUUUGAGGACAACCCAUUCCAACGUGUACAAGAUGUUUAGCCUUUGAAAAGUUAAUUAGAGAAGGUGACGAGAUUUUACUAGGCUUACAACUUCUAGGCCUUGGGAGUAAAAAGUGAAGACACUGAGUGCUAUAAAAAGGGGGCUAGAUGUUGCCUAGAAGCAUAUCAGCCUCGGACCACAUUUUGUAGCAAUGGGGAGCAAAGCAAAAGCAAUGGGGUCUAGGCUGACUCCUCUUUUUACCACCGUUUUAGUGGUAUUUGUUGCACUUGGCUUGCCUUCAGAAACUGCAGCUGAUUACGACAAGUAUUCACCUCCUCCUCCUCCUUACCAUUAUUACUCACCACCACCUCUUGUGCAUUCACCUCCACCACCGCCAGUUUAUAAGUCACCCCCACCACCUUAUCACUACUUCUCACCACCACCUCCAGUGUAUCCAUCUCCACCACCAUCUGUUUACAAGUCACCUCCACCACCUUCGCCAGUAUACAAGUCCCCACCACCACCUUAUCAAUAUUCCUCACCACCACCUCCAGUGCAUUCACCUCCACCACCACCGAUUUAUAAGUCACCUCCACCACCUCCUCCAGUUUACAAGUCCCCGCCACCACCUUACCAUUAUUCCGCACCAUCACCUCCAGUGCAUUCACCUCCACCACCACCGAUUUACAAGUCACCUCCACCACCUCCUCCAGUUUACAAGUCUCCAUCACCACCUUACCAUUAUUCCUCACCACCACCUCCAGUGCAUUCACCCCUACCACCACCGGUUUACAAGUCUCUGCCACCACCUUACCAUUAUUCCUCACCACCACCUCCUAUGCAUGCACCUCCACCACCAAUAUACAAGUCACCUCCACCACCUCCUCCAGUUUACAAGUCUCCACCACCACCUUACCAUUAUUCCUCACCACCACCUCCAGUGCAUUCACCCCUACCACCACCAGUUUACAAGUCUCCGCCACCACCUUACCAUUAUUCCUCACCACCACCUCCUGUGCAUGCACUGCCACCACCAAUUUACAAGUCACCUCCACCACCUCCUCCAGUUUACAAGUCCCCACCACCACCUUACCAUUAUUCCUCACCACUACCUCCAGUGCAUUCACCUCCACCACCACCGAUUUACAAGUCACCUUCACCACCUCCUCCAGUUUACAAGUCUUCACCACCACCUUACCAUUAUUCCUCACCACCACCACUCUUCAAUUUGGAUGUAAUUCAAUUUUCCUUGUAAUCGGUGGCCCUCCUUCGGAAUCCAAAUAGUCAUUGAGUGCAGCCUUCUUUCUUUAUUUUUUACUCAUUUUCACCUCAUAAAUUGCUUUCAUCCCCUAAAACUUGUUCGCUGGAAUUUUGAAUUUACCCAUACAACUAAACUCAGAAAAUUCUUACACAAAGGGAUUAGUAGCAUGAAUAGCAAACACAGAAUAAGAGAUAACAGUAUGUUUUAUUGUAUUAAAAAUAUUAAAGUGGAUUAUUUCUCCAUCGAAUUCCAUUGUGAGAGUAUCGUUACUAACAUCAAUCUUAGUUUGAGCAGUACUCAAGAAUGACCUUCCUAAUAUAAUGGGUGAUGGAUUUGGGACACUUUCAUCAUCCAUAUAAAACACAUAAAAAUCAACAGAAAAAAUUAAUCCAUCUACUUGAACUAAAAACAUCCUCAACUACCCCAUUUAGAUAAGCAAAUAUACGAUCAGCCAAUUGAAUUAUUAUCCCUAUUUCUUUUAAAUGUUCUAAAUUUAGGGAAUCAUAAAUUGAUUUAGACAUCACAUUAAUAGAAAUCUUUAAAUCUAUCAUGGCAUUUUUUAUAUUAGAAUGUCCAAUCUUACAUGAGAUAGUAAACAUACCUAGAUUCUCGCAUUUAGGUGGUAGUUUCCUUUGUAAAAUUGCUGAAACGUUCUCAUCUACCACAAUAUGCUUGUCCUCCUCAAUUUCUUCUUGUUGACACACAAGUUUUUCAAGCAUUUAACGUAUUUUGGAACUUAUUUGAUUUGCGUCCAACAAAGGGAUAUUGAUUGCCACCUUGCGAAAAUCUCUAAAAUCUCCUUUUCUUUAUCUUGUUUCUUUGAUUUCUCUAACCUGCUUGGAAAAGGUGGUGAGUUAGUUCCAACUCUAAUUAUAGAAUCAACAAUUACCUUUGGAUUCACAUUUCUCAUUCCUUCCUCCUCAAGCUCUUUGUCGAUUCGAUCUUCAUUUUUAUCCUUUGGAAUCACAACUUCGGAUCCCUGAAUUUUCUUCUCGCUCCUUAAGGUCAUUACACUUACAUUCUUCAGGUUCAGUUCAGGUUGAGACGACAAUUUUUCAUAGAUUUGGGAUUCCAGGCGGUUGAUUGCUAUUACCAUCUGACUCAUCUGACUCUGCAGUGCUUGCACCUGUCCCAAUUGAUUCCUCAUACUUUGCAAGUCAAAAUCCAUCUUUUGUUGAUUAGCAAUUAAUUGCUUCAUUAUCUCUUCUAUAGAUGGACUUGAGUUUGAAAGAGGUGGUGGCGGGCGAGACUGAUACUGUUAUUGAUACCCUUGCUAUCUAUUUGGUGCAAAAUCUGGCUACCUAUUUCCUCCAUAGCUGAGGUUGGGAUGAUCUCUCCAACCAAUAUUGUACGUAUUCGUGUACGAGUCGUAUGGUUUUCUUGGCACGGCGCGUGACCAGCCAUGUUCACUUGCUCCGUACUUUUCUCUUGAAUCAUUGAGCACAUCUCUGUAGAAUGACCCAUAGCAGUGCAGAUCCCACACAUCUUGACUCGUGAUGCAUUUCCUAUAGCUAAUUGCCUAACAAAGGAUGUUAAUUCGGUCAACUGCUGUUGGAUAGAAUAUGUUUCUACCUCAUUUACUUUGCGUGUUGGGGCAUCCUCCCUCGUACCAAACUGUUGCGAAUUUUCCGCCAUUCCUUCAACUAGCUCCCACGCUUCUCGAGAAGUCUUGUUCACCAAUGCCCUUCUACUUGCAGCAUCAAUUAUACUCCUGUCUCUAAAACGCAGCCCCUCGCAAAAAUAUUGGAUGAGCAAUUGCUCACUUAUUUGGUGUUGAGGGAACUUGAUGCAUAACUUCUUGAAUCGCUCCCAAUAAUCAUAAAGCGACUCUCCUGGAUGCUACUUGAUACCGUAUAUCUCCUUCCUUAGACUUGCAGCUCGAGAUGCAAGAAAAUAUUUGUCCAAGAACUUUUUCUUCAGCUGAUCCCACGUGGUGAUGCUACCUGGUGGUAGAUAGCACAGCCAGUCUUUUGCGGAGUCCUUCAAGGAGAAGGGAAAUGCCCUCAUUUUUAUCUAUUUUUCUGUAAUUCUCGGAGGUUUUAUGCUGUUGCAAACGACAUCAAACUCUUGCAAGUGCUUAUACGGUUCCUCACCUGGUAAACCAUAGAAAGAUGGCAAGAGAUGAAUUAGACCAGAUUUUAACUCAAAUGAAGUGUUAUCAUUUAAAAAUAGAAAAGUAACUGAGAUGCAGCACUGGAAUGUUCUUCUCGAAAUUGUCUGGUCUCUUUCUUUGUUCUACGCGUAGUCUUCUCUACCUUAGGAUCAAAAAUUAAUUUACCUGUACGAGAAGAACGAGGCAUACACUAGAAAAACACUAGAAAAUUAGAACAAAAAUGAACAUAAAAAGAAACAAAUAAACCAACGUCAGUCCCCAGCAACGGCGCUAAAAAUUGACAAGUUGUCGAUGCCUGUGCAAUAAUAAAAAUAAACCUAGUUACCAAUUAAAAUAAUCAGAGCCUAAUUCUGAGUACUAGAGCAGGGACUAUAGGUGUGCAAUGGGUUACUUGAUUCACCCUAUUCCUGAAGUUUGCUUAACCCGAUAUACCAGAAUGAGAUUGCUUAUUCAAAAGGAAUUAUUGAUUUGUAAACAGGGCAAGUAGGGUCGUAUCAUCAGGGAUUGAAAAAAUUUGUUUCUUUUCAAAUCCACAGUAACAAGGGGAUGUUUUUGUAUAAAUGAUAACAAUCUAAGGAGUGCAAAUAGAAAUAAAUAGAUAACUAGAAAUUAAAUGACAAUUCACUAAAAUUAGAGUAAUAAUAAUUAAAGGUCUAGCUAAGAAAUAACUUCAGCAAUGGUUCACCUAAUUGAUCAUCGACGCAAAGGCAAUUCCAAUUAUUUACUAAUAAAUAGGUUAUAACUGCAAAACAAGCAAUGACAGUCAACCCCUCCUUACUGUCGGUCGGUGAUUAAGGUACGCCCAAUCACUGCUCUAGUUGAGAAAUAAUUUUAGGGACGCUCGUAAGAUUUAAUUUUCCAAUUGCCUUACGUAUUAGAGGAGCCAUAAUCUAACCAAAUAACGCUACCAGGAUUAUUUUAAAUUAACCCGUGUAUUCCCUUGAUACAAAUUCAAUCAUGUCAGUUGUCACUAUUUCAAGGUAAUGAAACAAUUACGGAUUUAAUAUCCUAAUUGACAAUAGGUUACUAAAUCAAUUCACUAUUUCGAUCCAAGAUAAUCAAUCAAUUUAACAACUAAUAGCACUGCAAUCGGAGAAUAUGUAAAUACCAAUAAAUAAGAGGAAAAGAUAAAAUUAAAUCGAUCUCACAAUUUUUAAACAAAUCAAAGUAUCCGUUGUUUCUUGACUAGAAAAGAAAAUUUAGUUCAUUCCUAAUGUGAAAGACCCACGUGAGAAUUCAAAAAUAAUAUUCACGGAUAUUGUCUUGAUUCAAUAGAUUCAAUUGCGUUGGAAUAAGGAUAAAAAGCCAAACUAUAGAGAGUGAUUCAAUGUUUUGUUUCGUUUGCAUUUUUUCUACACAUAUGGAAGAAGAAAAACAACUAAAGGACGAAAAAAAAAAGUCAAAGAAAGGCACCCAAAGUAGUGCUUGGUCUCUACCAUCCUAUUUCCUAUCUAAUUACUACUUCCCUUCUGCGGCUGCCUAGAGGAAGAAAGAGAAAGCAGACUUCAGGUCUUGUUCCAUCUCCUCCCUUUUCGGCAAUUCCCCAAAAGUAGAAAAGUUCCUCCGUUUACCAAAAUGCCCCUGGAAUGAGGACUGCUACUUGAACUCAUUUUCUUGAUAACUGUCAAAUUAGCACUUGUUAUGGUAUUUGCGUCUACUUCCUGUAAUAAAUGUAAAUUGCCAAAAGUGAGUAAACUGAUAAUUAAUUUACAUCAGGUCAGGUAAUAGGAAAAAUUAAUUAUAAAAUAAAUGAUAAAAUUGCAACCUAUCACUUAGAAUAACCAGAAAUAAAACAAAACAAGAAAUGAAAGAAAUAAGAGGGUAGCAUAGACAUUUUGGAUUUUUCUGUUAAUUUGGAUGAUUUCCACCUACGGUCUAAUUUAAUCCAAAACACAAAUGGAUUAUGUGGAGAUUUUUAAACAAUGAGGGAGUAUCGUGACCGAAUCCCAAACCACAAAGGGGAUUUACUAUAUUUUACUCUUAAAUUUUGGUUUCAUCUCAUAGCAUACAAGAGUACUAUUUCACUGUCUGUCGACCAGGGAGGAGGGUUGGGUUGGGUGGUACGGGGGAGGGAGUCUAAGUAAGAGGUCUCAGGUUCGAAUCCUCCUGUUUAUACUAAAAAAAAAAAUUUACUAUCUGUCGACAAAGAUUUUCUAUGGUUGAUGUACCAUAGGAAAAAUCUGCCUAUACAAUUAUUUGGAAAAAUUAUCCAUCCAAACAUAGUCACGAUAGCAUUUUUUCAAAAACACUAGAUGCAAAAUUGUCCCCUUAAACGUGGAAAUUCAUGAUCUUUCCUCGACUAGUCUACUUGUCAAUUUUUGAAAAAAGAAUACUCACGCCAAAAACACGGCCUCUUCAUCUGCAGAAUUCUAAAAAGUUACGUAAACUCUAUAAACAAGUUGAUAGGUACAAUCGUACCCAAGAUCAAGUACAGAUAGUUGUACAUUCACUGCUGCAAUAACUAAUCUGAUGACUUACAAACACAUCAUGGUCAAUCGUUGAAUGGUAAUGAGUCUUUUGUUAUGCAUUAGUAUUAGUGUGUACACUCUAAUAGAUUGAUACUUAUACUCUUUAAAUUAUCAUAAUAAUACCCUUAAUUAACUUUAACCCUUAAAAAGAAUACGUGUUAAUACACGAGAGUGUGUAACCUGAAUUGUUACUUAUACAUUAGUGUGUAAUAGAACGGCAAGCAUUAUGGUGGUCAUUGAGCAACUUAUAGGAGAAAUAGUCCUAUAAGCUGUUCAAUGACCAAUCACAACUUGCUAAUUGGAUGACUAAUAUAGCUCUAGCUGUAAUGUUUUAAUUAAAUUCCACACUAACGUUGGGAUGACUUUUUAAUCAAAAAAAAAAAAGCCUUAGUUCAAGCUUUUCCCCUUAUUGUGCAUUUUUUAAAACAUUUGAUAGGCACUGCAAAUCUGUCAUUUUGGACAUUUUAUUAUUAACUAACAAUGAAAGCCGUGGACAUCAACCCAUAUCCAACAAAAUAUUAAAUUAAUAUUAGAAAAAUUAUUAAGUAAUUGGAAAAAAAAAAGAAGAGGCUAAUUUUCAUUGAAACCCACCGACAAACUAUCCGUGUCCAUAGCUUUUGAAUAGUGCAUUCAACGUUUAAUUGUAUGGUCCAGUUCAUUGCCGAUUACAUGGAGUAAAGAUUGUGCUCUUUCCUUUUUCACCCCUUUUGGAAUCGAUACUGUGGAGAAUUGGGUUUUUCCCUCCUUUUUUUCUUUUCUUUCCUUCUGUGCUUUGCAAAACAUACGUAAAAAUAUGAAAUCCGAAGCAUUCUUUAAUUGGGAUUAAGUAUUGUUGUUGAAAUUAAAAAGAAGAAAGAAAGAACAACAAAAAUCCCAAUCUGGGUUGAUUGUUGAGCUCUAGAUUGGCUGCAUCGUGCUUCCAUAGAAGUUCUCUUAGUGUGAUACGCUGCUUUCAAUCAGUUUUAAUAUUUAAGUAGAGUGCAAAAUAACUUUACUAUUUAAUGGGUUAUAAUGCACCAUUUGGUACCUCUCACCCACCUAUGAUUUGAUUUACUACUGGCAUGGUAAUGGACAGAGUUGGGGGAGCAGGAGGAGGGAGAUGGCGGUACCAGUCCGUCAACCACAGCACACCCUCCCUCGGACUUUGCGUGGUAGCGAAGUGGAGGCAGAUCGAGCACACAUGCACUAACGCCUUAAGUAUGUACAAUAUAUGUAUGCCAAAAGCAUAGCCAAGCCUACCAGCGCAUUUCAAUAAUAUAACCCGGAAAUUAAGGGCAUUGAAUUAAGUACGAUGAAUCAUAUUGGUGCACAAUUACAGUUUGAAGCUACCGAUUCGAGUAAAUUUAAGCGUAAGCACAAUCAAUCGCCAGUCAAAUGCUGAAAUAUGCAUAUGCAUGGAUGAAUGUAUGGGUUUCUUAGUUCCAGACCAAAGGCCAACAAUAAGGGAAGGAAGGACAGUUCUCAUUUUUAGCACGGACAAGGAGAUGAAGAAAAGUGUAUGUAGCUUGAGACAGAACAAUGGCAUGUGACCGCUCCUGAGACCACAUAACGUGGGGUGGGGAUGGGACGGCCAAGAAUGAAGAUGCCUGUCGGUCUCUCCGUGCUGCUACCAUAUGAAUCCCCCGUUAACCAAUUCAAGAUAAGCCUGAAGUUCUUUUCAUCCCCAAACCCUGUCCCAUCUGUGUAAAUCCAACAUCAUCAUUUACGACCUGCAACUCAGGUUAAGCAUGUUCUAUUGAGAUUCAGACACCACCCUUCAAAAGAUAUACUACUGUGAAACCAGCAGCUUAAUAUCAUUGUAUAAAAAAAAAAAAAAAAGAAAGAAGAAAAGACAUGAAAAGCAAAUUUUGUGGGGAUAAUUUCAAAAUCUCUCCUAAAGUUUUUUACUAUUUUACUGGCCUCCUUUCAAAUUUUAAAAAUUACACCAGUCUUCCUUGAGAUUAUUUAUCUUGUAACAUUGAGGUCCAAUCAAUAAUUAAAAAAUGAUAUUAUGAGAGAGAAAAAAAAUAAACUUUAACAUCAUAAAUAUUCUUAUCAACAUAUUAAAGUUAGUUACUGAAAUUUUUAUGGUGUUAAACUUCACUCUUUGUAAUAUUUUAGUUACAGAUUUUUUGAUUACUUGUUGUUGAUUUUUUUUUUUUUAGUGUAAACAGGAGGACUCGAACCUAAGACCUCUCACUUACACUCCCUCCCCCCGUACCACCCCAACCCAACCCAACCCUCCCCUCGUUGUUGAUCAUGUUUGACAAUGGAUUUGUAAUUGAAAAGAACAAUUUGGAUCUUACAUUGAGUGAAAUAUAUAGAAUGAUAUACUAUUUUUUAUGGCAUAUGUGAUUCAAUCCUUGAUGAUAAAAGCAAAUUCAAGUGUUUUCUUUAAUGUUUGUGCUGAUAUUAGAUUAAUUAAAUAAUUUAGUAGAUGAAGGAAAAUGGUGAAAUCAUAUUAUCUUCUCUUUCCUAAUAUCACUAUUUAAUUAUUGAUUGAACUUAGAUAUUACAAAUAAUAAAUCUCAAGGGAGAUUAGUAUAAUUUUCAAAUUUUGGAGAGAAGCUAAUGAAAUAGUCAAAAACCUUAAGGGAGGUUUACAAAAUUAUCCCAAAUUUGUGGGAAUUAGAAUAAUUGUACUGGACGGCACUGCCGCAACAGAGGGAAAGAGGAGGAGGUGCAGUUAACUUUUUGUUGUUUGAAAUCCUUGGUGAAAUAUUACAGAAAGACAGAUAAAACAGUUAGUACAUAGAUGUAUAUGACAGGGAAAAUGGUACGUCUGUUAAUCACAUUUGAAACACUUUCAUUGGUGAAUGACGAAAACUAUCAGGCUUGCCCAAUAGUUGAUCAUUGACCAAGACAAAUCUUGCCAUGCUAGAGGUACCAUCUUUUCGUACCUCUUUAGUGCACAGGACAUUCCUUUGUUUCAUCUAGCUAAUAAUCUACCAACUCAUUUCUUUGCAAAUGCACCUUUUAUGGUCACGUCUACGAAAGCUUUACAGGAUCUUUACCCAAAAAAUCAAUUCACCGACUCGCAUUUGAUGUCAAAAUUUCUUUACUUUACUCCAAGAUUGACUGUUAAUAAUAAUGCCACUUUGAAUUAUCACACCAUCCUUCUUGAUAGGAUUUGUGCUAGAGGUAGGGAGGGAGUCGCUGCAGCCGGUCUUCUCUUCAUAGACAGUACAAUAUUGCGAAAUCGAUCGCAUUCACGCAAUAUUAUAUUUCCAAGUCGUUGCAUGGGUAAGCUGCCAAAAAGUACGAACACAUGUUAUUAUAUAGCUUAAGAUUCAAAACUUUCGAGCAUAACCCUCCACCUAACACAAUUGAAUAAUGGAUAUUCACGAUUGUCAAAUCUGUCAAAGUACAGUUUGAGGACAACCCAUUCCAACCUGCAAAAGGUUUUUUUACUUUUCUAAAGUUGUUGAGAGCUGUUAAAAGAUUUACCAUGCUUACAUCUUCCGAGCCUUGGGAGUUAAAAAUGAAGGCACUGAGUGCUAUAAAAAGGGAAUAGAGGCUGCCUAGAAGCAUACCAGCCUAAAACAAGGAUUUGUAGUUAUGAUGGGAAGCAAAGCAAAAGCAAUGGGGUCUGGGCUGACUCCUCUUCUUGCCACUGUUUUAGUGGUGUUUGUUGCUCUUGGCUUGCCCUCAGAAACUGCAGCUGAUGAUCACUACAAGUAUUCAUCUCCUCCUCCUCCUUACACUAUCCCUCACCACCACCUCCAGUGCAUAUACCUCCACCUCAUCCUGUUUACAAGUACAAAUCUCCACCACCCCCACCACCACACCCAGUUUACAAGUAUAAGUCACCACCACCACCUCCUCAUCCGGUACCACACCCAGUUCCUCAUCCGGUGCCACACCCAGUUCCUCAUCCGGUGCCACACCCAGUUUACAAGUAUAAGUCACCACCACCACCUCCUCAUCCGGUACCACACCCAGUUCCUCAUCCGGUACCCACACCCAGUUUACAAGUAUAAGUCACACCACCACCUCCUCAUCCGGUACCACACCCAGUUUACAAGUAUAAGUCACCACCACCACCUCCUCAUCCGGUAUACAAGUAUAAGUCUCUCCGCCACCAACACCCAGUUUACAAGUAUAAGUCACCACCACCACCUCCUCAUCCGGUGCCACACCCAGUUUACCACUACAAGUCACCACCACCACCUCCUCAUCCGGUACCACACCAGUUUACCAUACAAGUCACCACCAAUCCUCACCCAGUUUACAAAUACGAGUCUCCACCACCUCCAGUUUAUAAGUACAAGUCACCACCACCUCCUCCACCAGUUUACAAGUAUAAAUCUCCUCCACCACCACCACCAGUUUACCACUACAAGUCUCCACCACCUCCUCCCCCAGUUUACAAAUACAAGUCUCCACCACCUCCUCACCACUACUAAGCAAUUGCUUCUGAGGUAAUAACACUUGUUCAAUAUACCCACUUCUGCAUGAUAAAGCAUAUCUCUAUCAACACAAACUGUCAUGUCUAUCAUGCUAAGUGCCUUCACUUCAUCCACCAAAAUGACUGCUAGAAAAUUUUUUUUAUGUUACCAAAGAAAGGCAUCAUUUUUUCCCUCUGUUAUCAAGAACUUGUACAGUAUAUAGAUUAAAGAGUUUUUAUUUUAACUAGCUUAUCAACUUAGAAAUGCAUAUAGCUGAUAACCAGCUGAAUAUUUGCAGGCAAAGGAGAAGGAAACCAUGUUUGAGACCUUCUUGAAGAUGUAGAAGCAUAAGAAUAAAAGCCCAAUGUGAAGAUGAUGAUUUCAAGUUUUUCUACGUUACCAUUUCUUUAUCUAAAUUGGUUGUAGCGCCCAAGUUCCUUUGUUUAUGGGAUUUGUAUCGUUUUACGUACCAUGCAGUACAUGUCAUGUUUGUAAGGUUUUCUAUCCUGCCGGCAAACCGCAGGUUCCAUGUGAUAAAUGAAUACUAUUUAUGUUACGACA
RNAcentral lists this long non-coding RNA (124671 nucleotides) under Coffea arabica (coffee). RNAcentral describes it as "long non-coding RNA (CARA_LNC007267)". The stretch from base 116928 to 117034 matches the Rfam family "Plant small nucleolar RNA R71". The record is from RNAcentral. Lineage: Eukaryota; Viridiplantae; Streptophyta; Magnoliopsida; Gentianales; Rubiaceae.